This 102905-nucleotide long non-coding RNA is filed under the name Vitis vinifera (wine grape). RNAcentral's name for it is "long non-coding RNA (VVIN_LNC005416)". Lineage: Eukaryota; Viridiplantae; Streptophyta; Magnoliopsida; Vitales; Vitaceae. The record is from RNAcentral.
AAUUUCACUCUUCAAUAAAUAAAAGUGGAAGGAAUCUUGGUAUUGCGUUCAUAUGGUAGACUCAAACAGAUACUAUAUAUAUGUGAGUGCUUGGUCUCCUCAGAAUUCAUAAGAAAAAAACAGCAGUUGCAAAGCCUCUCUUCUAUUACUUGCAGACCAUGGCAGGACGGUCCUUUCAACACCUUCUUAGCUUUCUUAUGCUUUUGCUGCUAUGUGCCAAACCUGGCCUGGGGAAUGUUACUGGGUGCAUAGAGAGGGAGAGACAAGCUCUCCUUCACUUCAAACGUGGCCUUGUCGAUGAAUUUGGCCUUCUUUCCUCUUGGGGAGACGACAACAGAGAUUGUUGCCAAUGGAGAGGAGUCCAGUGUAGUAACCAGUCUGGUCACAUCAUCAUGCUUCAUCUUCCUGCCCCGCCAAAUGAAGAAUAUGGUGAAUUUGUUAUUUACCAAUCUCUUAGAGGCGAUAUAAGUCCUUCGCUGCUUGAAUUGGAGCACUUGACUCAUUUGGAUCUCAGCUGUAAUGAUUUUGAAGAGAGGCACAUACCUCCAUUCCUUGGUUCCCUCAGCAGAAUGCAGUACCUCAAUCUCUCUCAUGCAUAUUUCGCUCAAACUGUUCCCACUCAACUGGGAAAUCUUUCCAACUUGCUUUCCCUUGAUCUCAGCAAUAAUUAUUUGAAGUUUGGGAACCUUGAGUGGCUUUCUCGUCUUUCUUCUUUAAGACACCUUGACCUAAGUUCUGUCGACCUUAGUAAAGCCAUCCACUGGUCCCAAGCAAUUAAUAAACUCCCUUCUCUCAAUUCACUUGGAUUUACAAAGUUGUGGUCUCCCUCCCAUCCCUCCACUCACCAUUCCGUCUCUUUCCCAUGGGAAUUCCUCUGUCCCUCUUGUUUUCCUUGAUCUCUCUUUUAACCAUCUCACUUCUUCAAUAUACCCAUGGCUGCUCAACUUUAGUACCACCCUCCUUCAUCUUGAUCUCUCUUUGACUGAUUUAAAUGGUUCGAUUCCGGAAUAUGCUUUUGGGAACAUGAGUUCCCUUGAAUAUCUUGAUCUCUCUUCGAAUCAACUGCAGGGCUCAAUUCCAGAUACAGUUGGGAAGAUGGUUUUACUUUCCCAUCUUGAUCUCUCUUUCAAUCAACUGCAGGGCUCAAUUCCAGAUACAGUUAGGAAGAUGGUUUUACUUUCACAUCUUGAUCUCUCUGUCAAUCAACUGCAGGGCUCAAUUCCAGAUACAGUUGGGAAGAUGGUUUUACUUUCACAUCUUGAUCUCGUUGUCAAUCAACUGCAGGGCUCAAUUCCAGAUACAGUUGGGAAAAUGGUUUUACUUUCACAUCUUUUUCUAUCUUACAAUCAACUGCAGGGCUCAAUUCCAGAUACAGUUGGGAAUAUGGUUUUACUUUCACAUCUUGAUCUCUCUAGCAAUCAACUGCGGGGCUCAAUUCCAGAUACAGUUGGGAAUAUGGUUUUACUUUCACAUCUUGAUCUCUCUCGCAAUCAAUUGCAGGGCUCCAUUCCAUAUACAGUUGGGAACAUGGUUUCUCUUGAAAACCUUUAUCUCUCUCAGAAUCAUCUUCAAGGUGAGAUUCCAAAAUCCUUGAGUAAUUUAUGUAACUUACAAGCAUUAAAGUUGGAUAGAAACAAUCUCUCUGGACAGCUUGCACCAGACUUUGUGGCCUGUGCAAAUGACACAUUAAAGACUCUGUCUUUAUCAGAUAACCAGUUCAAUGGAUCAGUUCCUGCUCUUAUUGGAUUUUCAUCCUUAUGAGAGUUACAUCUUGAUUUUAAUCAACUAAAUGGAACUUUACCUGAAAGUGUUGGACAGCUGGCCAAACUUGAAUCCUUGGAUAUUGCCUCAAAUUCAUUGCAAGGCACUAUCUCUGAAGCCCAUCUCUUUAAUCUAUCCCAGUUGUCCUAUUUAAACUUAUCUCCCAACUCUCUCACUUUCAACAUGAGCUUGGAGUGGGUUCCUCCAUUUCAACUGUUUGAUCUACUAUCAGCCUCCUGCAAAUUGGGACCUCAUUUUCCUAGUUGGCUUCGUACUCAAAACCGGUUGAGUGAGCUUGAUAUCUCCAAUUCUGAAAUUUCAGAUGUCCUCCCAGACUGGUUUUGGAAUGUAACCUCAACUGUCAAUACCUUGAGUAUUUCCAACAAUCGGAUCAAAGGAACCUUACCCAAUUUAUCAUCAACAUUUGAACGUUUUUCUAACAUAGAUAUGAGCUCAAACUGUUUUGAGGGUUCAAUACCACAACUUCCUUAUGAUGUGCAAUGGUUGGAUCUCUCCAAUAACAAGUUAUCGAGGUCCAUUUCUUUAUUAUGUACAGUUGGUACUGAGUUACUUCUACUUGACCUCUCAAACAACUCGUUGUCGGGAGGGCUGCCCAAUUGUUGGGCGCAGUGGAAAAGCUUGGCAGUCCUUAAUUUGGAAAAUAACAGAUUUUCUGGGCAAAUUCCAAAUUCAUUUGGCUCCUUGCGAUCAAUUCGAACACUACAUUUGCGCAACAACAAUUUAACUGGAGAAUUGCCUUUGUCUUUUAAGAAUUGUACAAGUUUGAGGUUCAUUGAUUUGGCAAAAAAUAGGUUAUCAGGAAAAAUACCAGAAUGGAUUGGAGGAAGCCUCCCAAAUCUGAUUGUUCUAAACCUAGGAUCUAAUAGAUUCAGUGGAGGUAUAUCUCCAAAGCUAUGCCAAUUGAAAAAUAUUCAAAUAUUGGACCUCUCUAGCAACAAUAUGUUAGGUGUUGUACCGAGAUGUGUUGGUAGUUUCAUUGCCAUGACUAAGAAAGGGAGCUUGGUCAUUGCUCAUAAUUAUUCAUUUACAGACUAUGAUAAUUGUAGUUAUUUCAAUUGCAUGCCUACAAAUGCCUCUUAUGUUGAUAGGGCAUUGGUUAAAUGGAAAGCAAGAGAAUUUGAUUUUAAAAGUACCCUUGGGCUUGUAAAGAGUAUUGACCUUUCAAGCAACAAACUAUCGGGGGAAAUUCCAGAAGAAGUAAUUGAUCUUGUAGAAUUAGUUUCAUUAAACUUAUCAAGGAACAAUUUGACUAGACUGAUUCCUGCAAGAAUUGGUCAAUUGAAAUCAUUGGAGGUUCUUGAUUUGUCUCGAAAUCAACUCUUUGGUGAAAUUCCAGCUAGCCUUGUUGAAAUAAGUGAUCUAAGUGUCUUAGAUCUCUCUGACAACAACUUGUCCGGUAAAAUUCCACAAGGUACUCAACUUUAAAGCUUCAAUAUUGAUUCCUACAAGGGAAAUCUUGCACUCUGUGGAUUGCCUCUUCUGAAAAAGUGUUCUGAAGUUAAAAUAAAGCAGGAUUCUCCCACUCAUAACAUUGAAGACAAAAUUCAGCAAGAUGGAAAUGACAUGUGGUUUUAUGUUAGCGUUGCUCUUGGAUUCAUUGUUGGAUUUUGGGGAGUGUGUGGAACUUUACUACUCAACAACUCCUGGAGAUAUGCCUAUUUCCAAUUCUUGAAUAAAAUAAAAGAUUGGCUCUACGUGAUUAUAGCAAUAAAUAUGGCUAGAUUACAAAGGAGUCUCCAAAGCUAAAUGGUACAAUUCUCUCCCUCUUUCCCUCUUUUUCAUUUGUACUUGUUUUUGAAGGCUAACAAUUGUCAAAGAAAAGUAGGCCUUUACAUAUCCUUGGGAUAUACUUUAUAAAUCAUGAAUGCUAAUGCAAAUUUUCUUUGCAUGCAACUAAUUGAAGGGAUUUUUUCAAAUUGAUGAACACUGAUUUUUACUUUGUGUUAAUUAUAGGACUGCAACUCUUGUUCUUGCCAUAUUAGCAUGGUUGAAUGCAAAUCGUUGUGUCCUUCCUUCUGUGAUUGAUCUUGGGAUGUAAUAGGUUUCUUGUUUUAUUUUAAGGAUUUCUUAUGUUCUUUAAAUGCAUAUUUUAUAUUAUAUUCAGAAAUUUCUGUGACAUAUUAUCUCUUUUCUUCCUUACAUAAUGCUUUUAUUUGGUAUUUUGGAUACUUUAUGAUUCAUCCAAACAAUAUUAUAGAAGGAUAUCAAAGGUAUAUUAGAGUCCAGCUUUCUAAUUUUAAAAAUAUUUCUUUAGCUCUAAAACUAAUUUGUAUUCAUUAAAAUUAAAACAAAAAUAAAGGAUAAUGCCAUUUGGUUAUGUAUGACAUAAGUUUUCAACCAAUUAUUAAUAAUCAAAUCAUAAUUUCAACACUAAAGAAAAAAGAAUUUUUUUUUCACAAGUUAUUAAUGAUCUGUUUCUCUCUUUCUAAAAAAAACUAAAUUACUCUAAUAAAUGGGAAACUCUUUCUUUCUUGUCAUCAAAGCUUUUUCACUUGAAGUUGUCUCACAUGCAGAUAAUUUUUGUGAAAUAUUUUGUUUUCAUCAAUUUUAUAGAAUAUUAAGUCUAACUUCUUUUCUUAAUAAAAGGUUUUUUUUAAGCAAUUAAAAAAAUCUCGUGUUAUUUUCUCUAUUUUAACAUAUUUCAACUCUAGGAUGACUAAAAUAUGAUUGAAAAAUAUAAAAUAAGAGAGAAUAAUUAUAUUCUAUAAAAGCCAUUAAGAAUCAAGUCCUAUCAAGUUUUUAAAGUGGUAAAAAUGAAAACUUUUAUAUUACCAUUCUUUUAUAAGUUUUUGUAUUUAUUAGUUUUUAUUUAUUUCUCUAUGAUAAAAUCUUUUAUCUAAAAUAUUUUUCAAUAAUUCUUUAUUAUGAUUUUUUAAAUUUAAAAAUAGAAAAGACUCUAAUUCUUAUUAAAAAUAUUAUUUAUAUUAAUAUUUUCUUCUAAGCUCUUUCUAUUGGAACAAGUAGUGACUAUGUAGACCCCUCAUUUUGGUUCUAGAGGAGACUUAAUUCUUUCUGGUUACCUUUCGUUCUGUUUUCGCCUUUUGGAAGGUGAGUUGUAAAAGACAGGUGGCAAAAGAGGAUAUUCUGGUGGCAGACUGUGAGGGUAAGACAUGUGGCAGUGAGGUUUUGGUUUUUCUGCUAGUCAUUUUAGAGUGAGUAGUGGAGUGUCUUGGUAGUAGGAAGAGCCGGGGGGUUGUUAGAGGGUAGUAGAAAAUGUCCUUUGCAGGGAUGACACGUAUUAGAGGGGAUAUAUUUUGGGUUAUUUGGUUAAAGGUGCCAAAACAAGCUGGUAUUUGGAAAAAUGACCUCUACCUUUUUAAAACCUGAAGAAUGACCCCUUUUGGACUAAAUUACCCCUGAAAAAAAUUAAAGAGAAACCUUUGAAAUUCAAAAGUGCAGAAAGAAAGAUAGAGAACUAACUAAGGGUUCUCUUUUGAAUGGUAGACUGCAACACACUCUUUGGUCUUCUAAUAUUUUUUUUUGUUUUUUUGUUUUUUUGCAAAUUUUCGUAUUACUGCUGAUUAUUUGUCUAAAAGGAUUCUAAAAGGUUAUUCAUUUGAUUAAAGUGUGAAUUUUUUUUUUCUCCAGUUUUUGAAAAAAUGCGGGAAAGGAAGAGAACGAAAUGAAGUGGAAGAGAACCAAAAAGGAUCUUGAAAAGUAAGUUUAUUACUUUGAAAUAGUUUUUUUUUUUAGAUUUUUCUCUUGUUGAUUUCACAUAUUCGCUUGAGGUGUGUAUUUUCUUUCUGCAUUGUUUCAGAAAAAAUAUGGGAGAAAGUAAUGGUUUAUACGUUCACUUUUUGUUAAGCAUAAAUAUAAGGGUUUUUCUUAAAUUUGUUAGCUUAUUCCUCUUUGAUCUUGAACUCUUAAAACACAUUGGUCUACCAAAGAAGAUAUCUAGUUGAAUUGAAAAAAAAAGUCUUUAAUUAGAUUUCUUAGCUAUUUUAUUUUGAUGUUUUGCUCUAGUUGUUAAGAUUUUGAAGCAUGGUGUUGUGACAAAUGCUUUGUUUCUAUAGUGUAGAAAAGUGACAAAUGUGUUUACCAAUUUGGUCUUCUAAAGAGUUGAAUCAUAAUAAGAGAAAUAGAAUUUGCCCCCAUUUUGAUAUCUCCUCCCUAGUGAUUAGAAGAAACAUUUCAUUUGUCCCAUAGGAAAAUGAAUUUGUUUCCUUAAACCCCCAAGUGGAGACAUUGAAGGUGUUGCUAAAGUCUUUUUUCAUAAGCAGUGUUGGAAGAAUGGUUUCGAUUUCUUUUCCAAAAUUCAAAACCCUUCUUUUAGAGUAGUUUUGGCCUUUAUCAUAAAGUGAAAACAACACUUCUUCUAUGAUUCAUGUCAAUUAUUCUCCUUUUGUGUUGCUUAACUUUUAAGUAAUGGAACCAAUAUGAUAUACAUGAAUAGUGUGAAACCAAGGUUUGGUUAAUCUUGAUUUUGAUGAUAACAAAACAAGGUUUAGAACUAAUGAUCAUAUUUCAAGUGUGAUUAGGCAAGACAACUUCCAAAGUGGUAAUCCAAAGACAAAUCAAGCCAAGGAGAAAUCAUGAAGAAGAAGACCACCUCAAAGAGAAGAGUUUUUCAAGACCAAAGCUUCUUAAGAUCUCUUUGUAAGGUUGUUGGUGCACUAGGACUUUCAUGUAUUUCAUUCUUUAUUUAUGCACCAAAAUCAUCCAAGAGUAAUAUUGUUUUAAAUAUCUUAAGAAUUGGAUGAUUUCAUGUUUUUUUAACUAAAACCUUGUGUUAAAUGAUUUUCAAACUUGUGUUAAAAGGUUUUAAGUUGAAAAAGGUUGAGUGUUGAGCCAAAAAAAAUGGCUCAACCGGUUCAACCGGUUGUGCUCGUCCGGUCGAGGACCGGUUGUGCUUCUCCGGUCGAGGACCGGUUGAGGGAGGCGAAAAAGUUUCUCUCUCUCUCAGUGGCCUUCUCUUCCCAGUCAAGGUUGAACCUUAACCGCUUGAGGUCCGGUCGAGGUCCGGUUGAGGCCUAACGGUCACUUUUCCUAACGGCUAGUCAACCGGUCAAACCCCCAACAGCUAGUUUGGCUUUUUUCUUCUAUAAAAAGACUCCAAUCUUCAUUGUUUCAUAAGCUUAACCUUCCCAAUUCAUUCUUGAUUAUAUUUGAGCCUUGGAAGAGUGUUUUUUGAGUGCACCAUUGUUUCAUAACUUGCAUAUCUUUAGUGCACCAUUAAAUCCUAGUUUUUUUUGUAUCUUUGAGCCUAAAGUUCUAUUACUAGGAUUUUGAGAGAUCAUUAUUUGUAUGUCUUUGUGAGGAAUUUUCUCAAGUGCGAGGUAUCACUUGAGGGGUUGUUCAAGAGUGGGAUAUCUCUUGAGAAGUGUAAAGGGUGCUUGGAGCCAAAAGUCCAAGAGGGUGAAUUGGAACCAUAAUCCAAUUGUAAAGAGAUUAGAAGCUUGGUUGAAGCUUCAAGAUAGUGGAACCCUCACUCGGUUAGGAGGUUGAGGAGAGUGGAUGUAGGCAAAGAAGUGCCGAACCACUAUAAACUCUCGUGUUUGCACUCUCUCUUCCCUAACUCUUUUAAAUUAUAUGCAAUUGUAUUUAUUUUGUUUAUUAUAUACUUGCAUAUAAUUGUUUCUUAUUUUUGCAUAGUUUAAAUUUGUGAAAAAGAGACCAUCACCCUAUUUACCCCCCCUCUAGGGUGAUUACCAUAGUUUGGAGUAGCCCUAUUUUUCUAACAAAUAGUCAUUCUUUUCUAUUAAUGACAAAAUUGGAGAUCAUUGUAGUCUUUGCCAAUUGGGUGUCUAGUUUUUUAGAAAUUUAGGGGAAAAAUUUGUGCCUAUUUGUAGUUCUUUUCCCAAGGGAUAGAAAGGUGGUUUAACUGAAAAUCUCAAUUUUCAUCAAACUAUUUGCAUCCCUUGCCUAUCUAUAGUCUCGAUUUCACUUGUAUAUAUUGAGAAGAAAAUCACUACUCUCCCUUAGAGGUAAACCAACAUUAAGAAGCACCCCAUCAAGGUCUAAACCCAGUUUGCUUUUACUAGAUCAUAAGUGACAUUUGCUAAAUUUGGGACCCAGUUGGUCCUACAAUGCAAACCACAACAUUGAAAUAGUAAUCUCUAACAAAAGUCAUGACAAAGAACAAUCCCAACUGAGGGCUGAAAUAUUACUCACAACUAAAAUAUUGAGUGAGAUGAUGCAUAUGCAUAGCUAGAAUACUUCUGCCAUAUGCUUUCUAUAAGUAAGGAUAGUCCUUUAGAACUUCACUUAUAUCUAGAUAUAGAUGCAAGGAAAAGCAAUAUGACAUGGAGUCAUGAUUAGUUCUUAAAAUUUAGGCAUGAAUAACCAAAGUGUUUGAACUCUUUAGAAAAUCAUGUGCAUUAUGCAAUCUCUUUAAUCAAUAAAAGAUUUAAAAGAAUUGAAUGAAAAAUGUAGUGUAAGUUUUAUCAAAAUGCAAAUUUCUAAAACUUGUUUCUAAGGUGAUGUAAAAUAAUGUUAUACAAUGGUCUUUAUUUUUUCUCUCUUUUAUAUAAAUAUACAUAUAUACUUAGUAUAAACUUAUGGAUUUUAAUAAGUAAAUUCAUGAUUUUAAUAAGUGGUCUAAGUGUCUUAGAUCUCUUUGACAACAACUUGUUCAAUAAAAUUCCACAAGGUACUCAACUUCAAAGCUUCAAUAUUGAUUCCUACAAGGGAAAUCCUGCACUCUAUGGAUUACCUCUUUCGAAAAAGUGUUCUGAAGAUAAAAUAAAGCAAGAUUCUCCCACUCAUAACAUUGAAGAAAAAAUUCAGCAAUAUGGAAAUGACACGUGGUUUUAUGUUAGCGUUGCUCUUGGAUUCAUUGUUGGAUUUGGGGAGUGUGUGGAACUUUACUACUCAACAACUCAUGGAGAUAUGCCUAUUUCCAAUUCUUGAAUAAAAUAAAAGAUUGGCUCUACGUGAUUAUAGCAAUAAAUAUGGCUAGAUUACAAAGGAGUCUUCAAAGCUAAAUGGUACAAUUCUCUCCCUCUCUCCCUCCCUUUCAUUUGUACUUGUUUUUGAAGGCUAACAAUUGUCAAAGAAAAGUAGGCCUUUACAUAUCCUUGGGAUAUACUUUGUAAAUCAUGAAUGCUAAUGCAAAUUUUCUUUCCAUGCAACUUACUAAAGAGAUUUUUUCAAAUUGAUGAACACUGAUUUUUACUUUGUGUUAAUUGCAGGACUUCAACUCUUGUUCUUGCCAUAUUAGCAUGGUUGAAUGCAAAUCGCCGUGUCCUUCAUUCUAUGAUUGAUUUUGGGAUGUAAUAGGUUUCUUGUUUUAUUUUGAUGAUUAUCUAUGUUCUUUAUAUGUCUAUUUUGUCCUUUAUUCAGAAAUUUGUGUAACGUAUUAUCUCUUUUCUUCCUUACACAAUGCUUUUAUUUGGUAUUUGGAUACUUUAUGAUUCAUCCAAACAAUAUUAUAGAAGUAUAUCAAAGGUAUAUUAGAGUCCGACUUUCUAAUUUUAAAAAUAUUUCUUUAGUUUAUUCAUUAAUUUUUUUUUUAAAAAGGAUAAUUGGUUAUGUAUGACAUAAGUUUUCAACCAAUUAUUAAUAAUCAAAUCACAAUUUCAACACUUAAGAAAAAAGAAAUUUUAAUCGCAAGUUAUUAAUGAUCUGUUUCUCUCUUUCUAAAAAAAUUAAAUUACUUUAAUAAAUGGGAAACUCUUACUUUCUUGUUGUCAAAGCUUUUUCACUUGAAGUUGUCUCACAUGCAGAUAAUUUUUGUGGAAUAUUUUGUUUUCAUCCAUUUUUUGCUUGUCUCAAGUUAACUUCGUUUUCUUCUUAGUGGUUGAUUUUAUGGAUCCAUCACUAAAUCUGAUUAUUAAAGAUCAUGCCCCAACUUUCUUUUGAUUCCACCCUAGUGUAGCUCAUUGACAAUCCAUGAAAUAGGGCUAAGAUUCAUUGAUGUUUCGUUUAUUUGUUCGUUUGUGCUUUGCCCCUGUUUUGUUCUUCCCUAUAUUCCUCUAUUUCUGGUGUCUCUGGGUGAGGAUACAAUAACUUUGGUCAGACAGUCUUUGAGAAGUAUACAGAUUCCUGGUAUCAUCACCAUUUUGUUGGCGUGUUGGAGAAGUAUUGCAUUGGACCAGGAUGAGAAGGUAAGAAACUUCCAGCUUCGGAGCAAUACCUUUGCUUUCUUACUGAUUUCCAAAGCUGGGACUGGAAAUCUGAUCACUAAAAAGAAUAGUGAGCAUUUCGGGUUGAAUGAGGGUCCUUCGAGAGUCUACGGAUGAUGGCCACUUGAUUUUGGAGUUGGGGAACGAAUUUUCUCACUACCGAUGAUAUGAGUGUCAUACUAGUUGCAAAACUGAAGAGAAGAUUGGGAUGUGAAAUGUGGGCAAAAUUACAUUUGACUGGCAUGCAUGUUGACUAGGGUAUCAAGUUCCACUGGAGAUCAGGUAGAGGCAAUGGCCUUUCUAGGGGGUUUUAGACAUAAAAUGUGCUUUAAUGGCAUGAGAAUUUCUGGGUCCCUUUCAUCUAGUACUGUUCAUUUGUUAAUUUGGAGACCCAUUUUUGGUUUUGUUGAGGGUUCUGAGUUGAAGCUGGCCUGUGUUCAUGUGCAAAGCUAUCUUAUAUUUGUUUUGUUGAUAGAAUGUUAAAAUCAUUAAGAGUGAUAGUUUACGCCGAGCCACAUUGUUCAGAAAGGAGAAGUGGUUUUGAAGGAAUCAAUCCCAUGAAGUAGUUGCCUCCAACAAAGAUUUGGGCAUUUUGCAUGAAUAUAGAGUGGUGAUAAUUGAAGGAGUCUGGGGCUCUGAGCAUUGACACUUGAAGAAUGGCUUCAACAGGGCCACCAGACUUUAAAGAGAUUGAAUUCCUCGUUAACAAGAGAGGGAAUCCAGCUGAUUAUCACCCAUCUUGGUACUGGAAAUGAAAUGGGCUGUUCCUGUGCCUACACGUCUUAUAAAGGGAAAACCAUAUUGUUUGACUCUGGAAUUCUUCCCACAUACACAGGCACGGUUGCUUUGCCAUACUUUGACGAGAUUGAUCUUUCAACCAUUGAUGUCCUUUUGGUGAUACCCUUUCACUUGGAUCAUGCUGCAUCCCUUCCAUAUUACCUGGGAGAAGACAUUUCUGUGCAUUCAGACAGUAACAUGAAAGCUCGGUUCCUGAAACAGCACUUGCAGCUGCAAUCAAUCAAGCUCUUUCCCACCCAAGCCCUUGGUGCAUGUGACUUCUUCUGCAUGGCCAACCAAAGUUUCUACAAAGCCCUCCAUCAAAAUCCUUCCUCUAUCCAAUCCAAAUCCCAAGCCAAACAACUCCGUGCCUAAAACCUGAAGACAAACUCACUAUCUCCCCAAUCUUCAUACCCACCAAAUUCAUCAUGACAUACCCACCACCAUCAGUUUGUUUCCCAUCACAAUACUCAACACAAUCACUCCUCACACCCUCUACCUUCAACUUCAAACCCAUCAUACUCUCUCCAUGAUCCUCACUUUCCUUUCUCUCCCUAACAUGCUCUUCAGACGGUAACCAUAAAUCAACCAGAAGCAGCUCCUGGGUGGGCCCUAGUGGGCUAACCUCUCUCAUCCGGUUUCUCAUCAUUGCCCAAGACGACCUUGACAUACCAGUAGCCACAGUUCAGCUAGUAGAUGCGUCCAUGUGUGACGUUACUUCCACUCAGCAUGAAGAGAAGUCCUAUAGUUUAUUGCAUCCAGUCAUCACAAUUCUUGAUGGAAAAGAACGAGAUAUUGCUUGUCUUGUUACUAAAGUCGAGGAUUUAAUAUUGGAAGAUAACAAUAUGAAGUUUAGGCUAAAAUGGAUGAUUCUAUACUGGUUUUCGUACCCGUUUAUUCAUCCAAAGACGAUAAGCUACAUGUGUGAAGACAUUGGAAUCAUCUCAAGAUCCCAAAAUAGUCUCCAUGCUAAUGGCAGUAGCAGAGCCAGUGGAGCCAUGGAACCUCAAGCCUCUAGGAGCAUAGGACUGUCGGAGGAAAAUUCGAUGAGAAGAAGCACAAGGUUGGAUGCCGCCUUCAACUGAGCAUGUAAUGCUAUUUAGUUCUUCUCAUUCUCAGCACCCAAAAAGCUAGAAGGACGAUUUGAGGUGACUCAAGUUCAACAAGCUGUGAGCCUAGGAAUGGCCCCACGUGCAUGAAGUUUCGCACCACCCAAGAGCACGUGGCCCUUUUGAAUCCGACAGUGUUCUUGUUUAUAAUAGUGAAAUAUUUGGAGGAAUUCAUGUUGGCAGCAACUAUAGAUGCUCAGAACUCAAUCUGGACACAACUAUAUUACUCAUAAACCUAUUGCUAAGAAAGUAAUAAUGGAAUACUGAAAAUGGCUUGCCAACCUCUGAUAAGCAACUUCUGGUAAUCAUAAAGAAGACGAGAUACGGAAUGGAAAUCAAAUCAUGGUGCCCGAGCCUUUGGGAAACUCCUCAUUACCAAAGGAGAGAGAACCUGUUAUUGAUGCCGAUAAGCUUUCUGUCACCAAUAUAUCACCAUCGGGAUGCUUGGCAAACCUCCUUGAAGACCACUCUGGUAGAAUUGAUGCUCUCAUAGUUAAACUUCCAAAGUGGGUUGCUACAUCUGCACUCAAUCAGUUCAUGUUGUUAAAGGCUGAUAAGCUUGACAAGGCAGAAGCUCCUCAAUUGCCUAUAUGGCCCCAUCAUGCAUUCCCACAAGUUGACACAAAUCCAUGGUGGUGCUUAAGGAUCAGAAUCAGACAUAGCUUAGGCACGCUGAAGAUUGCUAGAUGAGAAGCAGUAUCCAAGCAUGGUGAUUGGUUUAGAGGCCCAUCUACCAAAAAUCUGAAGACUAAAUGUUUGGGAAGGAUUAAGUUGAGGUAGGCCUACAGUCAAAAAGCUGAAAAGCAACAGAAAACAGGUUGUGAUUGCUUCGGGGAGUGAUUGGGGCAUUUAAGCAAAGAUUCCCUACUAUCCUGAUGAGAAUCAGUAAGGCUGGAAAGACCAUGCUGAUGAAUGUUCUAGAAGAAAGACAAGCUAGAGGUCAUAUUGAAAGGAAACAUUAGAAUAUCUGGGUUCUCCAAGCAGCAUUAAACUUUUGCAAGAAUUUCCAAUUGAGCAGAAUGAUAUCCACUCUCCUCCAGUUACUGUUAUUGAAUCUUUGAUCUACUCAUUUCUUUCCUGGAGCUCAUCUUUUAACUCUUUUAUCUUUGUAAGGAUUUACAUGCUGCCUUAAAUUGAGUUUUCAAAACUUUUCCAUUAAAAUAAUUCCUCUUUUCUAAUUUCAUCCUUAGGAGUUUCUAGGUAAUAAAUUUUAGCUUUCAUAAAAGCUUGCUGCCGUAUUUCACUCCGACAGGCACUUCUUAUCAUCUCCCUUGUCUUUUUUAACAAUUUUCUUGAUUUUUAAUAAGCACGAUUAAAUUCUCUAAUUCUAGAAAAUGGAACUUAUAGAAUUAAUUCCUGCAAAAAUAAUUCGGGUAGUGGUGGGGCUCAACAUACAUGUUAUUCUCUUUUGUGGAUUAAUUCUAAUUGAUAUGCUCAUUGAAUAUUGACUGACUUUGUGUGACAUACAUGUGAUUAAUUCCAUGAUAGCACAUUAUUGAUUCGCUGCUCAGGUACACAUCCUAUCUUUUCCCAUCUGUUUGAUCACUAUCCAUUGAGUACUUUGACUAUAGUAUGUCUUUGAUCACUAUUUGGUAUCCACGAUUAAUCGGUUAAUUGUCGUACAUGCCUCAACUUAAUUAGUAGAGACCCAUUUUUAGGGGCUUAGAGGGUUGUUACAACUUAUCACCAUACCUUCUAGAUAGGUAACCUAACCCUCGGACCUAACCCGGUUUUUCCAAAAACUAUUAUUUCUUUUAAGAGUCACACUUAGGGUUUUUCUUUCUUAUUUUGUUUUUCCCUUAAAAAAUUAAACAAAAAUAAAUAACAACUCUUUAAAUAAUUUUCAAAAAAAUCAAAUUUUCAAAUAAAAAAUGAGUCUCGCCAUUCGUGUGGGGAUGCAUGAGAAAAAGGCCGGUCCACAGACUGACUUUCUUGUGAAGGCAAAUUGAAAGUGAGGACCAUAGUUUCAAUGGUGCUAACCUCAAUAAAAACCAACCUCAUUAAACCUCGUUGGUAUAGCCACAUAGAGUUACUUUCUAAUUUUCUCAUUUUUUUGGGCUCAAAACUAAUCAACUAACAACUAUUAUCAUAUAAUUAUUUGUUUAUUUAUAAAUAUAUUCUAAUAAUAAAAUAAAAUAUUUGAUUAACAUGUUUGAGAAUACCUAUAAAUAUUUAAAUAGUACCAAUGAUAAUAUCCAUUAAGGAUUAUUAUCUUAAGUUGCUUACUUUAUUUUUGUUAUACACUUAUAAUGACCCACUUGCCAUAAACAAAGCUAUUAAGUUCAAGGUACAUAUAGGUUAUGUUUGGUUCUUAGAAAAUUUGAAAGAAAAUAUAAGGGAAAAAAAAUAGGAGGGAAACGUAAAAGAAAAGAACAAUUGAAGAAAAAAAAAGAAUUUAAAGACAACAAAUUAUUUUUAUAUGACAUUUCAAACUUAUUUAACUUAUUUUAACUCUUCGAUAUAAAGAUAAAAUAAUUUGAAAAUAUAUAAGUUUUUAAUUAAUUUUAAUUAUAUUUGAUUUUUUAGAGGACAACCAAACAUAAGAAAAUCAUUUUUCUAAACAUUUUUUUCUUUUCUUUCCUUAAUACUUCUCAAAAAUCAAACAAAACCAUAACAUAUUUUUUUUAUAAUAAAUCUUUAUUCUUUAUUCAUGCAAAAUUCCUUUACUGACUUGAGCAUAGGAGUUAUAUAUAUAUAUAUAUAUAUAUUAUUAUGAAAAAUACUUGUAAAACAUUAUUAUCAAUUUCCUUGUUAGAAAAGCCAAUAUUUUAUCAUAUUUUAGUUUUCAUUUUAAUAUUUCAUUAUCACAAAAAUAAAAAUAAAAAUUAAAACUACAACUGUUUUACACUUUACCUUUAAAUUAUAGUUUUAAAGUUGAAUUUACUUAUCUAUUUUUAAUUUAAUUGUCUAAGCCUUUAAUAUAAUUGUUUUUAGGUUGUUCUAGGUCCUUCAAGUUUCAACUGCAACUAGGAACUAAUCGUCCCAAGGCUGGAGCCACAAACCAUUGAAUUGGGCUCGAAUCCCAUAUCUUGGGCCUAUUAAUGAGAGGCCUACCCUUUUUCCUUUACAAAAGACUAAGUUUGCCACCAAGCCCAUAUUCUUUUAUUGUUUAGAUUUGGAUCCUAACAUGCUACCCUUCUUUAAGUCCCAACAUUUUCAAGCCCAAAGUCUCAACCUUGUUAAAUGUCAUAAGUUCUCUAAGUUGAGGUUGCCUCUAGAAUGCAAUUAAUAAUAUUAAAAUGUUAUGAUUAAAAGAUAAUUAAUGAUAACAAAUAUAGGUUAUGAAAUUUUAAUAUCUCUAUUCUAAGAACCUAUAAAUAGAAUAACAACUUGACUAAUAUUAAAAUAUAUCAUUUGUAUAGAAAUGUAUCAUAUUUAUAGCUUGUUGAAUUUUGAAUAUCUUUGUUAUAGUAACAUAUAAAUAAAAUAAUAAAUUUUCCGAUAUUAAAAAUGUAUAUUUAUUUAGAAAGUAUGUAUAAGGAAAAUGAUAAAUUGACUAAUCAUCUUAAAAAUAUAUUUAUUUAGAAAACAUGUGACAUUUUUCUCAUCAUAUUCUUCAUAUUUGUAAGAAAGAUAUCAAAAGCAUCCUAAAAAUUAAAUCUAUUAUUCACUAUACUUUGAGAAGUAUCCUAAAAAAUUUCAAUGCUAGUUUACAUGCAUUCUAUAUCAACUUCUUGUUAGAUUGCUAGUGCACCUCAUGUUCUGCAUCUAGCAUCCUAAAAGUUUUCAUAAUGAACUUCAAAAUGAAUUUUCAUGUUAUUUCCAUUUCCAAGUCAAGGCCAAAUACAUAUUAAAAUCAAACACACAUAUAUAACUAAAACUAAAAGGUUUAAAAGGCUUAUUUAUGCAAAACAUCCAAAUAUCUCGAAACAUCUUCUUUUCUUUUCGUUUGUUAAAUGUUUCAUAGAGAGAAAGUAGAACACCUCAACCUGUGACAUGGGUCCUUCAAAAUGAACAAUGUUAGUGGAAACUAUAAGUGUAUUUUGUGUAUUGGAAAUUUCGAGUCAAUCAUAGCUCAUAUUUUUCAAAUCCUCUCUUGGACACUUGCCUUUUGCAAAUUAUUCAUGUUUGAAGAUGGCUAAAGGAAUUGGUAAGUGCAUUUGAGGUGAUGGAUGAUGGUAAAAAAUGAUCAAUCAUAUUUUAAUUUUAUAUCCUUUUAUUGAAAAAUGAAAUUGAAGCUUAAAAGUGUAAAACAUUGUGUUUAAAAAAUUUGGAUCGAUUUUUGUUAAUCGAACUAAAGAGUAAUAGUUUAUCCUGAACCCAUAUUUUUCAGUCUUGUCCGAUCGAUCAUAUUUCGAUCACACUUGUGAAUUUUUAUAAUUUUUCAAACAAAUCUCAAUCAAUUGAUGAGUUUCAAAACCCUAAUACUUAACAUCUCUUUCCAGACGUGGAGAGAUGACUGUGAGGGUAAAAACCCUGGUUUUUGAGCUUCAAGAUUCUCUUACUAUAUUGGGGAGUGUUUGCCUUAUGAGAUAAUUUAUGAGUUUCAAUUGAAAAUCAGUUUUUGAGUAAAAAAUCUUUAGUUCCAAAUGGGUUAAUUCAUUGUCUUCUUCAUCCUAUCUCUCAUAUUGCUCUCAUAUCCAACUUAUUGGGGUAAAACCUAAGAUUCUUCCUUUGUGGACUUAAGAAAAGGCUGAGAUCAAAGCUUUGAGUGAAUUUCAAGUAUUUUCUUGAAGAAGAAUGAUGGUAGCUAAAGCUCAAAGGUUCUAGGCAAGUGGUCUGAGAAAGAAUGAAAGACUUAGGCUAGGUAAAACCUUGUACUCAACUAUUUUUUCUUCAUAGUGGAUUAUUUGAUUGCUUGAGGCCCAUGGUUUUUUUUAUCUCUUUAGAGGUUUUCCAUGUUAAAAAAAAAUUGGUGCCAUUUCCUUUCCUUUCUAUUUUAUCUUCUAAUUAGCAUUUCAUAAGCUUAUGAUAUUUUUCAUUGUGUUAUGGCAAUUGAGUUAAUUAGAGCAUGAGCUAAAAUGCAUCUAUUGAAUCUUUGAAAGAACAAGAUAUAUGUUAGUUUUUGUUGAUUGAUGACAAGGGGCAUGUGAACAAAAGUUUUUAUGUUGAUGCAAUGUUUAAUAUAUUAGGUUUAGGGAGUGUUGUCUCAUUUGCAUGUGACUUGCAUUGAAUAACUUGUUUAGGAGAGUGUUGGUGCAUCCAUUGUUGCUUGUGAUUCGCUUGUUUGUUCAUAAAGUUGAAAAAAAAAAUCAUUGUAUAACGGAAAAACAGGGAAAUUGUGAGCAUUUAUGAGAUACCUAUCUUAUUGUUUUAAAAAACACCUAUUCGCCCCCUUCUAGGUGUUAUCCAUAAGUGAGAUUCAUCUUCAAUUGGUAUCAGAGCGAGUUUCAAAGCAAAAAUCAUUAUCGAUCCGUGAAUCUCAAAUAUGGAACCUCAUAAAGAGGGUGAUUCAAUUGGGAGACCCCUCUUUUUAAUUGGCGAAAAUUAUUCUCAUUGGAAAGUGAGAUUACAAUAUUUUCUCAAAAUGCAAAGUGAAAAAGUAUGAAAUACCGUUGAAUUUGGUUUGCCUCCACCAAAUGUGUUGGAUAGAGAAGGUAGACUAACAAAUGUGAUCAAGCCUAAAUUGGAAUGGGAUAGAGGUGAAAAUGAAGCUAGUGAGAACAAUGCUAGGGCCAUGGAUUCCAUCUUCAAUGCCAUUAGCACAGAUGAAUUCCAUAGGAUUACUACUUGUACCUCAGCUAAGGAAGCUUGGGACAUCCUCCAAGUGACUCAUGAAGGAACCAAUGUUGUUAAAGUUUCUAAACUUCAAAUGUUGACUUCUAGGUUUGAGACAAUUAGGAUGGAAGCUCAUGAGAAUUUUGGAGAGUUUCAUGCAAAAUUGACGGACAUUGUGAAUUCUAGUUUUAAUCUAGGUGAACCCAUCCCUAAUUCCAAAGUGGUUAGAAAUAUUAUAAUAUAUCUUUCAGAGAGAUUUAGAGCAAAAGUCACCACCAUUAAAGAGUCUAAAGCUGUGGAUUCCUUGAAAAUUGAUGAACUUGUAGGUUCCCUCCAAACCUUUGAAAUGAUUCUUGUAUUACCUGGGAAAGUUAAGGGAAUUGCUUUAAAAGCCAUUAAAAAAGAGUCUCUAAGUUUCGAAAGUGAGGAUGAUGAGAAAAUGUUAGAAGAUGAGCUUACUAAGUUUGCUAAAAAAUUCAAGAAAUACAUGAAAUUCAGAAAAUCCAAGAAUGAAUCAAAUGAUGCUAAAAAAAAAUGGAGGAACUCAAUUAGAAAAAAGAAAAAAUUGGAAAAAGAUGUGAAAAAAGAGUUGGAAAUUGAGUGUUUUAAAUGUGGGGGAAAGGGUCACCAUGCAUUUGAAUGUCCUUAAAAGAAAAAGAAUAAUAAAGCCAUGCAAGUUACUUGGAGUGACUCCGAGUCUAAUCGAACAAGUGAAAAUGAAUCAAAUGAAUAAGAUGAAUGCACUAACUUCAUAGCCUUUACUGCAACUAUCAAAGAGGAACCUCUAUUAAAAGAAGCCUCAAGUGAGUUAAAGUGAGUCAAGUGAAAGAAUCCAAUGAUGAUGACAUGUGUUUUGACACAACAUAUGAGAUUUUUUAUAAGGAGUGCUUAAGCCUUAAAUAAGACAAGUCAAGUAGACGACUUCUAAGAGGAUUUUAACCAAUGAGAUUGAUGUUUUAAAGAGAGAAAAAAAGACUUUGCUUGAUAAAAUUACAUUUCAUAAAAAUGAACAUUUGGAAGUGAAGAAAAAGUGUGAUGUGUUGAAGAAUGAAAGUCAAAUGUUCAAGGAUGAGUUAAGCCUUAGGAAGGAAGAGUAGUAUCCUAGCUUUAAGAGACUUAAUGAGUUGAUCAAUUCAGGGAGAAAAUCUUUUGAUAGAAGAGGUCUAGGAUUCGUUGAUGAAAAUGUUACUCUAAGUAACGAUAAGAUAGUUUUUGUUAAGCCUUGUGAAGAAAAAUUUCCUAAGAAAACUCUUUCUCAUAUCAAGUUUCAUUGCACUCAUUGUGGAAAAGUGGGGCACACUUUUGAUAGAUGUUAUACAAGAUUGUUUGAUAAUUUUCAAAGGAAAUUGACCAACCUAAUGAAUGAAUGUCAUGCAUUGAAGGAUAGGUUGUUGAAUGUGAACAAGAGAGUGUCUAUGAAGUCUUCAAAUAUCCCUUAUAAUGGUAUCUUGAUAGUGGAUGUUCACUCCAUGUGACUGGAAAUAAAUCUUUUUUCAGAUCACUGAUUUUGAUGGAGGAAAUGUUACAUUUGAGGAUGGUAAUGUGGCUAGAGUGAAAGGAAAAGGCUUUAUAUGUGCUUCAGGUAUUCCUAAGCUUGAAGAGGUCUUAUAUGUGGAAGGUUUAAAGGCCAACUUAAUAAGCAUAAGCCAAUUAUGUGAGAAUAAUCUUAAUGUCCAAUUUUCAUAAAAUGUGUGCAGUGUGUUUGACUUGAAUGGUGAUUGUGUGAUGAUUGACUUGAAAACUUGUAAUAAUUGCUAUGUUGUUAGUCAAAAAGCUCUUUCCUCUUCUUCUCUUGUGUUUGAAAGUUCUAAAAUUGAUUUUGUUGAUCACUUGUGGCAUAAUAGAUUGGUUCAAAAUGAAAAAAGGUGUGUCAUUCUAAAGAUUAGGAGUGAUAAGGGAGAAAAAUGGAUGAUGUUGGUGUCAUUCAUAGAUCAAAGAAUCAUCUUCAUCAUUUUAGAGGCAAACUCACUGCUGACACUAGACAUUGCUUCAAUAAAGACUUGGUAGAAGACAAACUUGUUUCCUUCAAAUAUGUUCCUACCGAGUGUCAAAUAAUUGAUAUCCUCACUAAGCCUUUGGAUGUUUCUAGGUUUGAGUCACUUAGGAACUCCAUAGUCUUAUGUUUUCUAAGUUGAUUGUCUUUAAGGCCUCUCUAUGACAUCCCUUCUUUGUAAAUUCUUUCUUCUUAGAGGUUUCAUAGGCUUAUUGAGUCCUUGUGUUGCCUUGUUUUUCUUUUCUCAUGGUUCUCAUUCUUGUUUUUUUUUUUUGUUUUGGUAUCUCCUUAAACCCUUUUUCCUCUCUAGUUUAAACAUAGAUGUUUGUUUUUAUGAGGACUUGACAUUGUUUUCUUUUUAGCAAAUGGUUAUUUCGUGUCAUAAUGAUCCAAAAGUAUUCCAAGAUAUGAAAAUCCUUCUUGUGUUGGUGUGAGAUGGAGCAUAACGUGCUUAUUGUUUAGCUUUGCUUGGAUAAGCUACAACAUACUUAUUUCAUAACCAUUGAGUAAUUAACAACUUGUGGAGUGAUUUAUGAUUUCAUAAAAACUGAUAAAUGAUUUGUAAAGUUCAAUUGUGGGUCUAUAUCAUUCAAUGUGCCUUAAAGUAUGAGUAAAGCCACAUGAAUCUUCUUGAGAAUUUGAAUUUGUGUAUCUUGAUUGUUUACACUCUCCAAAAAAAAAAAUUAUUCAUUUCUCGGAAUGGUUAAAGCACCAUGGCAAUGUUUCAAGUGUAAAAAGUCUCCAUUAAAAAAGUGGGGCAUCCCUUUAUGUUUGUAAUGACAUAUUUGUAAUGGCCACCUUAGUGAUCUUAAAUUCAACAAUCUAUCCUAAGUGUGUUUUCAACAUGUUAUCAAAACAAAUUAAAAAAAAAAACAACAAGAUGUGAUGUUUGUUUGCAUUUCAAGGGAUGUAUAUUUAGUCAAAGAAUGUAUUUUUUACUAUGUUAAAUAGAAAUCUGGUCAAGGGAGAUGUAAAUUGACUUUAAGAGAAAUAAAUUUGAGUUUCUUUAGGGAUGGAUAUGAUUUUGAAAUUUUUUUUUUUUUUGGUUCAUGGAUAUCUAUAGCCUUAUAAGUUGAGAUUAUUUAUCAUUUUUAGUUUGUUAUGGUCUUAUGAGUGUACUCUUUAAGCCAAAAAUCGUUUGAUGGAGUGUUAAUAAUUUCUUGUUUUAUUUAUCCUUGUCAUAUGAGAAAUUGAUGAGUUUCUGUAUAUUUCAUGCUUUGUCAUUCAAUUCAAAAGUCUCUCGUUGACAUUUUUUUUAUUAUUAUUAUGCAUUUUAAUGACCAAAUGCUAAAUGCUUUUCACUUUGAGCUCUAAUGAAUUUGUUUCUAAUGUCUUUUUUCAUUUUUCUUAAGAUUGUACAACUUUUUUUACUCAUUUUUUGUUGAUUUUUUUGUCAUAUCUUGAUCAUUGGUCAUUUCAAUCAAUUGUUUUUUCAAGAAAAACCGAGUAUUGUGAAGCGUGAUUGAACUGUGAACGAUCAACUUUUGAUCAACUAUGUUUUUCUAACCUUGGCUGAGAACUAUAUUAUGUGAUUGAAAUGUAAUUGAUCGACUUUCGAUCAACCAUGUUUUGUCUAACCUUGGUUGAAAACUAUAUUAUGUGAUUGAACUUGGAUCGAUCCAUCUUCGAUCAACUAUGUUUUUGUUGGCUUGACUAACAAUUGUAUUGUGUGAUCAAAUUUAUUCUCUAGUGCUUUAAAUAAAAAAAAAAUCAAAAGCAAUAGAUAAAAUACAUGUUUAAAUGGAAAGGAAAAAAGUGUUUUUCCAUUUCAAAACCAAAUCCCUAAAUUUCUUCAAAUCCUAGCUCCUUCCAACCCACUUUUCUCUCAAAACACUUUUUGCUCGUCACUUUCUCUUCACCAAAGCAUUCAAAGUUUUCCAUUGCUCUUCUCCAUGGGUGGCUUCUAACUUCUAAAUCCUUCUCACAUCUCUCCAAGAAAGCGUGUUUUAUUGUGGAUUGUGGUGUCGAUGGCUAGUUGUUCUCCAUUGCUAGAUAAGUUUGGUUUUUCUUUAAAUCUAAGGUUUGAUUAGGGAAGAUUUCUCAGGAUCUCUCAAAUUCUUAUUUGUAUGGUUCGUAAGUUGAGUACUUAUUCACCGAGUAUAUUCCAAUGGAGUGGUGGAAUUAUCGAAUUCCAAUGGCAAAGACAGCUUCAAAGUCAAUGGAUAUCGUCUCAAGCCAUUCAUGGAGCCAUUCAAACUAGAAAAGGAGGCAAUCAACCUCCUUGAACGUCAAAAAGCCUAAGUGAAAAAGGGUUUGCUGAACGUGGUUUUACCAUAGUUCAGUUUGUAAAUUUUGUAAAAUUUCAAGUUUUUUUCUGUACAUUUGAUCUUAGUUUUUGAUCUUAAAUCAUGUUUCUAGGUGUGUUUUAAUUGUUUUGAAUGAUCCCAGGUGGAAGAAAUUUCAAGGGAAUUGAAAGAAAAAAAAAUCGGGUCGAAAUCGGAGCAGAAACAGAGCAAAAACAGAGGAAAAGCAAAGCUCUGCGAAAUUUCGCAGAAUGAAGAAAACCUCUGCGAAAUGAGCAUUUUGUUGCCAAAUCAUUCCGCAACACUUUAGGAUUCUCUGCGAAAAUUUUCGCAAUUGCGAAAGUGGAAAUGGCACACGAGUGCCACUUCGCAGCACAGGAGCAUCAGUUUUGCAGCUGCGAAACGCAUUGCGAAGUGGAAAAACGUGAUUUCGCACCAAAAGUCCCAUUCCGCAGCGUAAUUCGCAAUUGCGAAAACGAUUUUGGCACACGUGUGCAACUCCGCAGCACAGUAACAUCAAUUUCGCAGCUGCGAAACGCACUGCGAAAUUGCUGCGAAAAUGGCAUUUUGCUGCGAAAUUGGCGUUUUAUUGCGAAACUCAAACUGACCCUUAGGCUUCCGUUUUUCCUAUUUAUACCGGUCAGUUGAGCUGCGAAAAGGGUUUCAAAAAUCAAAGCACCAUUUUCGCAGCCUGUUCGUCUUCUUCAGUGAGCCUCGCCGUCCAACUUCCGGUCAUCCUCUCCGUUCAUCAACGCCGGCCAAAGUUCGGUAGCCCAAAAUGGCGCGAACGCGAGGAGCUAAGUCUUCAUCUCCUUCGAACCGCAAAAAGACGCUGCGAAAGGAGCCACUUCUAGAUUCUGCUCCAGAGCCUUCGUCGUCAAAACCAAUUCCACCUCCGGCGAAGCCCGCGCCACCAAAGCCACCGGCAAGACGAUAUUUAACCAGGUCAGGAGGUCGACCAUUACAAAAGAAGCCAAGGGUUGAGAGCUCAGAACCCAUCGAUUUGACUGAACAAUCCCUUGAGCAAUCCCCAGAGCAGUCACCGGUUCAAACUCCGGUAUCCUCACCAAAUCCUUCUUCAGUUGCAACCCCAGUUCCCUCGCCAGUUCAGUCGCCGGUACCAUCUCCGGCGCCGCAAAAAAAAUUGAAGAAGUCUCAAGCGCCACUUCCAGAGCCCCAAAUUCAAUCUGAAGUAGCUCCGGAAGAAGUGAUCAGAAGGCCAAUGCUAACUCAGCCCCCAAUAGAGGGAAAUUUGGAUUGUCGAUCUUGGCCAUUCCAUUCCGACUUGUGUUUCGAUAUAGCAGCAUUCCAAGUGAGGCCGGAGCUAGCCCAAUCAUUCCAGCUGCUGAGGAGGUACCAUAUGGAGCAUCUGCUAGCUCCAAGAGAUUUUUUUCUACCCCCGGAUAGCAAUGGAUUUCUACCAAUCCAUGACAACCAAAGAGGUUAGAAAUCCAACUUUGAUUCAUUUUACUAUUGAAGGAAGACAUGGUGUAUUGGGAGCACGCCACAUUGCUGAAGCCCUGCAAAUUCCUUUUGAGCCAACCCAAUUCGAUAAUUUUAGAGCUUGGGCCAAUCCUACUGAACUGGAGAUGGUGCGCACCCUUUCCAGAGGAGCUGCAAAUCGAUCACAUCUGCUGAGAGGGGAGCUUCCUCCAGUUAUGUUUUUGAUUGAUGCCUUUUUGAGGCAUAAUAUCUAUCCAUUGCAGCAUUGGACCCAAAGAAGGGGAAUCCUCUUGGAAGCUCUUUACAAGAUGUUAGAAGGAUUUUUCUUUGGGCCUCAUCAUCUGAUCCUGACAGCCCUUCUCUAUUUCGAAGAGAAGGUUCACAAAAAGAAGCUUCAAAGAGCUGAUUGCAUUCCUCUCCUAUUUCCAAGGCUGCUAUGCCAAAUUCUAGAGCACUUGGGAUACCCUGCUGAGCCUCAGCUGGAGAGAAAGCAAAUUUUCCGUGAGCCAUUCACCCUAGAUAAAUGGAAUAACAUGACGGCCUACAAAGUUGAUCAGCCUUCAGAGUCUCAUCCUCCAGAGCCUGAAACCCCAGCUGAUGCACCUACUGAAGAGGCAGCAGAUCCAUCUGCCUAGUUCUAGCCCCAGCACCACUCAUCAGACUACUAUCUAUCUAAUAUUUCUAUGUAUUUUGUUUUUUUUUAGUUGAAAAGAAAUCCCAGUAUUUUGGUACUAUAUUUGGGAUUCCUUGUGAUUACUUGUCUUUUGCACUGUACUUGAAUCAACUGAAAGUAAUACAAGCUGAAUAUUUCUUAUUAAAAGUUAGCAUUAAAUUUUCCUUAUUUCCUUUUCUCACAUAUUCUAUUCUUUUUGAAACAUGUGGUUUUCCCCAAUCAAUAUUCGAAUUUGAUAUCAACCAGGAGGUACCACUUCCUCCCUUUAAUUACAGUCACUCAAAUCACAUUGAGGACAAUGCUCAGUUCGGUUGGGGGGUAUGAGGAAGGAAGUAUGCUAAAUCUUUUUGGUAUUGCAAUCAUAUUGGUUAAGUAGUUGUAGUUUUACUUUUUACUUUUGUUACUCUAUUCUCUAUGAAUUUUGAGGAAAAAUUUUCAAAUUAAACCAAGAGAAAUUGAACUAUUGUUUUUCACUUGACUUAGAGUAUGGAUUAUGCUUACUAAAGUGGUUCAAUUGUUGAAACUUCUACUGAAAUUGAAUUUAGUUCUUCCACUUUAAGCUAUUCACACACUGUGCACAUUAGAUUCCGAUUAUAAGAUGAAAAGCUAUUUCCCUCUUGACUUAGGAUAGUUUUGGGACUUGGUAUAUUUGACCUCAUUUGAUAAAAAUUGAAACACCUUGCAAAAGGCCAAUGAGCCUUUGAAAUAAAGAAAGUUGUUUGCUUGCCUUGAAACCCGAGCAAGGUCUGAGGGGUAUAUGGUGAAAAUCUUUAAAGCCUGGUGCCCUAAGCCUUAAAUGGUUGGGAGACACCAACCUCAAUGCUCGUUAUAAGGGUGAAUAGGUAGAGUUAGCAUAUGGUAGAUGUUUGGGUAUUAGAAAUUCAUUCUUAAAAGUCCGGGGAAAAAUCCGAGGAGUUAGUGGUUGAAAGAUCCUUAAAGCUUGGUGCCCUAAACCUUAAGUGGUUGGGAGUCAUCGAUGGACCCCCAUUACAUGGACAAGUCAGAAAGAGUACCCCAUAAAGCUGCCUUCUAAAAAAAAAAUAAAAAAAAAAAAAAAGUUGUGUUCUUUUCUUAUUGAUUUUGGUCAGAUUACUAAAGUUUUGAAAAGAAAUAGGUUGGGGGGUGAGAUUAGUUUAGCAUAUUAUUUUCGGAACCUAAGGAACCAAUACACAUAGAUUUUUGUGGAAGAUUAAAGUUUGAUUCUUAGAAAGUGGAAAUGAUUUUAAAACUUCAGUUUGUAUAAUGCACUCCCUUGAUUGACAGUGUUUAGCAUAGUUGUUAUGACUCUUGUUGAGAUUUGGGUUUGUAUUUAUUUAAUACUUCAUGUGAGAAUUAGAUCAUCAUGCCACUUGAGAAUUAUUUUCUUUUAGCAUGAUGUUGUAAAUUUUAGAUUAGUUUGUUAUGUAUUUUUCAUUUUUCUCUCCUAUAUUGCUAAGGGACUAGCAAUAUGUCGGUUGGGGGGAGUGAUUACUACUCAAAAAGUGCUAUUUGAUAGCCUAUAAUCAAUCCUUUUAACCACUUUUGAGUAGUAGUUUAGGCCUUUUAACUCAAUUGGCAUGUUAAGGGUCCUUGAAAGCAAUUUUAAUCAUUUUGUGUAAGUUUUGGUGUUUUUGUUAGUAUUUUGAUCAAAAAAGCAAGUCAAGACUGAGGAGAGCUAUGAGGAAUCUUGGUCAAAGCUUAGAAGUCAUUUGCCAAGAGUGAAUCCGGAUUGCAAGGAGAAAAAGCAAAGAGAAUCUGCCAUUAAGCAUAUUCUUGAUGAUAGUCGUAGCAGCCACUUUUGGAGCACUUUUUGAAGUCCAAAUGAUGCAUGCUAUAUACCAUUUCAAAGCUCAGGAAGUCAACAAUCCAAUGCUUCAAACGGUGUGCAAUUCGGAGUUGAAACGAAGAAGUUGCAGUCGUUACAAUCCAAUCACUCCGAGCUGAAGGAAGCAUUUUGCAAAGUGCUGCGAAAUCACCCUUUUGUUGCGAAGUGAUUUCGCAGCAUUUUUGAACAGUGUGAUGUUUCUCCUUUUGACGAUGCCCGAUUUAUGCCGCGAGAAGGAAGCUUGGAACCUCAAGGUGGAAGCCAACUUCGCAGCCCUUCAGAGAUAGCUUGGUGUUGCGAAAAAAUUUCGCAGCCCUCUUGAGUGUCUGCGAAAUUUCGCAGACACCAUUUUCCUCCUGCGAAAUGGUUCCUGAAGCCUCCCGAUAUUUGCUACCGACAUUGGGAGAUAUUUUCCAUUAGAUUUUUGUUAUCUAAAUCCCAAAAUACUCCUUGUAAACCUCCAAUUAUAAGAUUCCUUAGCUUUUAAGUUAAUAAAAAGACCAAAUAUCUUUGUAACAAUUAGUUAUAUAUUAUGUUCAUAUAUAUACCUCUCGGGAGCCUGUUCUCGGAGAGGAGUUCCUUCUGUAAAAGUUUGGAAAGCAAGUAAAGUUCAUUUUCCUUCUACUGCCUUACCUUCUCACUUUGUAUUUUUUUAGUUAAUACUAAGUUAUGAACUCUCUGAGGAGUUUUCCCCAGAGAAUGAGUAACUAAACCUCUAAUUCCUUGGAGCUAAGGUUGCCGGGGAAGGUUCCAAGUGCAAGAAUGCAAAGCUCUGUGGUUUUAGCUAGUAAUGAAGAGGAAGUGAAAUCCUUUAGUGAUUUCAAUGUUUUUAGUUAACUUAAAACACCUUGGAGUCACCUGGGCCAACACUUGGUAAGGCAAGUGAUUUCCAACCAUGGAAAUGCACUAGUUUACCCCUUGCGAGCCUCUGGGAGGUGACUUCAGGGUAGGAUUUUCUAGAAUAGCCAACACUUGAUAAGCUUUUGGACUCCUAGGAGACAUCCAUUAGUUAUCUCUUGCGAGCUUUUGACGGGUAAUCCAAAGUUAAGGAUCACCUUGAAUGGUUAAGGCUUAGUGAGAGGCUUAAACCAUUUCAAGUUGCAUCAGUGAGAGAAUUAAAGUGAAAUCUAAUUGAAGGAUGAAUCUGUACAUCACCGGUUAGGGAAUUGACUAUAUGUUGAAUCUCUAACGCGAGGAUAUGAACCUUCUGACCGGAGCUAUGUCUUUUGCAUGAGGAACCACCCCAGUGAACCUAACUCUUCAAGGAAUGUUUUUCUUCCUAAGUUAUUCCAAACUUCUGUUAUGUUAGUUAGUUUAAGUCUAAACCUUCACCAACCAAAGUUUGUUUUUUUACCUCUUAAGCUAACCAUGAAAUGAAACAAGACCAAUUCACUUGGAAUUGGUAUCAUUGAUAUCUUGUCAACCUUUCCCAGUGGACGAUCCUAGAGCCACUAUACUAUAGUAGCUUUUUAUUUGCUACCCUAGUGUAUGGUGUUAUAGGUAUAAAUUUUGUUGAUUACUCCCUCAUUCAAGGAGCACCAGCUGAACACGAAUCAGCUGAGACACCAAUUGGGCAUGAAUCACCUUGUAUGGUUAAUUAAUCAAUUAGCAACCUUUUUGGGCUACAGUAAGUGACCCAAGUUCAAGUUGGGCUUAAGUCACUUAAGCCCAGUAGGAAGCUUAUAAAUAUCCCUUUAGGGGUUAGGGUCUCCAUGUCUUAUCAUUCUCCUUUUCAGUCUAAAGAGAAAACCCUAGCCUCCACCUUUGAGAUCUCCACCAUGUCAAUGCUUAGACAUAAGAAAGAGUCAUUGGGCAGAAAAUCAUGGUGUUUACGAGAUUCAUUAUGACUUUAAAGUUAUCUACAUCGAUUGGAAUUGAUCUAGGAACAUAAAGAUCAAAGGUAUGUGACUUUAUUCUCUAUAUCUAUAGUUUCUAUGCUAUUCUUAUUAUUUUUAAUACCUGUUUAUCCAUUGCGAUAGAUUUAGAGACCUUAUGACAGAUUUGUAUGCACCCUAUGCAAUUUGGAGCAUGGGAACAGAGUAAUUCGGGGUUCCCAACAACUGGUAUCAGAGCCCUAGGGUAGGUUAUAGCAUGUUAAAGUUGUUCUAAGGUAUGCUAACUCUAUUUUGCAAGGUUGUUUUAUUCAUCCUAUGGCCCUAAGGGAUGAAUGAAUGAAAUUAUUCAUUCAUUUUAACGUAUAAAUAUAUUUGGAUUGAUUGAUUGUUAUUGAUUCAUUUGAAUGAAUGAAUAUUAAUGGAUGUUUUCUUUGCCUUUUGUUCUCUAGAUUGGGUUGAACGCCCCAUAAGGGGUAUUAGAUUUUUAUUUGGUUGUAAAAAUCUUUUCUUUUCAAUAGAUGAGUUGUAAGCUCCAUUAUAGGAGCAUAGAAAUUUUUAUUGUUGCAAAAAUUUCAGUUUUUUUAUAUCCAUCUAUGGUUACCCAAGUGAAAUGAAGGAAUCUUGAAAGUUCUUUUUGAGAUUCUAUGGUGGUUAAAGAGGAAAAAAGGAUUCUUGGAAGUUCUUAUUUAGAAAUCCAUAGUUAUACAGUGAUGUUAAAUUAAACUCAAAAUCAGGAUUAUCUCCUAGUGGCUUCUUAGGGGAAGUAACAUAUGAAUUUGAAGUUUAGGAAGUCACAAAUCCAAUGGUUCAAGCGGAUUUCAAUUUAGAGAUGAAAUGAGCUACAUAUGGCUAAUUGAAGCAAGGCUGCACAAAGUGCAUGAUUGCAUAGUGAUGUCAGCUUUGAGCCAAAAUUGCAGCUACUUUUAGUAAGUUUCUUUGAACAAAUCACAUAUGGUUUUAAAGCUCAGGAAGUCAUAAAUCCAAUGCUUUAAACGGAUAACAAUUCGGAGUUGAAACGAGAGAGAUAUGACCAAUCAAAGCAACGUUGUGCAAAAAGCAUACUAUUACAGGAUUGCACACGGGUCCAAUUCAUUUAGUUGUUUGGGCUAAAUUUUGGGCCUCUUCUUGGGCUUAAUUGUUUGUGGCAAUUGGGCCUUUUGGGUUUUAUAUUUUCACUAACCCUAUUUUUGGUUGCAGCUUUAUUUUUGGUAAUUUAGAUUUUAUCCAAAUUUUAAUUACUAAAUAUGCAACAAGAUCCCUAAAGGUCAUUGGAAGUUUUAUAUUUAAUUAUUCUCUUGUUUUUAUUGUAUGCUUUUGAUUAAUUGCAUAUGUGGCCUCAAGAUAUUUUGAUACUCUUAAUUAGAAAUAAAUUUUCAUGUUUUAUUUUUAAUUGGAAAACUUAUUUAAAUAGGGAUGUGAAUGGUUGGGAUUUUUUAUUUUUUUUAAGGAAAGAUAGGUUGGAUAAAAGAUUAAGAGCUUUCUUACCUUUCGCCUACUAAAAUAAGGGGAAGUAAAUGAUGAAGACUAAAAAAACGAUUUAAGGUGGCAUUGUCCAUAGAGAAACCACCCCAAAUCCAAGUCACUAUGGUAUCUCUUACUACAGCUAUGGCGCUAGCUAAGCUAGUAAUUACUAUAGCUCCCCAAAAGCUCAUCUGACCUCAAGGUGGUACGUAUCUUGUAAAAGUUGUCACAAUCAUUAAUAGGAAGAUUACAACUCCGAGACACCAAGCAAAUUCCCUAGGACUGCUAUAACUCGCAUGAUAUAGCCCAUGAAAAAUAUGAAGGUGAACCACAAUAAGAAACAUACUUGCCCCAUUAGCAUGCAUAUAACGGAGAAACCAGCCCCCUUCAACAUCUCUCAUAACAUAUUCUACACUGUUGAAAGCUAACUCCACUUGAGGUGUGUGAUGCAUAGCAGAAAAAAGGCCAGUAACUAUCUGAAUGACUAAACAAAUACCAGCUAACGAACCGAACCCCCACCAAUAACUAAGGUUGCUUGGGGUUGGAUAGUCUAUCAAAUGUUGAUUCAGUGUGGAGGAUAUAGGUUGUUUAAGAAGAGAGAAUCAUUGGUUCCUUAUAGUCAUUUCUCUUUUCUAUUGUGAAAACUCUUGUUCCCCCACCUUUUUAGCGUUCUGGGACCCUACUUACUAAAUUAUAUAUAGAGAUAUAUAGAUAUAUAUAAUUAUAUAGAUAACAUAAUUUUAUAUCUAAGAGUACCCCUUAUUCCACCUCUGAAGGAUGGAGGGGGUAUACAGCGAAAGAAACGUCAGAGGGUUCAUCUUGGGUUACUAAAGAGUUGUCUGACUGCUCAGUGACCGAAUCAAAGAGGUUUUUACCACUUUCUCUUCUCUCCAGCACUCUCGAACUGAUCAUCUUGCUGUAACAAAGCAAUCUUAGGAAUGAAUCUAAUGGAAAUUUAUUAGUUCUCUAUCCGCUUGGAAGAUUCUUCUUUCCUCUUCGGUGAAAGAGGGUAAAUGUGUGAGGGAGAAAGAAUGAAAAAAUGAGAGAAUCUUUCAUCCACCAAGCGGGAUAGAGUGCAACCCCUAAGUAAUGUUCAAUUCUCACUCAGGGGUCAAUAUCAUUUGAAAACUUUUCCUGUUCCAUUAGUAUAGCUAAAUUUGAAUAAAAUGACUCAGCGUCAGGAAAAGCCCUUGCCUUGAUUUAAUUUUGCUUCACUAGGUCCUUGAAUCAAUCAAAAAUCUUAUUGAUUUGAUUCAUCCUAUUUCAUUUGGGCAAAAGGGAGGUUGUGAGUCACCUGGGCUACGAAUUUGUCGAUUGGUUGAUUCUCGAAAUCACCUCUUGAGAAAAUAAAAAAGGCCAUCCGAUCCUAACCCACAAAUGAAUAGGAAGCGGGGCGAGGGUCUUUCAUUAAAGAGGGGAAAAAAAGGUGGGGCUUUGUUCGAGGGAAAGGGAGGGGGGGGGGGGACCACCUUGCGUAGCUUUAGAAAGAAGAGAAUUUCAUAAAGUCACCAUCUCCCACUAUCUUUAGAAAUAGGGCGAGAUAAAGUAAAUAUGAUAUUUGCGUUGGGUUUUCCAAUGAAACUAAGCAUUUUUUAUCUUUCUCAUUUAGAAGGCUCAGUCCCAUAAUGAUGGGAACAACCUUUACACUCUGGCGCUCCAAUGAACAACACUUAUCCAUCUUACUAUAUUUAGAAAAAUGGUCGAUCCCUCGAGAGUUACAUUCGUAACUUAAUGUUAUGUUCACGUGGUGAUAUUCUAUCUUUCCAAGAGUACUACCUUGUAAUUGUACCUAGUCUAUGUUUGGGGAGCAUACUUGAAAGGAGAUAGAAACAGGCAGUAGAGAGGUCCCCCACUUCGAUUCCCGCCCCGUUAGUAUCUUCGAUCCGCGAUAAAGGAUUACUCUAUUAGGUCUUUUCUAUUCGAAGCCAGUCAGUUAUGGACUUACUUACCUUGCUUGUAGACCAGCUGCAGAGCUAACCCUUGUUCUAUUGGUUUGGUGGUUUCUACCAAGACAAUUUCUUUAUGCCCAUCAAAGGACCUCAAGAUGCUAAUCCAUGAAAAAUGAUACGAGAAAUUCGAAAGAACUCAUAUACGGAACAAGGGUGACUUGUGGAAAUACAUCGGUUUCUUACUCGUGCAAAGGAACUAUUUCUUGGAAACUUGGACAACUUAUAACGAUGUUUGUCCCACAUAUCACUAGGAAGAUCGGGAUCUUUACAAAAGGACUUAUAAAACUUUCGUCUCAAUUCAUAUUUAGCUGUGAGCAAUCUACGUUUGUGAUCUCGUAUAUUUAGCUUCUUUAACCUCUUAUUGACCCUCAUCUUUUUUAAAAAAGCCACGCCACGGUGGUAAAGUCUCAUCUUGUGUGUUAGCCGAAGUAACAAUAGUCACAUUGAACCCUCCAAUAUGUUUGAAGAUCUCGAAAAGAUCUUCCAGUUCUGGGGAGAAUUUGCAAAACUCUGUUUGCAUCAAGAAUUGAAUGGAGUUUUCCCAUAUUUCGACCGGAGAAUCUAAUAGAGACAUUACUAUCAAGAUUUUGACCAAAAAAUUAGACAUUCCAUGCCCUUGGAGAGUGCUUUGUCAUGCUAGGUCACUAACAUAUCCUUUGUCUUUAUUUGACCCUAAGAAUUUAUUGGAUCAAAAUGACUUUCCUGUCGAACCCCUUUGUGUCUGUAUAAAUCUUUGACCGCAUGGAAUCUCCAUAGCCAACUUUCCAUUUUGGAUUAUGAAAGAUGAGGGUCUUUUUGGUAUUAAUCUUGUUUCACACAAUCCAGGAACUUCCAUAACAUUAGCGUGAUUUGGUUUGAGCAAUAGAUCAUGACAUGAUACAUCUUCUUAAUGAAAAUGGAGUGGAAACAUGAGUUAGCUUUUCCAGUAUAUAUAGAAUGAGCACUGUGAACUAUCGGCUUCAAAAAGAUAAUUGGUUGAAUGAAAAUCAACACUUUAACUCGAUCGAAAUACGAAUGAGAAAAAAAAAACAGUUGCUUACUUGCGAAGAAGAGGGCAAAGGAUGCAAUAGCUUCGAUUUGAGCAAAGGCCAUAUUCCUUUCUUGAUAAACCUCUUUUCUUUGAACCACUGCUUGUCAUGGUCGGUUGUUCCAGUUAUCAUCUUUAUUUGAGGCGCAGGUUUCAUAUCCUUAAUUCAUGUGGUUAAGAAAGUCUUUGUUUUCUAGAUGUUGAAAAAAUUUAGAAUUGGCUUUUCGAUGAUAAGAGAAUAGAUAAGACUUCCAUGGGAGGUCGAAUUCCAAACUUCUCUCUCAAGUAUACUCAUUACCAAAAAAUGGACGUCACUUUAGGACACAUGCGGAUAGCCGCCCCGCGUGGCUAAAAGUAAGCCAAAAGAGCUCAAACUCUUUUUUUUUAGUUCCGCUGAGAAACUCGAGUCUUAUAAAAGACGCCACUCUAUGAGGGAAGUCCUUGGGUCGAGUCUUUGCAAGUUCAUCCGAAAUGGAACCUCCUCAUGGUCGGGAAGAUGCAAAUAAAACGCCAAUAGCCGGUUCUAUGGCAUAAGCUUAAAAGAAGAGAGCUAUCAACGAAGAAUAAACAUUUCAUAAGAAAAUCCAAUUUAUUUUUUUGAAACUCGACUUCUUUCAAUUCUAAGAAAGAAAAAUAUCAAAAAAUUCAUCAAUAAAUGAUGAACUUCAUUAUACAAAUGAUAGGACAGGGCUAAGGUAGUGAUCCUGAUGGAGAUUAGGAUGAGCUUGGAUGAAAAAAAAAAAAAAAGAAUAGGUAGAAAUUCUCAUAGGUGAAGCAAAUCAACCCUAUUUUCAGACAAAGAAGAUAAAAAAAAAAACAAAACUAAAGUGGCUUGGAAAGCCUCGGAUAUUCUAUGAUAAAUUGGAAACGUCAAAGUGAGUUGUGGCUUAUAAAUAGGAAGAUGAGGGGAUAACGGGCGAAGGAUAUUUUUUCUAUUAUUAAUUAGAUUACCACGUCUAAUUAGACCAUUACAUACGAAAUCCGAUAAUGUUAUUAAAAAUAUUUCUUUUCUUCAUUUUUUGUCUCAUUGAAAAAUAUUUUAAUGUUAUUAAAAACUUUUAUUAUUUAUUUAUUAUCUAACUGUUGAUUAUCCGUAACCUUCAAUUUCAUUUGCUUUCUUCUUUGACUGCUCUGCUCCCCAACACAAAUGAGGAAAGACUUGUCGAAAAUGGUUGGUUAGUUGGUUGUUGACCAACGGAAAAGCAUAGGAAAAAGAAAGAACACUAACGAAGAUGAUUCUGGAUUGGUCACCUGGAGAAAGUUGACAUCAACGGCUUACUCUUUUGCUGAGCAAAAAGAGAAAGAAUUUAUAUGAAGAGAGAUUUUCAAAGAAGCAAGCGGAGGCUCAAAAGUCAGAGCUUUUCGUUUUCUCUAUUGGCUCUCGGAAAAUAGAUUGACUUAGAAACGUACUCUUCUUCCGCUUUAGCAAAAAAGGCUUUCUUUUUACUUACUAAAUUUAGAGUCUAGUUCUAUAUUUUUCCUAUUUUCUUUUAUGUCUCUUGUCCUUUCUUUCUCGAGUUGGAAGCCAGUGAGGAGAGAUUUCUUUUGAUUAGUAUAGGAUAGGACUAACUCUUUUUCUUCCCAUUCUGUAUACAGAAAUGUUUCCAUGUGAGUCUUUACUUCUUACUUCUAUUUUCGACAUAGGUUUCUCUCAAUGGUGGGCCAGCCUAGAGAAUCUCCCUAGCUCUAGUUGGAGUUUCCUUUGCUGUUGGUGCAGCCGAGAAAAUAGGAUCCACGUAAGUUUCUUUUGAUAUCGCUAGGAGUUCCAGCCAAUAAGCCAAUUUAAGUAAGGCUAGGGUAAAGGUAUACACCUAGGCAAUCUCUUUCUUUCUCUAGGAAGGCAAUAGUUCUCUGGUUUUGGUAGGUCUAUAAAUAGAUAGUUGGAGGGCUAGCUAACAUAGAGAGAUUUCCUUUUUGUUUUUUUUUUUCCCCCCUUUAUUUGUGAAGAUAUUUCCUACAAGUGGGAGUUCUCAUUCUCUGUAAUCCCACCCAGGGAUCACUACUAAGUAAGCAAGCUACCUAUUGCCUCAAAUGGAAUGGAUCGCCAUGAAAGGAAAGCACUUAGGAGAAGGCAUUACGGCUGAAGACCGUAGCACUCUCAUGAGAUAGUAGAAAGAAUGGACCUCAAACUCUUCCCACAUGUAAGGAAUUAGUUAGGAAAGUCUUAGAAAUGUAAAUGGCUCGCUGGAAUCCCCAUCGAAGAUAAUAGGAUUGCCUAAAAAAAGGAAUAUCUUAGUACUACAAUUGGGUUUGUUGCUUACCUUCAUACUCCAAUUGGAAGACUUGAAAGUCAAGUGACUGCGUUUUCCCUUUAUUAAAAAUAUGAUAUUUAUUGAACUGGUUUCAAACCUGAUCUACGACCACCCUCCUUGAACCCCAACCUACCUACAGAUUUUUUUUCCCGUAGCUCGUCAUCCGUUCUAGGACCGUCUUCUCGUGCAACCUCCAUGUAAAGCAAAACUUACCAUAGAAGUUAGUCUACGAUCAGCCGACAUGAGCAUUCGGUUAAACCAAACCAUUUCAAGCGCUCCCAUAUAGAAUCGGAGUAAUGGUAGUUGACUGUCUGUCUAUAAAAUUAGGGCUCAAGGCACCCACCCAACCGAUCUUUAGGAUGGUUACAAAAAUUUCCUCAAUUCAGUAGACCAAAAAAAUAAAAACUAUAGUGCGAUAGAAGGUGGCAUAUAGUCAAGAUAUAUGCCCUCCUAUGUUGGUCCUAAGAAAUCCUGACUUCAUGGGAAUAAGGAAAACAUUUCUUUCGCAUGCCCAUAUGUAAAAAACCAUCACAUCUUAAGGUUAGUUCAAGGUAGUAUAGUUCUUAAUUAGUGGUUCAUUCGCUCCAAAUUCCACCCUACUAUGGUAUAGUAAGACUUUCCAUAGUCUGUUAUGAAGAUAGUUAGUGAUAGGCUUCCUAGUGGGUACGACCUAUUUCUUAUUUUAUUUUAUUUAAUAGAUAGUAUAAUUGAAAAUAGACUCUUUUUUUUUAUAUCUAUCUAUAAAAAUAUAUGAAUUCCCUAAGGAUUGCAUUGAUUCAAACUCUUUUCUAGUCGGGUCGGGAGAAAUUCAAACUAGAUAAUGAUGCAAUUGACCGAUAAAUGGAAACAAUGUGGCCUUCUUCAAAAUUAGAAAUGAAAAUCAGUCUUUACAAACCGAAUCUUGUUCACGUACAUUGUUGAAUUAGGUUGACCCCCAUAUUGGUAUAUAUGUCUUGGAUGCAUUUUGAUUGCAGAGGUAUAUCACUUCAUAUUUUCAUAUUGUCAGUGCCAUUAAUACCACAUGAUUUUCUACACAUGGAAUCUAAAAACUAUGUAAGAUAUAUAUAAAAAAAAAAAAAAAGGUAUUAUAUGAACAUAAACUCUCGAAUUUCACUUAAACAUGUCGUCUUACCUUAGAAGUUAUAUUUUACCGGAUUGGAGAAGCGAAGACAAGGCUAAAGUGCUUUAUAUAGGGCUAAACGCGCCUCCCUAACUUUAAGGGAAAAGGCCUUAGAUUCGCCUUAUGUUGAAUUAAGAAAUAUAACAAAUUUACACAACUUGAACAUGGAAGGUAAGAAAUAAUAAAAAUUUACACUACUUAUAUUCCAAAGAUUGUGUUAGAAUAAUGUAACAAUUACAUGACCCAUUUGUAGAAAAUAACUUACCUACGGUUGGGUCAAGUCAUUAGAUGACUAGGUAGAGGAAAAACAACAAACUAACAAACAUGAAUCUUAGACUAUUAUUUUUUUCUCUUUCACACAUGAUAGUGGUCUUAGUCCAUAAUUUUUUUUGUCCAUUAGCAAAGGUAGGGAAUCUUCAUUUUUAUCUCUUGUGUUGUCAUCUUUCCUCUUUAAUAUCUCACAUGCUAAAUUGUUCCACCUUUAACUUGUAAUAUGGUGAAAAGCUUAUUUAUCAUAUCUUAUAAGGCAAGUAUUUGAAAAUUUUGAAAUUCUUUUUAGAAAGACUAUCAAGUCUUGGUGUGGAGCUACAUUUUUCACGUGCAUCCUCACUUGAUGACAAGACUUGCUUUUUAUUGUAACAAACUGAUUUUUAAAAAAGUUGGAUUCAUUCUCUCAUAAAAAAUCUCUACAAAAUUUAAAUAAUUUUUUUUAAUAUAUAAAAAUUUGAACAAAUGCAAUAUUUUGAAUACACACAACACAAUUUUUUAUAAAUUUUUUUAUUGGACAAAGAUUUUUCAUAUAAUUUUAAUAAUGUUGGAUCAAUUUGUUAAAGUUUUAUUAAAUCCUUUUUUAUACACUUCAAUAAAAGAAAUUUGAAUUUUCAUCCUAGUACCUACAUGAUCCACUCUUAAUAAUUUGUGUAAAUAUGUAGUAAUUUAAAUUUGUAGAAAAUAACUUACCUAUGGUUAAUCAUCCUAGUGCCUACACAAUCUAUUCUUAAUAAUUGGUGUAGAUAUGUAGAGAUUUAAAUUAGUAUUUUGAAAAUUGAAUUAAAUGGUUUCCUUUUAGUUUUCCACACUCUUUCCAAUUGCUCCAUAAAACAAAUUAGAGGCUUUAGGUUCGUGUUACAAUAUGAAGUUAUAAAUAAACUUUUUUUUUAUUUUUUUUAAGAAUCUUUUUCCUAUGUUAACUACAACUAAUAUUUAAGUUUGAAGUACUCCCAAAAUGCAUUUGACUAGUAACUAAUUUGAAAUUACAAGUUUAGCAUUAAGACUGAUAAUUUGUUGUGACAUAUUGGAUUCGCCUUAUGUUGAGUUAUGAAAUAUAACAAAUUUACACAACUUGAAUAUGGAAGGUAAGAAAUAAUAAAAAUUUACACUACUCAAAUACCAAAGAUUGUGUUAGUACAUGACCCAUUUAUUUCACAAAUAAUACUAUAGACACCAUCUAGUUAACUUAUUUAAUAAAUAGGUUAAGUUGAAUUGUGUAUGAAUUGAUAGAUAAUUUUUUUAAGUUAUUAAUUAUUUAAUUAUGUAUUUUUAACUACAAUAUAUUUAUAAGGUAAGAUUAAAGUUUUAAUUUUACAAUUGUUUAUAUUUUAUUUAAUUUUCCAUUAUAAACUAUUUUUAAUCUUUAUAUUUUUUAAAUAUAUAAAAUUUUACUUUGUUAGUUAUUUAAUUUUUUUAUUAUAUGAUAUUAUUAUUUAAAAACUAUUUUAAUUUUUAUAAUUUUUAAUAUGCAUAAUUAAUAAAUUUAUAUGAUUAAAAUGUGACCUAAAUAGGUUAUUUUAAUAUUGUUAAGUAAAUGAAUUAAACUGGUUGACAAUUAAAUUCAAGUAUAACCUAUUUAUUAAACAAAUUGACAUGAUUUUGAAUAAAUAUAAUCAUGUUUAAACCAAACCUCUAAACUUUAUGUCAUUUUUGAGUCAUAUUGCCAAUUCAUGUCAUAUUUGCUACCCUUAGCAUAUAACCAAGAGUCAUUAGUCAAUCUACCCAAAAUUCUUUAAAAUUUUAUGAAAGAAAAGUGUAAUGGGUAUGAUGAUUAGAACUAAUACCAUUUGAGAAGAGAAAAACUUAGGCUAUGUUUGAUUCCAGAAAAUUUGAGGGAAAAUGUGAUGGAAAGAGAAUAGAUAGAAAAAGUGGAAGGAUAGAAAAAACGAAGGAAAAUAAAAAGUAGAUCCAAAGUCAAUAAAUCAUUUUUAUAUCAUUCUUUAAAUUCAUUUCACUUAUUAUCUCCCAUUAUAUCAAUAAUAAGUAAUUUUAAAAUGCAUAAAUUUUUAACAAAAUUUGAUUAUAUUUUAUUUUCUUCCAUAUCUUCUAUAAUGAAACCAAAUAUAAAAAAAAAAUAUUUUGCUCAAACAUUUUUUUCUUUCAUUCUUGAUACUUUCUAAGAACCAAACAUAGUCUUAAUGUUUUAAUAGCAUAUUUUCUUCAUUCUUAGGGAAUAAAAUGAAAAGGAAUUACUCCUUUCUUGUUAAUUCCAAGGGUUUACUUCACUAUUGAAAUUGGUAAAAGCAUGUUGGAUCAAAUUUUGAGAAAACUAAUUUCUCCAGCCCUCGAGGCCAUUUAAAAAUCCAUUUCUUUUCCUCCGUGAAUGCAAGGUGACCAAAACAACCCCUCCUAACUUGUUGUAACUAUUUCAAUUAACAUAAUGAAAUAUUUAGUUAUUGUAAUCCUACACAUUAAUAAACAUGAUGACAUGUUAAAAUAUUUAGUUGUUUGAGGGUUCAAUACCACAAGUUCCUCAUCUCGUGUAAUUGUUGGAUAUCUCCAAUAACAAGUUAUUGGGGUCCAUUUCUCUAUUAUGUUCAGUUGUUAAUCCGUCACUUAUCCUACUUGACCUCUCAAACAACUCAUUGACAGGGGAGGGCUACCCAAUUGUUGGGCACAAUGGGAAAGCUUGGUAGUUGUUAAUUUGGAAAAUAACAGAUUUUCUAGGAAAAUUCCAAAUUCAUUUUGCUCCUUGCAAUCAAUUCAAAGUCUACAUUUGCGCAACAACAAUUUAACUAGAGAAUUGCCUUUAUCUUUUAAGAAUUGUACAAGUUUGAAGCUUAUUGAUUUUCAAAAAAUAGGUUGACAAGAAAAAAGCCAGAAUGGAUUGGAGGAAACCUCCCAAAUCUAUUUGUUCUAAAACUAGGAUCUAAUGGAUUCAGUGGAGGUAUAUCUCCAGAGCUAUGCCAAUUGAAAAAAUAUUCAAAUAUUGGACCUCUUUAGUAACAAUAUGUCAGGUGUUAUACCAAGAUGUCUUGGUAGUUUCACUGCCAUGACUAAGAAAGAGAGCUUGGUCAUUGCUCAUAAUUAUUCAUUUGGACCUUUUGGUGGUGUUCAAUACCAUAUAGGUGGGAAGACACCUGAGAAUGCCUCUUAUGUUGAUGGGGCGUUGGUUAAAUGGAAAAGAAGAGAAUUUGAGUAUAAAAAUACUCUUAGACUUGUAAAGAGUAUUGAUCUUUCAAGUAAUAAGCUAUCAAGGGAAUUUCCAAGAGAAGUAAUUGAUCUUCUAGGAUUAGUUUCAUUAAAGUUAUCAAGGAACAAUUUGACUAGAUUGAUCCUUGCAAGAAUUGGUCAAUUGAAAUCAUUGGAGACUCUUUGGUGAAAUUCCAGCUAGCCUUGUUGAAAUAAGUGGUCUAAGUGUCUUAGAUCUCUCCAACAACUUUUUCUCUGGUUAAAUUCCAUAAGGUACUCAACUUCAAAGCUUCAAUAUUGAUUCCUACAAGGGAAAUCCUGCCCUUUGUGGACUGCCUCUUCUGAAAAAGUGUCAUGAAGAUAAAAUAAAGCAAGAUUCUCUCACUCAUAUCAUUGAAGACAAAAUUUAGCAAGAUAGAAAUUACAUGUGGUUUUAUGUUAGCAUUGCUCUUGGAUUCAUUGUUGGAUUUUGGGGAGUGUGUGGAACUUUACUACUCAACAACUCAUGGAGAUAUGCUUAUUUUCAGUUCUUGAAUAAAAUAAAAGAUUGGCUCUAUGUGAUUAUAGCAAUAAAUAUGGCUAGAUAACAGAGGAGUCUUCAAAGAUAAAUGGUACAAUUCUCCUCCUCUCUUUCAUUUGUACUUGUUUUUGAUGGCCAACAACUCUCAAAGAAAGAUAGGCUUUUGCAUAUUCUUGGGAUAUACUUUAUAAAUUUUCUUUCCAUGCAACUAACUAGAGAGAUUUUUUCAAAUUGAUGAACACUAAUUUUACUUUGUGCUAAUUACAGAACUUCAACUCCUGUUCUUGCCAUAUUAGCAUGAUUGAAUGCAAAUAGUUAUGUAUGUCCUUCAUUUUAUGGUAGAUUUUGGGAUGCAAGAAGUUUUUUUAUUUUAUUUUUAUGAUUACUUAUGUUCUUUAGAUGCUUAUUUUAUCUUUUAUUAAGAAAUUUGUGGACAUUUUAUCUCUUUUGUUCCUUAUAUAAUGCUUUUAUUUGGUAUUUGGAUACUUUAUGGUUCAUCCAAACAAUAUUAUAGAAGGAUAUCAAAGGUAUAUUGUUGUCCGACUUUUAAUUUUAAAAAUAUUUCUUUCAUUCUAAAACCAUUUUUUAUUCAUUAAAAUUAGAACAAAAUAAAAAUUAAUGUUAUUAAUUUGGUUAUGAAUAAUAUAAGUUUUUGUCAAAUUAUUAAUAAUCAAAUCAUAAUUUCAACAUUUAAGAAAAAAUAAUUUUCUUCACAAGUUAUUAAUGAUUUGUUUCUCUCUUUCUAGAAAACUAGAUUACUCUUAUAAAUGCAAACCUCUUUUUUUCUUGUCUUCAAGCUUUCUCACUUGAAGUUGUCUCGCAUGUAGAUUAUUUUUGUGGAAUCUCUAGUUUUCAUCCAUUUUCUGCUCCCUUUUCUUCUUAGUGAUUGAUUUUAUAGAAUAUUAAGUCUAACUUCUUUUCUUAAUAAAAGGUUUUUUUUUUCUAAGUAAAUAAAAAAAAAAAAAAAAAACUCUUGUUCUUUUCUCUAUUUUAACAUAAUCCAACUAUAGGAUAACUAAAAUAUGAUUGAAAAAUAUAAAAUAAGUGAGAAUAAUUAUAUUCUAAUUAUACUCUAUAAAUAAUAUCAAAUAUUUGAUUCACAUAUUAGAAAAUAGUACCAAUCUCCAUCAUCAUGAGAUUAAUAUCCCAAUAAUUAAUCUUUUUUUAUUUGUUGAAAUUUCUUAUCUUUCGUGGUGCAUUACAAAACUCCUUAAACACUUUACACAAUGGUCUCUUGUUGUUUUGUUUUUGGUGUUUAUUUUAUUUUAUUUUAUUUUUUAUCAUUUCCCUGUCUUUUUUAGGUCUUCCAUUGCUUGGAUUAUUCUAUGCAGGAAUUUGAUCAAAAAGCCAUUAAUAAUCUAGUCCAAUCAAGUUUGUGAAAUGGUAAAAAUGAGAACUUUUAUACUAUCAUUAUUUCAUAAGUUUUUGUGUUUAUUAAUUUUUAUUUAUUUCUUUAUGAUAAAAUCUUUUAUCAAAAAUAUUUUUAAUGAAACGAUAAUUCUUUACUAUGAUUUUUUUUUAAAUUUUAAACUAUAAAGGAUUUCAAUUCUUAUUAUAUAUAUAUAUAUAUAUAUUCUCUCUUUUAAGCUAUUAGAACAAGUAGCGACUGGCUUUCUUGUGAAGGCAAAUUGAAAGCAAAGACCAUAGUUUCAAUUAUGCUAACCUUAAUAAGAACCAACCUCAUCGCAAAGAGUGGCUCUUAACUCAUUGAUAUAGCUAGAGAGAAUUACUUUCUAAUUUUCUCAUUUUUUGAGCUCAAAACUAAUCAAGUAACAACUAUUAUCAUAAAAUUAAUUACUUCUUUAUUUAUAAUUAUAUUCUAAUUAUAAAAUUAAAUAUUUGAUUAAUAUAUUUGAUAAUACUUAUAAAUAUUUAAAAUAGUUCCAAUAUAAUAUCCAUUAGGGGAUUAUUAUCCUGACUGACUUGCUUUAUUUGUUAUGUAUUGAUAAUGACCCACUCACCAUAAAUAAAGCUAUUAAGUUCAAGGUACAUAUAGGUUACGUUUGGUUCAUAGAAAAAUUGUGGGAAAAUAUAAGGGAAAGAACAUAGGAAGGAAAAGUAAAAGGAAAGAAAAAUAAAGAAAAAAAAAUGGAUUUAAAGCCAACAAAUUAUUUUUAUACAACACUUCAAACUUAUUUCACUUUUAAUUCUUCAAUAUAAAGAUAAAAUAAUUUGAAAAUAUAUAAGUUUCUAAUUAAUUUUAAUUAUAUUUUAUUUUCUUUGGUACUUUUCAUAUGACAAUCAACUAUAAGAAAAUCAUUUUCCUUAACAUUUUUUUCCAUAUUACUUUUCAAAAACUAAACAAAACCAUGGAUAUUUGUUAUAAUAGGGAACUCUUUAUUCAUGCAAACUCCCUUUCAGACUUGAGCAUGGGAGUGUUUUUCUUUUUCUUUUUUCUUUUUUUCUUUUUUUUGGCUUGUACUUCUCCAUAGGCCAAAUUACAUUGAAUGGAUCCCAAAGGAACAAAAAAUAAAUAUAAAUGUCAUUUGGGCCAAUACUAAUACGAUGAUUGUAUUAUCUAUCAUUAGGGCUGAUACAUUUCCAAGAAGUGUGUGUCAAAGAUUAUGUAUCUUAAGCCAAACCCAUUACUAAUCCAAUCAAAUUGAGCAAAAUUCAGCAAACCCCAUAGCAAAGAAAGUGGGAUAUACAAGCAAAGAUGGCCUCGCACAAUAGGAAUGAAAAUUUUUACAUUAUUAAUGGAAUGAGAACCAUAUAUGUUUGAUAAACACUUGACUAAAGCAAUAGAAAAACCAAUAUACUCCCCAAGAAAAUAAUGAAAAAUAAAAUAUAAAUUAAAUAAAAAAAACUGUAUUAAUGAGUAUAACAAUGUGAGUUAUACAUGUGCAUUCUAUCCUAGUAAGUAAAAAAAUAAAAUAAAAUAAUAAUAAUAAUAAUAGGAGCUAUGUGGUGUAAAGUAUGAAUAGUGAGAGAGAAGUACUAAAAGAUAUGAAAAAUAUGAGAUAACAAAAUUUUAAGAAUUUUAUUUAGUUCUAUUAAAUUAUUUUAUAGACAAAAAAAAAAAAAAAAAAGCCAAUCAUUUAAUUAACUUACUAAAUCAAAAUUUUGGAAUUUGUAAAAGAACAAAUAUAUAAUUGAAACACCUAUAAUUGAACUUGGGUCUCAUUUGAAUCUCACAAUUUUAUCGUUUGAUAGGGGUGGAGAGGGCUUGAGUUAAAGUUGAAACCAGGGCUCAUCAAUUUAAAAAUAAUUAUAUUAAAGGCAACACAUUUAAACAUAGAUUUCAGUUGGUGAUUCUAUAAUAAUGAUGAUGAUGAUGACGACGAAAGAGAAGAGGACAAAGUAUGAAGUGACGGACAAAAAGACACCAAAAAUUCUAAGAGUCAUCUACUAUGAUUAUUUUAUUAUUAAUUGCACUCAUCAAAUCACCUUUUUAAUAUAUUGAUGAUUUUAUUUGAAAAAAAAAAUUCAAAGUUAUAAAUUACACAAGAUUGAAAAGAAUUCAAAUAAAAUUGUGUUUAUUAUUAUUAUUAUUGUUAUUGAAAACAUCAUUCUUAGUUUCCUCAUUAAAAAAGCCAAUAUUUUUAUCAUAUUUUAGUUUCAUUAUCACAAAAAUAUUAUUAAAAUUAUAGCAGUUUGACACUUUACCUUUAAAUUAUAAUUUUAAAGUUGAAUUUAUUUGUCUACUUUUAAUUUAACUGCCUAAGCCUUUAAUAUAAUUAUUUUUGGGUUGUUCUAGGUCCUUCGAGUUUCAACCGCAGCUAGUAACUAAUCGUCCUAAGGCUGAAGCCACAAGCCACUGAACUGGGCUCAAAUCCCAUAUUUUGGGCAUGUUAUUGACAGGCCUACCCUUUUUUCUUUUUUUCUUUUUCUUUUAAACAAAAGACUAAGUUCGCCACCAAGCUAGCCCGUAUGCUUUUAUUGUUUAGAUUUGGCUCCCAACAUGCUACCCUUAUUUUAAGUCCCAAUAUUUUUAAGCCCAGAGUCUCGACCCUUGUUAAAUGUUGAUAUAAGUUUUCUAAGUUGAGGUUGCCUCUAGAAUGUAAUUAAUAAUAUUAUAAGAUAAUUAAUGAUAAUAAAUAUAGUUUACGAAAUUUGAAUAUUUUUAUUCUAACAACCUAUAACAACUUGACUAAUAUUCAAAUAUAUUAUUUGUUUAAAAAUGUAUCAUAUUUUUAUAUAUAGCUUGUUGGAAUUUGAAUAUCUUUGUUAUAGUAACAUAUAAAUAAAAUAAUAAUUAAAUUUGUUGAUAUUAAAAAUGUAUAUUUAUUUAAAAAAUGUGUAUAAGGAAAGUGACAAAUUGACUAAUCAUAUUAAAAAUAUGUUUAUUUAGAAAACAUAUGAUGAUUUUUCUCAUUAUAUUCUUCAUAUUUGUAAGAAGGAUGCCAAAAUAAAGAGAAAAAAACAAGGAAAAAUUGAAUCUUUUAUUUCACUCUACUUUGAGAAGUAAAUCCCAGGUUGUGCAAACAUGGGAUUACGUAGAGCUAACCACCAUGAGGUGAGGUUGAGUACAUGAUGAGAUGAAAUGAGAUGUAUGGGAAUAUAUGCUUCUACAUACCCAUUACAAAUGCUACAAUUUUCAAUGUUAGUUUAGAUGCAUUCUAUAUCAACUUCUUGUUAAAUUGCUAGUGCAUCUCAUGUCCCUCAUAUUGCAUUCUAAAAAUUUUCAUAAUGAACUUCAAAAUGAAUUUUCAUGCUAUUUCCAUUUCCAAGUCAAGACCAAAUACAUAUUAAAAUCACACAUACAUAUAUAGCUAAAAUUAAAAGGGUGAAGGGGCUUAUUUAUGCAGAACAUCGAAAUAUCUGAAAACAUCUUUUCUUUUCGUUUGCUAAAUGUUUCAUGGAGAUAAACCAGAGCACCUCAAACCUUAAUGGGGGUUCUUUAAAAUGAACCAUGUCAGUGAAACCAAAAACAUGGCAAUACUCAUUCAAUAACAAUGCUGAUUUUUUUACAAAGAUUAUUUUAUUUCAAUUAAAUGUGUCAAACACAUGGCGUGAAAUUAGCUAAUCACCAUACUUGGCCACAUGCUUCUUGAGUGCAAUGAACCAAUCAUGACAUCAGUUGGCAACAUCCUUAGUACUCAUCAGGGCAUUUACAAGUGGAGAAGCAAAGCACUACAAACCACAAAUUUUCUCAUAAGUGCUUCAAAUAAUGUUUUGAAAUUUGAAACUCAAAAUCUUCCUAGUGUUUACACAACUACAUAAAACAUACAAAAUUUAAAACAGUCAAACAUAUAAACUACAAACUAUAUAUAAAUGAAAACCCUUCUUACAUGGAAAUUUGCUCUAUGUCAAGCCAUUUAUACUAACAAGCUUUUGAUCAAGUGCAUGAUGUUGGAUUUGACGAAAAGUUUGCUAUCCUUUAGACAUGGAGUUCCUUUUUCUAAAGAUUGGUGUCAUAAGACAUUUAAGGAGAAAGAUCCCAUGAAAACAGUAUCAAUCUCAUGAAAGCAAUAUCUUAUACCUUUAUAGUGAGUAGUCUUAUGUUUGUGAUGUUAUGUGCUAGACCAAAUAUUUGUUUUGUUGUACGGGGUGGUAAAUAGAUAUUUAUUCAAUCCAAGACCAAAGCAUUUGGCAAAUUUCAAAGGAUAUUCUCAAGUAUAUUAGGCAAACAAUGGGAUAUAUGCUUGUAUCUCUUUGUAAUUAGUUGGCACUCCUUGGAUGCAUGGAUUCAAACUUUCAAUCUGACAAAGAUUCUUGUAAGUUUGCCUCUAGAUAUGUGUACAUUCUAAGUGAUUUUUAUUGUUGCUUUUGACCAUAAACAAUUAACAUAUAAUAAUAUAACUUUUGAUUAUAUAAGAUUUUAGAAAUUAUAGUUUAUGGCUAGAAAAUAUCAAUGUUCACAAGCUUUUUUCUUGACCAUUCAUAGUUUGUGAGUAGGAAUAAUUUUUAAGUAUAGCUUCUAGCUAUAUAAAAUUAAGAUAUCAACGAUUAUAAGUUUUUAACUUGAUUUGAAAGGUCUUAAUAUAGCUUAUAGCUAUAAAUUUAUUAAUUUGGUAUUCUAUUUUAUAUUAUUACUAGUUAUAAGAAAAUACAACAUAUUUCAAAUGUUAUAUACGAGAUGGCGAAAAUUAAUUGUGUAAGUUAUUAAGAAACUUUGUAAUGUACUUUUGAAUUUCGUAUUCAAAAACAAAGAAAUUGCUUUGAAUUGAAGAUGUUUUCUCUUUCUCAACCCCAAAAGUUGUAUUCAUAACAUGUUAUAAUUAAAAAUAUAAAGGCUAAGGAAAAAUAAAGAGAAGAGAGAAUAAGAGGAGAGAAUGCAUUAAUUUUUUUUUAAUCUCUUUAUUAACUCAAAAACCCUUAUUUAUAGGAUAAGAAUAAUAUCAAUAUGAUAAUAAUACAAACAUGGCAAUGAUGUUUUCAUCUACAAACUAUCAUGGAUAUUUGUAACAGUUUUCUAGUUUUAACCAUAAUAUAAAGAAUUGUAUUAUUAAAUAAAAAUUGAAAUGCUUUACUUAAACAAUAUACAUUUUUAUACUCACAAGUAUUAAGAUUUUUUUAAUACUUAAUUUCCAGUUUGAUAGAUUAGGCAAUUUUAUAAAAAAUAAUUAAUAGGUGAUAUCAGAUUUAUAUUACCAAACAUAUAUACUUAAAAAGAUUGAUGUUAGACCUCUUAUGAAGAACAUGAAGAUAUUUAGUGUAAUGGCUUCCUGAAAUAAGAGCCACCAUAAAGUUUUACUUUAGGGAUUUUUAUAGGUUGAUUUAUUUAUUUCUUUCUUGUCUUUUUCUUUUGGUAACCUAAUUGGAAUCUUUCAUAAAUACUUUCAAUUCCUAAAAUGCCUAAAGAAAUAGUGAAAUCUUUUAUUAAGAUAAACAAUAUUGAUCUGACCACCAACUUUAUCGUGUUGAUAUAAUGUUUUAUAAAAUGAUAGUUAGAAUAUCAAUUCUCUUCUAAGUAUUUAAGGUUUGUUUUGGUCAGCCCUUAGCUUCUAGUGUAUAAGAAAGAGGCAAGGUCUAGCUUGUCUUACAAGUUUAUAAUGAUUAAAUUGAUUAAAGUAAAAAUAUUGUAAAUGGUAGGGCCUUGUGAUAAGAUGCUACAAUGAGUCAACUUUGUUGGUGCACCAAGUGUAAUCCGACUAGCUAGCAAGAUGCUGAUGACAGUUCGGCCAGCACAAAGAAAUGCCUGGACAAGUUAAAAGUAAUAAAGGAUGAUAGAUUAAAAGUAAUAAAAUUAAGCCUAUCUCACCCAGGUUCCUUUACACUCACGAGCUUUAAAAGGGAUAGCUUCAAGCUCUAGAACUUUGCCUUCUCGUUCACUAAUAGAUGAAGAUGAAGAUGGAGAAAUGGUUGAUUCAACAUAUGAGGAAGAUGGAGAAGGCUAUAAAUGUGAUGAUGGAAAUGAUGAUGUUGAUUUUGUUGAUUUAGAGGAGGAGUGAGGAUUGAUUGUUGUGGACAAAUUUGUUAUUUAAGUGUUUUUUAAUGAUGUUUUUGAAUUGUGGAUAAAUUUCAUGUUUUGGUUUGGAAACUUUGGAUUUGGAUAUGUAUUAGACUAUUAACAAUCAUGAUGCUUUGUUUUUAUGCUUGGAGUUCUUUGUUUUUUUGUUUUUUGUUGAUUAAAUUGAAGUUUUGGAUGAUAUUUGAUGAUUUAUGUGUUUAGGACAAAUAAAUGAUUAUUAAAUUUGAUUAUGUUUUAUAUAAAAAUAUAUAUGUAAAUUAUGGUGCACCUCACUUUACUAAACCCCGUGUCUUAGGUGCGCCUUGUGCCUCAAGCUCCAGGACUACUUUGCGCCUUGGUGCGCCUUGACCCUUUUAAAACUAUGCAAGGUAUUUUGGUACAUUAUUUGUGAACAUAAUGGCUCUACCUACUAGAAGGUGGUGAUUCUUUCUUUCAGCAAUGCCAUUUUAUUGUGGGGUUGUUGUGUAGAAACUUUGAUGAAUAAUGCCUUUCUUAGAGAGAAAACCUUCUAAAAUAAUUUAAAAUAUCCUUUUUCGUUGUCUAUUAUAAGAAUUGUAAUGUUAGCAUUGUAUUAGGUGUUAAUCAUGGCAUAAAAAAUUUUAAACACUUGCUUUGCUUUUUAUUUUUCUUUCAAAAGAUAUACCCAACAAACCCGAGUGUGAUCAUCAAUAAAUGUGAUGAACCUUUGUUUUUCGUUAAAUGUUUAACUCGUGAAGAACCCCAAAUAUUACUAUGGAAUAAUAAAAAGAUGAUGACGCUUUGUAUUUUUAAGGAGGAUAAGUGGAACAAACAUGCUUGGCUAAGUGACAAAUUCCACAUUGAAAAAAAUCUCCAUUAUGAAAUAGUGAUGGAAACAAAGUUCGCACAUAUGGAAAACUUGGGGCCUAGUCUACAAUGUCACAAUAUUAUUUCUUGUUCUCUAGAAAUAGACUUACAACUUGCAAUUUAGGUUUGUUUAUUCAAUUCACUUCUCAAAAUAAUAUAACCCCUCAUGUUCUCUGGCAUUGCCAAUCUUCUUCUCCUAAGUUAGGUCUUGAAACACAUAAGAAGAUUCAAAGAAAUGAGCAUCACACAUUAAGUCUCUAGUCAACUUACUAAUAGAGGGAAGAUUGCAAGAAAAAAAUUAGAAUAUGUAAAACAAAAUGUAGUUCAAUAUUAGGGCUAAUUCUAAUAUUUCUAGUUCUUGCCACUGUUGAAAGAGAUCCAUAUGCUACUUUAACCUUGAAACUUCCUAAACUAAGAUUGUAUGAUGAGAAUAAUUUUUCGCAGCCCAUCGUAUGAUUUGUGGCUCUAGAUUCAAUCAUCGUGGUUCUAGAUUAUUUCUAUAACUACAAUGAGGUGAGGAAAAAAUUACUUCUCUGUGCUAAUAAUGAAUUAUUAGUGUCUUUUGAUGGUUUUGUCAUCAAUAUGGAGAAAAAACCAACAUUCAUCAAAUUCUUAUUAAAAAUAAAUUAAAGGUACAAGCUGUAAUUUAUACAAAGCAAAACGUGAAACAGACCUUAAUUCUAGGAAUAAUAAAAUCAUAUCUCCUAAGAUUUUAUUGCUAUUAAUCAGCAAUAUUUAUUCAAAAUGAAAAAAUUCAAAUGAUGUUCAAAUAAUAGUUGAUUAUUUGGCUACUAGUUUAAAACAAAAUCUGCCCAUAAUUAGAAUGAUUUGAUUUUAUUUGAAUUAUCUUCCAACACUCCCCCUCAAGUUGGGUGGUACAAAUUGAACAUGCCCAGCUUGUCUACUAGUUACUUGAAUGAUCUUCUUGAUAGUAAUUUGGUGGGUACAUUUGCUAGUUGUUUAUUUUGUUGGUACAUAAGCCAUGCAAAUUGUACUAUCUUCAACCUUUUCCUUUAUAAAGUGUCUAUCAACUUCCAUGUGUUUAGUUAAGUCAUGAUGAACUAGGUUGUGUGAUAUAUGUUGAUGGUCACCUUAUUGUCACAAUACAUCUUCAUUGGCAUCUUCUCCUCCACAUUAAUUUCUCGUAGAAGUUGUUUAAGCCAUAGUAGUUCGCACAUAUCAUGAGCAAUAACACAAAAUUCCGCCUCUGCACUACUUCUAGCUACUACUGUUUGCUUCUUACUCCUCCAAGUCGCUAAGUUGCCCCACACAAAGAUGCAAUAGCUUGAAGUUGAUCUUUGAUCAUCUAUGGAACUUGCCCAGUUAGCAUCCGUGAACCCUUUAAUGCUUCUUGUUUCAUUUUUUCUAAAGAAUAAUCCUUUCCUUAGAGAUACUUUAAGAUACUUUAUAAUUCUAUACACGACUUCCAUAUGUUCUUUGCAAGGAGAAUGCAUGUAUUGACUCACAAUUCUUAUUGCAAAAGCGAUGUCUAAUCUAGUGUGGGAAAGAUAAAUUAGCAUCCCUACUAGACGUUGAUAUCUUUCGAUGUUGAUAGGUGUGCUCUCUUUUUGUUCUUCAAUCUUUUUUACGGGAUCCAUUACAACAUCCAAAGGUUUACAUCCUAGCAUCUUAGUUUCCUUCAAGAGAUCUAGAAUAUAUUUUCUUUAGGAAAUUGUUAUUUCACUAUUUUUCCUUGCCAUUUCCAUCCCUAGAAAGUAACGUUGAGGUCCUAGAUCUUUGGUUUCAAACUUAGCAACCAACUUCCCUUUUAAUUGUUCCAUCUCCAUUGGAUCAUUUCCCAAUCACUAUAAUGUCAUCCACAUAGACCAUGAGAAUAGUGACCUUACCAUCAUUGUGAUGUUAAAAUAAGGUAUGAUCAGAUUGAUCCUAUGUAUAUCCAUGCGUUAUGAUGGCCUUGGUAAAUCUCUUGAACCAUGCAUGAGGAGACUGUUUCAGCCCAUAGAGAGAUUUUCUAAGCUUGUAGACUUUUCUACCUUCCUUCCUUGAUCGAAUCCAAGAGGCAAUUCCAUCUACAGUUUUUCUAGGUCUCCAUUCAUAAAAACAUUUUUGAUGUCUAGUUAUUGAAGUCACCAAUCCAGACUUGUAGCAAGAGAUAAAAGAACUGUUACGGUAUUAAGUUUGGCAAUUGGGGUAAAUGUACAUUUCUUGAUAGUCAAUACCAUAAGUUUAUGCAAAUCCCUUAGCUACCAACCUUGCCUUGUAUUUUUCAAUGAACCCAUUUGACUUUUAUUUUCCAGCAAACACCCAUUUGCAUCCAACAAGCAUAUUUGCUUGGGCUUGUCCACUAAAUCCCAAGUUCGGUUUUUUUUUUUUCUAGAGCUUUCAUUUUCUCCAUCAAAGCUUCUUUCCAUUGAGGAUCUUGUAAAGCCCCAUGAAUAAGUUCCAAAACUUCUUCUCCUAAAAGUUUUGAAAUAAAAGCUUGAAAUCAAGGUGAGAGGGUGUUGAAUACAUGGUCAAACACCUUUUCUCAUGGCUAUAGGAAAAUUAAGGUUACUUAUGACUCAUGCCCAAUUGGUGUCUCAGCUGAUUUGUGUUCAGCUGGUGCUCCUUGAUUGAGGAAGUGAUCAACAAAAUUUAUACCUAUAACACCAUACACUAGGGUAGCAAAUACAAAGCUACUAUAGUAUAGUGGCUCUAAGGAUCGUUCACUGGGAAUGAUUUGCAAGCAAUCAAGGAUACCAAUUCCAAGUGAAUUGGUUUUGUUUCAUUUCACGGUUAGCUUAAGGAAUAAAACACAAACUUUGAUUGGUACAGGUUUAGACUUAAACUAACUAACUUAACAGAAGUUUGGAAUAAUUUAGGAAGAAAAGCAUUCCUUGGAGAUUUAGGUUCACUGGGGCGGUUCCUCAUACAAAAGACACGGCUCUGGUCAGAUGGUUCAUUUCCUCGCAUUAGAGAUUCAACUUAGAGUCAAUUCUCUAACCGGUGAUGUACAGAGACUCCUUCAAUUAGAUUUCACUUUAAUUCUCUCACUGAUGCAACUUGCAAUGGUUCAUGCCUCUCACGAGCACUUACCAUUCAAGGUGAUCUUUAACCUUGGACUUCCCUUCACAAACUCGCAAGAGAUAACUAAUGGAUGUCUCCUAGGAGUCCAAAAGCUUACCAAGUGUUGGUAAUUCCAGAAAAUCCUACCUUGAAGUCACCUACCAAAGGCUCGCAAGGGGUAAACUAGUGCAUUUCCACGGUUGGAAAUCACUUGCCUUACCAAGUGUUGGCCCAGGUGACUCCAAGGUGUUUUAAGUUAACUAAAAACAUUGAAAUCACUAAAGGAUUUCACUUCCUUUUCAUUACUAGCUAAAACCACAGAGCUUUGCAUUCUUGCACUUGGAACCUUCCCCGACAACCUUAGCUCCAAGGAAUUGGAGGUUUAGUUACUCAUUCUCUGGGGAAAACUCCUCAGAGAAUUCAUAACUUAGAAAUAAAAUGAAAAUACAAAGUGAGAAGGUAAGGCAGUAGAAAGAAAAUACUUUACUUGCUUACCAAAUGGUUACAGAAGGAACUCUCCUCCGAGAACAGGCUCCCGAGAGGUAUUUAUAUCAAAACAAUAUAAAACUAAUUAUUACAUAGAUAUUUGGUCUUUUUACUAACUUAAAAACUAAGAAAUCAUGUAAUUGGUGGUUUACAAGGAGUAUUUUGGGAUUUAGACAACAAAAAUCUAAUGGAAAAUAUCUCCCAAUGUCGGUAGCAAGCUUCGGGAGGCUUCAAGAGCCAUUUCGCAGGAGAAAAGUGAGGUCUGCGAAAUUUCGCAGACACCCAAGAGGGCUGCGAAAUUAUUUUGCAAGACCGAGCUAUCUUCACCUGGCUGCAAAGUUGGCUUCCACCUUGAAGUUUCCAGCUCCCUUCUCGCGGCAUGGUUCGUGCAUCGUCAGAAGGAGAAACACCUUACUGUACAAAAGUGCUGCGAAAUUCUCGCAACAAAAGGCUGAUUCCGCAACACUUUAGAGUGACUGGCUUGUAAUGGCUGCAACUUCUUCGUUUCAACUCCGAAUCGUGCACCGUUUGAAGCAUUGGAUUGUUGACUUUCUGAGCUUUGAAAUGGUAUAUAGCUUGCAUCAUUUGGACUUCAGAAAGUUCUCCAAAAGUGGCUGCUACGACUGUCAUCAAGAAUAGGCUUCAUGGCAGAUUCUCUUUGCUUUUUCUCCUUGCAUUCCGGAUUCACUCUUGGCAAUUGAAUUCUAGCUUUGCCCAAGAUUCCUCAUAGCUCUCCUCAUUCUUGACUUGCUUUGGUGAUCAAAAUACUAACAAAAACACCAAAACUUGCACAAAGUGAUCAAAAUUGCUUUAAAGGAUCCUUAACAUGCCAAUUGAGUUAAAAGGCCUAAACUACUACUCAAAAGUGUUAAAAAGGAUUAAUUAAAGGCUAUCAAAUAGCACUUUUUGAGUAGUAAUCAACUUACCUCAGGAACGACAGUUUUUCUGAUUCUUGACAGCACUAUUGGUUCAUUUUGGUCUCUAUUAUUCUUGAGUUACUCCUCUUUGUAUAGACAUGAAGUUUUGGUUGUUGUAGUGAAUCUUCCCUGACCUUGAAUCUAUUUUUGUUGUUGACACCACAAGUCUGACUGGCUUCGAUUGUUCUUGUUUGUCAGUUUCAAACACUAGCUGGUUAAGGAGGUGUUCUGGUUGUUCAGGUGGGUAAGAAGGCUAGUUUAAUAGUUGUUUUGGUGAUAUAGUUGGGUUAGACAAGUUUGGUGGUUGUUCUGGUAGUAGGCUUAGCAAUGAUAGUUCCCAAAAAUUCUCUUUAUCUACAUUCUGCCCUUGAAGUGAAUUUUUGGAGAAAAAGGUUGGUUCUAAAAAAAAUGUAACAUCCAAAGUGACAAAGUAUUUUUGUUUUUUAGGAGAGCAACAGCGAUACCCCUUUGUGUGGUUGAAUGACCAAGGAAGACAUAGGCUAAUGCUGUAGGAUCCAGUUUGGUUCGAUUUUGGUCGAGGACAUGAACAAAGGCUUUACAAUUGAAAACCUUAAGGGGGAGUUGGUUAAAGGACUGAGUUUGUGGAUAGAAUUGAAGGAAUCUUUUUAAUGGUGUUUGGUAAUUGAAAACUCGGGUAGGCAUAUGAUUUACAAGAUAAUAAGUUGAAAGAAUGGAAUCUUCCCAAAAUUGUUUUGGUACAUUUGUGGUAAGCAUAAUGGAUCGAGCUACUUCCAAUAAAUGCCUAUUAUUUCACUCGGCCACUUCAUUUUGUCGAGGUAUAUCUACACACGAACUUUCCCAUUAUCCAUUUAUAAGACUUGGAUUUUAGUAUUAGAUUGGUUUUGAAUCAUUUGAUAAAAAAUUUUGAAUGCUGGUUUUGCCUCAUUUUUUUCUUUCAAGAGAUAUAGUCAUGUAGUUCAGGUGAUCAUCAAUAAACGUGAUAAACCACCUUCCCAAUUAGAUUUUGUAAACGUGAGGGACCCCAUAUGUAGUGUGUAUCAUUGCAUAAGGUCUGGAUGCUUUGUAGGGUUGAGAAGGAUAAUUGGACCAUUGAUGUUCAGCAAAUUGAUAAAUAUCACACUAAAAAACAUCUUUAUUAUUGAAAAAAGAAGGAAACAAAUGCUUCAAAUAUUGAAAAUUAGGAUGGCCUAAGCUAAAGUGCCACAACACUACUUCUUGUUGCUUAGUCCUCUAGGAAGAUUCACAACCAGCUGAUAGUACUUGUCCAUCCUUGGUAUUAUCUUCCUUGAAGUAGUAGAGCCCUCCAUAUUCCUCAGCACUGUCAAUGCUCUUCCUUAGACAACAAAUUACAUGAUAAUUUGGGACAUUGAGAACAUUGAAAAGGGUUAUAUGAGGCCCUAAAAUUUUAGUACCAGUCCCUGCAACAGUAGCCAGAGAUCCAUCUGCAAUUUUGACUGAUGUGUCCAGAACCUGGAGUAUAAGUAGAAAGUAGACUUGCACAACCUGUCAUAUGGUCUGUUGCCCCUAAAUCUAUUAUCCUAGGGUUGAAUUUUUCUGUUGUUCCACUCAAAGCAAUCCCAAAUGUACCUUUUGGGAUAGGAAGGAUGAGUUAAUGUGGUUUUGGGAUGUAUUAGUGCCUGAUUCUGCUGGUACCAAGGCUGAGGAUGGUGUUAACAAUUUGUAGAGCUGCUCUAACUGCUCCUUGUUUAAGGAAAUAUUGACAGAGCUCUCUCCUCUCUGCUAUUCAGUAUCUGAAGUGGUCUGAUAUCCCUUGGGUUCCCUCUUAGUGCCUUGGUUAUCUCUGAAAUUAGGUGGUCUGCCAUUCAGCUUCCAGCAGUUUUCAUGGCUGUGAUUGGAUCUCUGACAGUGAUCACACCAAAGGUUGUCAUUUCUUCUGUUGCAAGUAUCUCCACAGGAACUGUCAUCUUUACAGGCUAUCAGGUCUGAGUUAUCAGCAGUAGUAUUGCCAGGAACAGUAGGAGUUUUUACCCCACCAACCAUCACACGUUUGCAUGUUUGUAAUUUCUGAUAUUUUAAUCCUUGUUCACAUGAUGACUGUUAUAUUAAUUUUAUUGCUGAUUCAGAUAAUACAGUCAUAACAUUUGCUGGAAUUUUGCAAAAUCAGACUCAGCCUUUUGAGACUUUGAAAACUUUGACACCAUAUUUAGUCAAUCUAGAUUGAAGAAAAGACCUUAUUCUAGAAACUUAUGAACUAAAAACAGAGUUUUCUCUACUUAGAAUAUUCAUUAUUCAUUACUGGUUUUGUUCAUGAAAGUUUCUUUCCUUCUAUGCUUUGUUGCUCUAUACUUCUACUUGCAUAUUCAAAUGGAUCUGCAAAUAAUUUGAUUUUGUUGAUAGGUUGAUGCUGCUCUUGAUUUAAGUCACGCUCAAAACAUUGGAAGAAUGAUUAAAUCCCAUUUCCCACAUUCCCCGGUUAGUAAAUAUAUAUUUUAUUUUAUUUGUUCUCAUCAGCAUGUUGAUUCACUUUUCUUUUUAUCCUCCUAAACUUUAGAUCUUUUUGCCAAUUGAAUUUUAGCUCUAGUAAUAGACACGGGGCCUUUAGUUAUAAUUAAGUCAUAAUAAAAAAAGAAAUUUUCUAUGGUACAAAAAAGGUAUCAUGAUUCAUGGCUCCAAAAGUCAACUAAUGAGAUUGAGAGUUUGUUUCUUGAUAUAUGAAACUACCUAGAGGAGAAGCGAAUAGGUAGUCCAAAAUUUUAUUUUCCAAUUUAAAAUUUAUUCAAAUUUUAUGAGAGGUAGAUUCAAACAAUGUAUAUAUAGAAAUCAAUCACACAUACAAGGACAUCAAUUAUAGGUGGAAAUAACACUUACAAAGUACUUGAGAAAUUUUGUAGAUGAAAAACCUACAGGUUGAACGAUCGGGAAUAGAGCCAUGAAAUACAUAAAAGAUUGUAUGUAGAUUACCUAAUCUAGAAUAUCCAACUCCCAAAGGGUCUUAUACCGGUAAGCACCUACCCAACUUUUCAUGUCCUUAUCGCAACACUCUUUGUUCCUUACUGAAUACCUUAAUCCCAUGCUAAGGCUAUGAAAGAACAUACCUUCAAUGAAAACACUUUCAAGAUUGUGCUUUAAAGGUUUGAGAGAUGGAGAUCUAGGGUAGAGAGAAUAGUCACAUUCUUAUGCAUGUCUUCAAUUUAUAAAAACUUAGUAUUUAUACCAAAAUAUUAGGAGACAAUUUUGGAGAUAUUUUUUCCAAAAAGUUAGCAAAAUAUCCUUUAAAAAAUUGGAAAAUGGCUAGAAAUAUGCAAGAAUAUGGCCCAAUGUUUGAAAGUCUGUAGAUGGUGUUUGAGAGAGAUGUUUGAAUGUCUCCUAUGUGACAUUUGGAUUUCCAACCUGCAUUUUGCCCACUCGGUUGAGUUUUUCAAUCUCUUCUCCAAAAUUUCACUUAGUACUCGUGAUAACCAUUUCUCAUGGCCUAAUAUCACCUAAUGUAUAUGUACUUCAAAUGUGAAUCAACUCUAAAGUAACUAAUGAUUGAUUUAAAUUGGUAAGACCCUCAAGAGGUAAGCUACAUUGGACUCAAUACAAUAAUGGAACAAAAUUUAUCAACCUAAUCUAAUACAUCAAUUGAGAUACCUAAAGGCAAUGACAUAUUAAAUAGUAAAAUGUUAAUUUUUAUUAGUUAUAUAUAUUUUAGUGGAUAAUACCUUCAAAUGCAUUCAGGUGCGUAUAAAGAGUAGCAUGUAUGACAUGAACAAUGCUUGUUUCUAGAAGAGUCUGCUACCUAGUUGACAUUAAACAACAGAAGUGGUUCUUAACUCGAGAAACCAACAAAAAGAGGAGUCAACACUUUUAUCUUAGAUGUAAACUCUACUCUGUAUUUCUAUAAUUAGAUUUGUUCAUAUGGCCAACUGGAAGAAUAAACUAUUCAUUACUAAGAGCAAAAUGAAGCUUUCUAGAAGUUAAUAAAGCGAUCAUAAGAUCAAUUAUUGUAGUUGUGCUUUUGCUACACACAGUCAAAUUAAUAGUCAAGAAAAAUCCUGAAAAUUUUUAAGAACUAAAUUAGAUCUUGUGUUUGGUCUUAAGAACUAAAAAAAGUGGCAGCUCAAAACUAACCAUUAGGUAUGGUUUGGGGUUGAUUUAACAUUCUCUAAAGGCUCAAAUAAUACUCAAGAACGAUUUAAAAUUCUUCCACAAUCAAUAUAAGAGGUUAAUUUGAAGCCUUUAAAUAGGAGUUGGAAGCUCAAAACUAAUCGGCAGGUAUGAUUUGGGGUUGAUUGGUCAAAUUGGUUAUUACCCAUUGGGCAUCAAAAAGUACAAGUGACCAUUAGGUUAUAAAAGGUUAGCUAGAUGGGUUUCCACCUCAACCAGUUAAAAUAAGCUUUUGUCGACCUUAAUCAGUCCAAUUGAUGAAUAAACCAAUUCAACCGGUUGAUUGAGUGAAUAGAAAUGGUUGAGCCGCUUUGGUCAAAGUCUGAGGUCAAACAUACAACUUUAGCAUAUUGCAUCUUUAGCAUAAGAUCAUUAGGAAAACUUGACUAGAUAAACCCUUCAUCAUUUUAAAAACCUUUUUAACCAUUAAAAACACUAAUUAAAGAUGAUUUUCAUUUAAAACAAUUCUUCAUCCAAUUUAUAAAAGAAUAAAAAAUCAAGAGAAGAAUUUAGAGAAAUAAAGGAAGAAGAAAGUCAAAGGAAAAUAAUUUUGAAGUUAUCUAUUUCCAAUACCUUACCAUAUUUAUAGGUUCCAAUCAUAAUGACUAUAAUAUAUAUAUAUAUAUAUAUAUAUAUAUAUAUAUAUAUAUAUAUAUAUAUAUAUAUAUAUAUUAACAAUUAUGAAUGUUACAUGAAUAUUUGCAAAGUUUAAUAUUAGGAAAUGACGUCCACAAAUUUUUAUACCUAUUUAUAGAACUCCCCUUUUGAUGUUAAAUCAUUUUAAAAAUAUGUCUUAUUAAAACCUGACUAAGAAAAAUCCAAGUGAAGGAAAAAAAGUAUAAUAAUCUUUUAAUGCAUUUGGACUACUGUGACUACCUCAUUAAAAAAUUUGUCUGUAAAACCUAGUAGGACAAAACCUGGACAAAAGGAAAAAGAAUACAAUGUAGUGACAUCCUUAUUAAUUUGCUCCCCCGUGAACAUAAUCACGUUUUCUUGACUACUUCAAUUUGAAGCUUCUUGAAUCUUCCCAUUUCAAUAUUAUAUAUGAGUUUUUGGAAUAUUGCUCUUAGUAAUGCUUUUAUGAAUAGAUUUGCAAAAUUGCCACCUAAUCUUACUGGUUGAAUAUUAAUAUUAUGCUUAAGCUUGCUCUAGCUCUAGUAUCAAACCUGGCCUCCUCAGCUCCAACAACAUCACCCUAUGUCAAAUUAUCAUCAUCAAAUACAAAAUCAUAUUGUGCACCUCCAUGAGAAUCCUCAUUUUCCAUUCUUCCUAUCAACCCUUCAUUGUUGUCAUCUAUAUCUUUUAAGGAAAUUGGGCCAAUGGUGUUACGUUCAUUGUAUCUUCUCUUUAAGGCAUUAUAUUUAAUGUGUACCAAAUCAUUCAAGCGUUGAUGAUCUAACCUAUUUCUCCUCUUGCUAUGAAUCUACAAAAAUUUAUAAACUCAUAAAUAUAUUUCAAAGUUUUAACUUUUUACUUUUAAGUUACAUUCAAGACUCUAUUAGACUAUUACUUGUAAUUAUUUUGGUCACUUACAUUUUCAAAGAUGCUUCAAUUCCAUUCACAACCCAAUGCACUACAUGUUAGGUUGAGGACUUUCAUUGCAAACCUUUGCAAAUUUGGAGCUUCAGCUCCAUAUGUAGCCCACCAUUCAGCUAUAGUAUAGAUAUUAACAAUUUAGUGAAAUAAUUCAUCUAUUUCAGCAAAAAUACAAUCUAAUCAUUUAAAUAAAUAAAAAUAAAUAACUAACUUGGUGUUCUAGUCUUCAUUGUCCUUACAACUAACUCAUUCUCGAUUAGUCUUUGGGCAUUUGAGUACAAACUCACUUUAGUCACAACUUUUUCUUACUUAGUGGGGUUUUUUGUCAGCCUUAAGAUGCAUUUAUACAAAUCACUCACAAUCUUUGCAUCAUGCUCUAUUUCUAGUUUAUCAUAGAAAAAUUACCGGUUCAAAAAGUACCAUGUUGCAUGCAAAGGCCGAUGAAGUUGAAUUUCCCAUCUCUUAUAAAUGAUUUUGAAGAUUUCUUUAUACUUCUCUUCAUUUCCAUUAAAACUUCUCAUAAUUGUAUCCUUAGCUCUAUUCAUGACCUCAUAAAUUUAUUCCAUAGGAGCUUUUUUUUUUCACCUUUAACCAAACAAAGCACAUGAACAAGGGGCCCAAAACCUUUAAGCAAAACACAAUAGUGUUCCAAAAUGAAGGCAUUAGAACUAUGUUGGCUAUAGUUUUCUCCUUCUCUUUUGCCCAUUUACUAUUUGACCAAUCUGAACUUGUAAACAUCUUCCUCAAGUUGCUUUUUUGUUCAUGUAAUCGCAAUAAUGUGAUGAAAGCAAUUGCAAAUCGAGUCUUAGUAAGCCUAAGCAAUUCUUUUUGUCUAAUAAUCUGCCUCAUCAUAUUGAGUGGCCUUGGGCAAUUAUAAAUAUACCCAUUUAGUGAUAUAGCCCUCUCCAAUGUCCCUUGAUGUUUGGUAGCUUUCCAAUAUCUUCCAAUAUCAAGUCAAGGCAAUGUGCAGCACAUGGUGUCCAAUACAAAUGCAAGAAAGCUUUAAUUCUAGCAACCUCCCUAUGUGACAUUGUAGAUAAUAAAUUUACAUAAGUUCUCAAGAUAAAUAAUUCAAAUUUUAAAAUUAAAAUUAUUAAAUAAAAAUUCAAGAAAUAGUAUUUAUUACCUGCCAUCACAUAACUUGAGUGAUUAUCUGUUAUAACUUGAAUAACAUUCUCCUCACCAACUUGCUCUACCCAUUUUUCAAGUAACUCAAACAUCUUUUCUCUAGUCUCAAUCAUCGAAAAAGCAUAAAUGGAUUGCAUAAACAUGGUUCCCUUUGAAUAAUUAACCAAAAAUUUCACCAAAGUUCUCUCUUUCCUAUCGGUCCAUCCAUCUAACAUAAUUGAACAUCCAUUUUUUUUUCCAUUCCACCAUAUAAUCCUUCAUCAAAUCUUUUGUAAGAGCUAAUUCUUUCUUGAGGUUUGUAAAUCUUGCCUCAUGAAGAGUUGGUCCCUUCAUACCCACACCAUAUUAGCCAAUAGCCUCAAUUAUUGGUUGGAAACUCGGAUAUAUGAUUGCAUUAAAUGGAAUAACAGCCUCAUACAUCCACCUUGUGAUAAACAUACAAGCUCUUUCUCUUGCUUCCUUUUUAUAGGCAUCAUUGAUAGUAGUUUGAUUCAUCUUCCCACUCUUUUGACUUUGAACAACCAUUUCUACAUUAUGAGUGAAAAAAUGAUCCAUGGGACCUUUUUGUCUUGGUUUUUUUGAAGAAAACAUCCUACCACCACUUCCUCCUUAGUUACUACCUCCAUUAGAAAUGUUGGUGACAUUCAUUCUACUUUUAAUCUCCUCACCAAAAUCUUCAUCUUCCAAACCAAACAAAUUUUCAUUAACAUCUUCACUCCCCAUAUUCAUUUGCUUUUUUGACUUUUUUUGGAACUCAUAUACUCUUCCAUUUCUUCUCUAACAUGUUCUAGACAUUUUCUACACUUUUUAGCAUUUUUAUAUCCACCAACAAGAUGUUGUUUGUGUCUAUAUAUGCCUUUUUUGAUUACUUUAUCACAAAAAAUGCAUAUAGUGGUGUUCAAAUCUUUUUCAUUAGGCAAACGAGCAUACUUUCGUCUGAGAUCUCUUCUUCUACUUGCACUAGAGUCCACUUGAGUUUCACUCUCAUUUUCCAUCUUGCAAACAAAUUAUCCAUACUACAAUAAAAUAAUUAUAUUAAAUUAAGAAAAUAAAAAAUUGAAAAAAAAUGCAUAUCAUAUUAACAAAAAAUAUGUACAUGAGAGUGUUUUUUAUUUGUUUAUUUUUAUUUAGUAAAAUUUUCAUGUCAAAAUACAAUAUUUAUUUUAAAAAAAUGCCAAUGAGAGUUAUGAGACAAGAAUGGAAAAAAAAUGCAGAAAAGAGAAACAUACCAAGGUCCUAGAAAGGUACGUCUAUUUUUCCUCUAUUUUUCCUCAUUUUCUUUGCUUCUCCACUGCACAGCUGAGGUUAGGGCAAAAUUUGGGAGGGUUGUCGAGUUGAAAACAACCAGAAAAUGGAACUAGAAAGGAAAAUAGGACCAAAAUGACAUUGUUUUGGCCUGUUUUUUAUUUUAAAAGAACAAGCUCCAAAACAACAUUAUUUUGGCUGGUUAUUUUUUAAAAUAAAAAUGGUCAAAACAACGUCAUUUUGGUCUCAAUUUUUUUCAUAAAAAACAAAAUUAGGGUUCUCUCUACCCUUUGCAACCCGUCUUCAAAAAAAAAAAAAAAAAAAAAAGAAGAAGAAGAAGAAGAAGGAGAUAGGGGAUCAAGGCGCACCUAUGGACUACGUCGUGCCUUACCGAAGGUGGGCUCCUUGCGCGCUUAAGUGGCGCCUUCGUGAAGGGGCAUCGCCUACCUUUAAGCAAGGCACCGGAGGGUUGCAUCGCACCACCUGGAGCCUAGGCGCACCUUUCACAACUAUGAUACCUUGUUAUCUAAUAAAUAGAAUGUUAACCUAAAUUCUUAAUUAUGAAGCACCAAUAACUUGUUUUCUCAAAGCCUAUCAUCGUAGCCAAUCUAUCUCUUCACUUCCAUUAUGAGUCUUUGGUUGUACUUCCUUCGUACACAUCUGCGAUAAUAAUAGGAAUAAACUUAACCCUAAAGCUCGAAAAUGUAUUUUCUUAGGAUACUUUGAUAUGUAAAAAAGAUAAAAAUGUUACAUACCAAACACACAAAUAUUACACUUCUAUGGGUUUGACAUUCUUUGAAAACCAACCUUUUUUCACCAAAAAUUUCUCUCAAGGGGAAAACGUUAGUGAGGACGAAAAUAUUAAAGUUGCCAUUGCUCCUAUAUUUGCACUACUACUUGAGUUUGAACAACCACAAACACUACUACAUGAACUUGAAUAGUCAUAAAACACCCUUUGGUGAACCUGCUAUGACCAUGAACAAGGGUUCAAUGAUGGAGGGACUUGUAACUCCAGUCUCCCAAGCCACUUGUUUAUUCAAGACAAAAUAGUACUCAAAAGGUGGAACACCUAACAACCUCUUGCAAAACCAUGAAUUUGAACCAAUAUCAAUUACUCAAACUUCUAACCCACGUGUUACUUUUGGAGGUGAUGAUCUUAAAUGUUCCUAUAGCUCUCAAGAAAGGAACCCGAUCUUGUACUCAACACCCAAUCUCCAAGUUUGCAGCCUAUAAUCACUUGUCAUCGUCUGCUCAAGCACUUAUAACUAAUCUAGCAAGAGUGGAAAUUCUGAAAACCACACAGGAAGCUUUAUCAAUACUAGAAUGUAGAAACGCGAUAAGAGAAGAAAUGUUAGCUCUAGAAAAAAAUAGAACUUGGGAUGUUGUGGAGAUGUUGAGGGAAAAAAAAUCCCCUAUUGACUACAAAUGGGUUUUCUCAGACAUAUGGAGUUGACUAUCAAGAGACAUUUACACUAGUGGCAAAGCUAAAUACUAUUCGAGUACUUUUAUCCUUGGCAACAAAUUUGGAUUGGAAACUCCAACUUGAUGUCAAAAAUGCAUUCUUGAAUCGUGAGUUGGAAGAAGAAGUCUAUAUAGAUCUGCCAAUAGGAUUUGAUGAGGCUAGAAUUAAUGAAAAGGUUUACAAGCUCAAAAAAUCUCUUUAUGGAGUGAAACGGUCUCCACAGGCUUGGUUUGGUAGAUUUACAAAGGCUAUUCAUUAGCAAAGGUACCAAUAAGCUCCAUUGGAUCACACUUUGUUUUAUAGACAUAAAGGGGAUAAGACUAUGAUUCUCAUAAUCUAUGUUGAUGAUAUAAUCUUGACUAGUGAUGAUAUUGUAAAGAUGGAAAGGCUAAAAAAUCUCUUGCAAUAGAUUUGAGAUUAAAGAUCUAAGCCCAUUGAGAUAUUUUCUUGGUAUGGAAGUAACAAGAAAUAGAAGUGAUAUUUCAAUUUGUCAAAGGAAGUACAUCCUAGAUCUCUUGGAAGAGAUGGGGAUGUUAAGGUGUAAGCUUGCAGAUACACCCAUAAAUUAUAAUUUGAAACUAGGUAAAUAAUCUGAAAGUACACCAGUUGAUAAAAGUCAAUACCAACAUUUAGUAGGAAAGCUUAUCUAUCAUUCCCAGACUAGAUUGAUAUUGUCUUCGCAGUAGAAUUUGAGAUUAAAGAUCUAAGCCCAUUGAGAUAUUUUCUUGGUAUGGAAGUAACAAGAAAUAGAAGCGAUAUUUCAAUUUCUCAAAGUACAUCAUAGAUCUCUUAGAGGAGAUGAGGAUGUUAGGGUGUAAGCUUGUAGAUACACCCAUAAAUUAUAACUUGAAACUAGGUAAACAAUAUGAAAGUACACGAGUUGAUAAAAGUCAAUACCAACAUCUAGUAGGAAAGCUUAUCUAUCGUUCCCAUACUAGACUGAUAUUGUCUUCGCAGUUAGUGUCGUAAGCCAAUAUAUGCAUUCUCCUUAUGAAGAACACAUGGAAUUCAUGUGUUAGAUUUUGAGAUACCUCAAAUGGACUUUAGGAUGACGACCUAUUCUUUAAGAAAAGUGAAGAGAGGAGAGUUGAGGCUUUUAUAUAUGCAGAUUGGGUAAGACCAGUGAAACACAGGAGGUUAACAACUGUAUAUUGGACUUUUGUGUAGGGUAAUUUAGUGACUUGGAGGAGCAAGAAAUAGACAGUGGUGGCUAGAAGUAGUGUUAAGGCAGAACUUAAAACUUUAGCACAUGGGAUUUAUGAGUUACUAUGAUUGAAAAUAUUGUUAGAUGAUUUGAAAUUUAUGAGAAAUGAGUCUAUGAAGAAUUAUAGUGAAAACAAGGUUGCCAUCACCAUCUCCCAUAACCUUGUUCAUCACAAUAGAACAAAACAUGUAGAGGUAGACCGCCAUUUUAUCAAGGUAAGGAUCGAAGAGGGGAGCAUUUGUGUCGUGCAUAUACCUUCAUCACAAUAUGUUGCAAAUUUGCUAACUAAGGGAUCAUUCAAGCCGAUGUUUAAGAUUGGUUGACAAGUUGGGUCUAUUCAAUGUGUUUAGUCCAGAUUAGUCCAGCUUGAGGCGGAGUGUAGAGAAUCUUGGAUAAUUCUUAUUCUUUGAAUAAGGAUAAAAUCCAAGAAGAGGUUUAUUUUCUAAAUACGGGAGAUUGUGAUUGUGUUCCUUGUUUCUAUUUCUAAUUGCUAGCUAUAAUAUUACAGCUAGCUUGAAUCUCUUAAAAUACAACUGAUUUGAAUCUCCUAAAAUUAAGGGUUGUGGUUACAAAGUCUAGCCCAUAAAUCUACUUGUAUUGAAGAAAUAAAAAAUAACAAUAACAACCUCCACUUUAUGGUUUGCUCUUCUUUCCUGUAGUGUUUUUCUUUUAUCAUUUUUUUUUUGUUUCCUGCCCAGUUUCAGAUACUUAAAAUAUCUAGAGGGAUAAAUAUUCAUAGCUUGUAAAAUUUUGAAAAAAUCAAUUAUAAUAUACAAUAUUAAUAGCUUUGAAAAUUUUUGAAAGAUGAGAGAAAAAAAUCCCUUGGUUUAAUGUGCUUCGCAAGAAGACCCUCAGACUAAACCCUCAUAAAAGUAAGUUGCACCAUUUGAAAAACUAAAGAAAAGUUGAACUUAGUACCAUGAACAUAGAUGCAUAAAGUAAAUCCAGCUAUAACAAUUAUCAGAAGCAUCCUUGUAAACUCUUCCUCAAAGAAAAGCCAUUUAAUAAGUUUGGUAAAGCAAUCUAUAUUAUAAGUUUCAAAUGCUAAAGAUAUGGAAAAAAUAUUUCAAAACUAUGCCAAAUUAUAAAUGAAAAAAAAAAACCGUACAGCACCUCAUCCAGAAUAUAAAGUGGAACUAGUUUGAAGAGGAGCAAUGCCAAUAUUAGAGAGAUUGCAAGCAGUGAACGUUGUCCUCCACUCAAUUCUGACAAGGACUACUUCCAAACACUUCCAAAUGUAACACGAACCUCAAGACCAUCCAAGAAACUGCAUCCUUCAGGAGAUUCCAGCUUUUCCAUUGUGCUUGGUAAUAGAGUAGAAAAGACGGAUCCAAAGUCCCUGAAAAGAAGCUACAAAAUUAUGAAUAGUGAGCUUCAUCAAGUUCUAUAAAAUCAAAGAUCAAUAACCACAUAAAUGAUUAAUUUUAGUAUCAAUUAAAAUAACCAUCUAAUAUAGCAUGAUGCAAUAGACUCAAUUGUUAACUUUAGUCCAAGAACUUUUAAUGUUUCCUUCUUCUUUUCAUCCAGCUCUUCAAUCACCAUCUUGAUUUUUGACUUGUCAUUCUGUUAAAGGCAUAUUAUGCUUUUCUUGGAUAUUAAUUCAUAGUACUCAUCUUCUGCUUUCUCAAACAUUGCCAUCACUUUCUCCAGGCUACAUUAGUGAAAAUAAGAAAAAACAACCAAUAAAAAAUUGUUCUUUGCUACCUCUUCAUUUCAAAAAAGAUAAUGAUAGCACAGUACUAUGUUUGAGUAUGAGAAUGUUUGGAAAAAUCACUCAGCGCUUGAAACCAAACCAAUACAAACAAUAAUGAAAAGAGAUAAGGAAAAAGAAAAAAGGUUUCUCAGCUACAUACCCUGAUUGUUCAGCUUGCACUUUGUUAAGUUCAGCCCUGGCUUUACUAGGAUCAUGACACACAAAAUCAUAAUCAGUUCCACUUCUUCCGAAAAGUUGCUUUUCUAAUGCAAUCCAGGCAUGCUUCUCAAUUAACUUUUCUACCUUCGAAGAAAUCUUUUUGUUCCAUCUCCAUUCGUUUUACCUAAAAAAACGGAAAGUAGAUUAUUUAGUGUAUCAAGUCACAAAGAACAAAUAUAAUGCAAUUAGAAUUUACCUCAUUUUCCAGUUUCUUCCUUCCAAUAUUCAUCUCACUAAGUUUGUGUUGAAGCUUCUCCUGCUCCUUGAGAAUGUAACUAAUUUGAGAAUCACAUUCCUUCAUCUUCAAACGGAUCAAAUUGAGCUCACAUUGAGCCUGAUCAUGAUUGUUCUUUAUUGAAGCAACCUAAGAGAGAGGCUAGAAGGUUAAACUUCACAUUACAUAACUUUCCAUUGUGCUUUGAGAAUCACAAUUUGUCCUCUCAAACAUGCUAGUUGACUCUCCAAAGAUGCACGUUCCUCUAUGGCUGCUUCCAUUUCCAUAAUAAGCCUCUCUUUUCAUUCUCAUGCCCCUAAUAGCAAGAAAAAUCAUACCAUAAGAAAUUAAAGUGCUAUUGAGCACUCUAACACUUCAUCUACUAGAAAAAUCAAAAUGUGGAUGAAAUAUAAUUACCAAGCAAAGUUUAACAAAAUGGUGAAUGAAACGAUUUAAUGAGAUGCAAAAUCAAAAUGAAUAAUGUCAAAUACAACAUAUUUAAACUUCAUACCAAGCUAAUUAGCUAAAGCUUUUUAGAGAGAAUAGUAGAACAUAUUUCAUGUUGUGAAAUGUCUUGCAUUCUUGGAUUACUUGACUUCUAGGCGGUCUCAAAUUCUCUUUGUAAACAUAUUUCAUUAAGCAUUAUAAUGGAAAACUAAGCUAAGGAUUAUAGGGAAAAUUAGGAAUUAAUGGAAGAGGACAAAAUACAAGAGGAUGAGAACAGGAAAAUUUUGUUUAACCAUGGAAAUCCAAGAAAAAAUAACCACAAAAAAAAUGAAAGAAAAAAAAACUUAGGGAAUUGAUUGCAGCUCUGAGUUGAAGCUUCAAUAUAAAAAUUUUUAAAGUGCACCUUAGUUGUUCUUUGCUAUCAAACAAAUGAACUUAGGCAAUCACAUCAAUUUUGAAGUUUCAAGCUACAAAAUCUCACUUGAGCAUUCAUUAACCGUAAAAGAGAUUCUAACAAUCCCUUCUAUAAACGUGUAAGCCUAAUAUGAUAAAUUCUAGCACUUGAAUAGAAGAAUUCCAACCAUCAAUUAAAAGUCAAGUAAAAAGAUACUCAAAAUGCUAGAAAACCCCUUGCUAAUUGAUGCUGUUAAUGUCUUUAUGUGUUGGCCAAUUCUGGAUCAAAAAGAAUUUCCAUUGUAUUCUACCAUUCCAAGUCCUCAAAUUCUCUCUUGGACACUCAUCAUUUCAAAAAUACUCAUAAAUAUAGGUAGAGGAAAUGGUAAGUGUUUUUAGGUGGUGGAUGGGUUCACAAAUUGAUCAACCAAGUUUAAAGUUCUCAUACUUUUUAUCAAAAAUAGGGUUGGAAACUUGGGAGGAGUCAAAACUUUGGUUUUAAACCAAUUGGCUCUAGUUUUGAUUGCUCAUGCUGAAAGGCAAUUAUUCAAUUGUUGUAUAGAAUGUUUCAAUCUUACAUUGGAUCAAUCAUUGUUUCAAUCAUAACUUAAAUUUUCAUUUUUUUUCCAAGCCGAUUUGAGUCGUUGAAUUAAACUUAAAAUCCUACCAUUUAAACUCAUUUCUAAAUUAGGGAUUUAUAGUAGAGAGAGAUGAGUGUCUCCUUAAGCUUCAAAUCUGUUCCAUAUUAGGGAGUGUUUUCUAGAAAUUUUUUAGGUAUUUGAGUUGAAAUUAAAUUUGAUUGAGAAAUUUUCCAACAAAAUAUGUUGAUUCAUUUUUUUGUUUUCAUGUCUAGUUUUGUUCUUCAUCCAUUGGGAUAAAAGCAAAUACCUUCUUGUGUAAAUAUAAAAAAAAAACUAAAAUCUUGUUUGAAGGUAAUUCAAAAGGGAUUCGAUAUGAAGAUGGUGGGAAGUUAAGUUUCCUAAGGUAAUAAACAAGCAAUCCGGGAGAGGAUUGACAGUCUUGGGUUAGGUAAAACCUUGUACUAAUUAUUUUCUUCAUAGCAAUGUUAUUAAAGAUGAUUGCCCGGGUCGCCUAGGCUAUCAGGCCAAGUGGGAUAGAUGAAAGUCGCCUCUUAAAGACCAGGCAAAGCAACUUCACAGAAGCAAUGCCUAGGUGAUUGCCUUGGGAUAAGGCGCAAGGCAUUGAGGUGAUCGCCUUUGACCAUGAGUUAAGAUUAAACAUACUUAGAUUAUUUUCAUUCAAUCUAAUAUUAGAUUAACAUGAAAUAUUAUAUUAUCAAUCAUAGAGAUAAUGAGAUGGAGGGCCAUCAAUCUAGUCUUGAUGAAACAAUGAAAAUUUUAAUUUUAAUGAUGAUUAUGAUGAUGAUGCCUAAAACUUUUUUAAGAUGUUCAUUCUCUUUUUUUGUUUUUUAUUAUGACUUUUAGAUGUCUGAAAAAUUAGAAUAUUCAUUUAGACAAGAUGAAUAUCUCUAGUAUGAUGUUUCUUAUGAUGUGGGGUAUAAUAUUUAACACUUUGAAUAAUUAUUACUAUUUUUUCAAUUUUAUAAGACAUCAUAAGUGAUGAAAAAUAAAUAAUAUUGAUUGUUGAAGACAACACUUAUAUUGUUUAAGUAUCAAAUAGGUAAAUACACGUAUAUUUUUUUAUUGUUUUAUUAUAAUUAGGCUAUUGAAUUGUUUUUUACCUUUCGUCUUAGGCUAAAAGGAGUCUUAUCGUUUUUUGCUUUUGACAACACUGCUUCAUAGUGGAUGUUAUUGACACAAAAUAUGGGAUGAAAAAUAAUAAAUUCUGUCUAUUAGAUUGACUAUACACAGAGUUUAUAUAGGAGAUUACAAGAGAAGAAAUAGGAAACAAGAGACAUAAUAGGAAACUAACUUAUUCCUAAAUCAUAAAACUAUCUAUUUACAAAAAUAAGAAACUAACAUAAUAGGAAAAUAAUUCUCCUAUUCUAUUUACAACUCAGCACUGCCCCUCAUACUGAAGAAUAGAUGUCUUCCAUUCCUAGCUUGAAUACAAGAUCGUGAAACAUUGAAUUGUUCAACCCUUUUGUUAUGAUAUCAGCUAAUUGAUGUUCUGAUGGAACAUAAGACAUACACACUACUCCUUCGUCCAAUUUUUCUUUGAUGAAAUGCUUAUCAAUCUCAAUAUGUUUUGUCCUAUCGUGUUGUAUAGGGUUAUGAGCAAUAUUGAUAGUUGACUUGUUGUCACAAUAAAGCUUCAUAGGACCAUCCCACUUGAUUCUCAAAUCAUAUAGAAUAAUCUUCAACCAAAGUAGUUCACACAACCCUUGAGCAAUGGCCCUAAACUCUGAUUCUGCAGGCGACCUUGCUACCACAUUCUGCUUUUUACUUCUCCAUGUUACCAGAUUAUCUCUAAGAAAAGUACAAUACCCUGUAGUUGAUCUUCGAUCUACUAAGAAACCUGCAUAGUCAACGUCGGUGUAUGCUUUUAGAGCAAGAGUAUUGUUCUUCUUGAACAAAAUUCCUUUCCUGGGGUUGCCUUUCAAGUAAUGCAACACCCUGUAAGCAGCUUGAAGAUGAGGUUCUCUUGGAUCAUGCAUCAAUUGACUGAUCACGCUCACCGAGUAGGCGAUGUCUGGCCAAGUGUGAUCAAGGUAUAUGAGCCUACCAACUAGCCUCUGGUACAUUCUUUUUUGCACCACUGGUUCCUCUUUAGCUUCUCUCAACUUGUGGUUUGGAUCCAUUAGGGUAGAGACUCUUUUACACCCAAUUUUCCUUGUUUCUUCCAAUAAAUCAGUCACAUACUUUUGUUGAGAGAUGAAGAUCCCUUGUGUGGAAUAUGCCACCUCAAUACCGAGGAAGUACUUCAGUUUCCCUAGUUCCUUUAUCUCAAACUCUAUUGUUAAUCUCUACGUCACAUUAUGCUUUUCUCUCUCAUUUCCAAUCACUAUGAUGUCGUCAACAUAGACUAGAAGAACAGUUACUCCUCCUGCAGUCGAGUGCUUAAUGAAGAGAGUUUGGUCACCUUGGCUUUAUUUGUACCCAAACUCUUUCAUGACUUUUGCAAAUCUCCCAAACCAAGCCUUAGGAGAUUGUUUUAUCCCAUAAAGGGCCUUUUGCAGCUUGCACACCUUGUUACCUGUGUUUACCUCAAACACCGAUGGGAUGUUCAUGUAAAUCUCUUCAUCUAAAUCACCAUGAAGAAAUGCAUUAUUGACAUCAUACUGUAGGAGUUGCCAAUUGUAGUGGGCAGCCAGUGACAGUAGGAUUCUUACAGUAUUCAUUUUUGCAGCUGGAACAAAAGUCUCCUGAUAAUCAACUCCAUAAGUUUGAGUGUACCCUUUGGCUACCAAUCUUGCUUUACAUCUCUCAAGAGAUCCAUCAGCCUUAUAUUUCAGUGUGAAAAUCCACUUGCAAUCAACAAUGUUUUUCCCUUUCAGUCUUUCAACAAUCUCCCAUGUUUUAUUCUUUUCUAAUGCACUCAUCUCCUCUCUCAUAACAUCCUUCCAUUCCUUUUUUGUCAAUGCCUCAAAAACAAUGUUAGGGAUGAUAGUGGUGUUUAGACUCACAAUAAAAUUCUUGUGGGCUAGUGAUAGGUGCUUAAGAGACACAUAGUGUGAUAGUGGAUAGAGUGGUCGAUUAGUGCAUUCUCUGGUGCCUUUUCUGAUAGCAAUGGGAAGGUCUAGGUCUAGGUUGUCUGUUGAGUUGGUGGAAGUUUCACCAGGUUGUGUAUGUAAAGGUGGGUCUUAUAUUUCCAUGAUUUCAUUCCCAGGGUCUGAGUUGGAUUCUUGGACCUGCUUUUGUUCUGGAAUGGCCUUUUCCCUUGAAUACACCUUAGGAAACUGUGGAAAAUUGCGAGUGACACUGGCUGGAACAGGAGAUGACACGGGUUCAAUGGUAAAAUUGGGUGACUCAGGUGUGAUUGACUCGGAUGACUUAGGUUCUUCAUCACCAUGGGUUGAGACAUGAGGAAAAUCAAGAGGUUCAAAGGACUCACAAGAACUAUCUUCCAUCAUUGAAAUCUCCCCCUGAAGAGAGGACUUGGGGAAAAAAUGUUUAUUUUAUGUGAAUGUGACAUCUGCAGAGAUGUAAAAUUUUCUGGCUGAAGGAUUGUAACACUUGUAUCCUUUUUUAGUGGAUGAGUAACCAAGGAAGACACAUUUUAUGGCUCAAGGGGUCUAGCUUGUCUCUAUGUUGGCUGUGGAUAUGAACAAAUGCAGUGCACCCAAAUACCUUAAGAGUGAGCCCAUUUGAGGUUUUGAAGUGUGGAUAGAAACUCUUAAGUAUCUCUACGGGGCUUUUGUCGUCUAACACUCAUGAGGGAAUUCUGUUUAUCAUGUAUGUGGCACUAAGAACAGCUUCCCCCCAAUAGGACUUAGGAACAUUCCCUUGAAAGAGUAAGGCUCGGGUUGUGUUGAGUAAAUGCCCAUUUUUCCUCUCGACUACCCCAUUUUGUUAGGAUGUGUUAACACAUGAUGAGUCAUGGAGACAAAAUCUGGUUGAAGUAAUCUCUAGCAUUGUUUGUCCUAAAGCUUUUUAUUUUAACCUUAAAUUGGUUUUGAACCAUUGAAUGGAAAUUAGAUAUAACAAUGAUAACAUCAGAUUUUUGUUUAAGAAGAAAGAUCCAUGAAACCCGAGUGCAUUCAUCAAUUAAGGAUACAAACCAACGAGCCCCAGAAACAUUAGGUAUUGUCGAAAGACCCCAUAUGUCACUAUGGAUCAAAUGAAAAUGAUGAAAACUUCUUUUAUUGCUAAUAGGAAAAUAUACACGAGUAUGUUUUGCCAAUUCACAAGUUUCACAAUGAAACUCGAAAAUAUCUAAUCCUUGGAACAAAUGAGGAAACAUGACCUUUAAAACCCUAAAAGAUGGAUGACCUAGACGUAGGUGAUACAACAAAAUGGUAUCUUUAUUUAAGGAAUUGAGAAAAGACAACGACAAAUUAUUACUAGCUUUCUGAGAUGAUUCAAGGUGGUAAAGACCUUUCCUUUCCUUAUCAAGUCCAAUCCUCCUCCCCGAGCCUUGUUCCUAAAAAACACAAUAAGAAAGGAAAAAAAUAGCAUAACAUUUAAGAUCAUGGGUAAGCUUUUGAAUGAAAACAAGGUUGGCCGACAAUUUUGGUACAUGGAGGACAUUUUUAAGAAUAAGGGUAGGUGUGAUGUAUGUCUCCAAAACCUACAAUGGUAGCUAAAGAGUCAUUGGCCACUGCAAUUUUCUUGUUACUUGGGUUUAGGGUAUACGUAUGGAAAAGUUGAGAUUUGGAGGUCAUAUGGUCCGUGGCACUGGAGUCUAUUAUCCAAGAGUCAUCAUAAACCCUGUGUGAGGCAUUUAUGCAAAAAUAGAGUGAAAGUGUAGCUGAAAGAGCCAAAGAAUAAGUUCCAAUAGGUUUGUAAAGAACACGUGAAUAAAAAAAAAUCCAGCUAUGAAAGCCAGAAAAAUGGCGAUGAAGGCCAAAAUGAUGCCCAGGUCUUAAAAACCUAUAGCUCUGAUACCAUGACACGAAAUAUGGGAUGAAAAAUAAUAAGUUAUGUCUAUUAGAUUGACUAUACACAUAGUUUAUAUAGGAGAUUACAAGAAAAGAAAUAGAAAACAAGAGACAUAAUAGGAAACUAACUUAUUCCUAAAUCAUAAAACUAUCUAUCUACAGAAAUAGGAAACUAACAUAAUAGGAAAAUAAUUCUCCUAUUCUAUUUACAGCUCAACAGUUACAUUUAUGAUUAACCCAUGUUUUUUUUCCUCUUUGGAAAUUUUCCAUGUUAUAUCACUAUGUCUUUAUUUCUUUUUUAUUUUCUAAAUUUAUGUUUUGAUUCAAUUUAUAGCAUGAAUUUUAGAUUUGUGGACCAUGUUUUAAAAGGUAUUGAGGGUUAUGCAUCGAGGCUCACCUCAAGGUAAUUGAGGUGAUUGAGGCUUAAGCCUUAGUUAAGGUAAUUGAGGCUUAAGCCUCACCCUAUCAAGGCUUAUAGCUUUGAGGAUAUAGCCUCAAGGCUGUUGAGACCUAAUCCUCAAAUAUCCAAAGGGUUUUUGGUCUUUAUGGGCUUUUGGUAUAUAUUUUGUAAAAGGCUUAAGUCUCUAUUCAAUAAGUGUUAAUAUGAUCUACUUCAGCAAUUACAAAAUACCUUGAGGUCCUGGGAAUCUGAUAUCAUUUGAGACUUUAAAGCCUUUUCAUUUUUCUCUAAAUCUUUAAGCCUACCAUCCCCAUUAUUAGCAUGCUCUUUGAUUGACUUCUCAAGCAGUGACACGGUAUUUACACAGUUUUCAAGCAGAAAUUGCUUUUCUUUAGCAGUUGACUUUGAUUCCCAAGCUCCUGCUCAAUCCUUUUAACCAAUUCACUGAGCUACAUUGCAAGCAAAAAUAAAAAACAUAAAGAAUGAAAAUUAGAAAGAAUAGAAUCAUAUUACAUGAGAAGAGGCAACCUGAGGGUAAAAAUAUAUGGCUUCAUAUGGCAUAGCACUAAAGCUUCCUCCUAGACAUUUUAUGUGAGAAAGGAAAGGUCAUAAACCUUAUGAUGCUCAUUUUGCUUAACCCUGAUCUAAAAUAAUGAAAGGUCAUAUGACUUAAGUUCCAACUGCGCUUUAAGGUCCAUGAACCUUUAGGCAUGAGGUCGGAGAUCUGCAAUGUCAACCAAGAAAUAGACAAAAACAUAAAAUUAGUAUUGGAGAAGGCUGAUUUUAUUCAAAUCUCAAUGAAUACAUCUAAAGAGAAAACAUACACUUGCAAUAAUAAAAACCAUUUAUCUUCAAAUGUUGACAAAAAAUUAAAAGAUAGAUGUCAAGUUUGUUCUCAAAGUUCCAAAUAUGUACUGAAUAAGUAAAAAUAAUAUGAAUAUGACACGCUAUUUUUGUCCAUCAUUGAAUAAAAUCUCCAAAGCUGAUAAUAGUCAUGCAACCACAAUACAAUCAACUUUCAAUAAGAAACUUUAUAUAACAUUGGACUUGAUCAUAACCUACUAGAGACAAACAAUAGGGAACAGUGCCCCUAACUGUUUAUGAACUUCAGAAGUUGGCAACCCUAUCAGAUAACUUGAAUGUUUAUUUAUCAGUAACCAUAAAAUACAAAAAUAAAAUAAGGUUCAUAUAAAGAUAGCAUUUUUAAAAGAAAACAGAAAACAUCUUCCCAUUGUCAUGUUGAAUGGAGAUAAAAAUCAAAACUUUGCAAAAUAAUCAUCAUUUUACUAAAAGUUUUUUUCACUUCAUGAACACAAACACAAUUGUUGAAGAAAACUUAUAAGAUAUUAAUAUUUUGAAAACAUUUGUAUGGUGGACAAUGUUAAAGUCAUAAAUCAUGUGAAGGACUAUUGGGUUAACUCAAAUAAAUACUUCUUAUUAAAAGAAGACACAUACAUACACUAUUAACAUAUUGAAAAGAAGUUUUAUUUAAAUAAAUGCAUGAAGAUUUUUACUUUCUAUUUUUUUUAAUCCUAAAUACUUCAUUCUUCAGGAAAUAGAGUAGGUUGUUCAAAGUUGACCUUUGCUUCAAUUUAUGGUAACUUCUGCUGAUGAAUUGAAAGUUUUGAUUCAGCCUCUGCCAAAGCAUGAAGUUGCCUUAAUAGAUCACCACCACCUCUGGAACAAUAAAUUGUUAAUUUAAAAGGUUAUCUUACUAAAGUUGAUUUGAACCUUGAGAGCAUCUUCUAAUGUAGGUAUGAUAGUACAAAUGGCCUUUUUCCAACAUACUUGAAACAUAUGUAUGCAUAAAAAAUGAAAUAAAAAAAAAUAUAACCAAAAGAACUAAAAAAUUACUCAAAAUUUUGUAUUUAUAUGUGCUUACAAACAAUAAGCAAUUGAAAUGAUAGGCAACUACACCUUUGUAAAGAAUGUUAACUAGAUAGAAAAUAAGCAAGCAGGUGGUUUACUUGUGACUACCACCAGUCAGAAGACCACUUGGUUGAAAUAUAUCACCAUCAAGAGUAACACUUGGAGUGGAGAUACCCCUAUUAAAAAUAACCUGUUGACCAUUCAUUUCAAUACAAAUUAGCUUUGGCUAAAUCAAAAAUAAAAUUUACCACAUAAUUCACACUAUGACCAGUUUGCAUUUAAAUAAAAAGCAAUAAGAAAGCAAUGAAUGUAUUAGAGCUGAAAAUAAUAUCCUGGACUUGAGACCACCUUAUUCGAUUAAGUUUACCUCCAUCCCUUGAGUAAAACAGGUUAACUACUUAUAGACAUGUCUGAUUACAGGUUAGGCUCUAACACCAGAUAAAUUCAUCCCCAAGAUGAAGUUCUUCGACUAGGUUAUAAACAGGACAAGCUUUGGUUGGAUAAUGUUAGAGAACAUGCAAGUAUGGGGCUGCACAUCCAUGAAUGAGAGGGGGUGUAAGAGAGCAUGUUUAUUUCCCCAAUUUAUUGAGCUCAAAGGAGGUUGUUUGCAAUUUGUUUGCCUAUGGACUCGUCUAUUUCUCCAUGUAUAGGAAUAGAGCCACACAUGGAAGAGGAUGCUAGAACACAUACAGGUAUGGGGCCUCUCAUGUGGCCUACAGGCCUAUUCAUCUCUCCAUGUGUGGCUAUGAGGCUACACAUGAGGGAAGGUAUUGGAGAACAUAGUGGAAUGGGACUACAUGACCCCCAUGGUUUGUCUAUCUCUCGUCAUACAAAUAUGAGGUCACACAUGAGGAAAGGUCUUAGAAAGCAUAUACUUAUAGGGCCACACACACCCACAACUAUUAGGAAAAUUGGUUGUCCAAAUAAGUAGUUUUAGAGCACUACUCUAUCAAUUACCAACUCUAGAUAUACAUUCAAAUCAUUAUACGUUUUUUACAUAUCAAACACUUGAAAAUCACUGUAGAAAACAAACAAAAUGAAUUGAAAAUGAUAUUCCCAAUUCUUAUUUCAUUCAAACAGUAAUUUAGUAAAUCAUUGAUGAUACAAAUAAACCAACAAUACUAAUUUGACGAUACAAAAACAUAAUAUCUUUGACCAAUGAUUUUGAAGACUAUACACUAAAGGAAAUGUGUAAUAGAAGUUUAGCUUUCAAAAAACUAAAAUUUUCCAAAUUCUAUGAAGCACAUUGGUAUAGAAAACCCAAAGAGUUAGGAAUUAACUUUAAUUGGCAUAAUCAUCAAUUUUCUUAAGAAAAAAGCAACUGAACUUGGUUUCCAUGCAGAUAUUUAGAGUUUGGUUUAUCCGAUUACUAUUAAAGAGCAAUUCCAUUGCAAGUAUCUAUUUGGAUCAUUAAUGGUUUUGAUUGACACUACCAUCAUGGUCCUAGCUUUUCUCUAAGGGGUCAUUUAGAUGAGAGGUGCAAAAGAAGGGAUUUCAAGAUAAAUAGAAUUUGGCAUUAUCUUCUUCCAAAUCCAUAGAUCUCAGUAUUUAAGACAAAGAUAUAGAGCCAUAGACAAUUACCCCAUCCACCAUUUUUUCUAAACCAUCACUAUAGCCACCAACACUCCUAUCACUAUGCCAUCUUCACCACUACUUAUGUAACCACCACCACUAACACAUUAGCUCUAUUACCAAAUCACACCACCCCAUUGUGUCAUUUUUAUUUUUUCUUAUAAUUGAGGAACCGUCCAUGGCCAAGCCCUUAGGACUCUCCAUGGGGACCCAUUGUGUCAUUGCCAUGACAAUAAAUCAAUAAUAACACUACCAGGAAAAUGCUUUUCAUACCAUAUUUAUUAUCAUCUUUAUUACAACCUACUCGUGUGGUAAGGGAUUGUUGGAUGUGAAAAGAAAAAAACCAAAUAAAAAGACAUUUUUACUUAUUUUAUUCAUUAGCAUCUUUUCUACAUAUCCAAUAACCACCUGCUACAUUCGGCAAUGGUAAAAGAAGUGUUAUAGAAAAUGUUAAUGAUAGCAUCAUCCCCAUUGCUACUACCAUUUCAUCACCAGUACAACCACAACUACAACAACUCUCAUUGUUUUUAAUAAGUAAAGGCAAUUGUAUUAAAGGAAAAAAUAUACAAAGAAACCAAGGUGCAAGUACACAAAACGACUCUCAUUGUUACAAUGCCACCAUCACCAUCCUAUCAACCUACAAAUUUAUUAACAUCAAACAUAUAGCAGAAUCUUCAAAAGAUCAUUGGCAUUCCAUUCAUUCAAAUACUUGAUCACAGAAUCCUUAAUGUUAAAUCAAAAUCAUCAUUCAAACAACGAUUAAAAGAAAAGCAUUGAUCAGAAUGAAACUUCUAUUUGUUGGCUUAGUUUAAAAUUGUCUUAUUACAUUAAUACAUAAUAAGUAUAUUAGUCAUUUCAUUUCAAACCCAUUUCUAUCAUGAUAUAUUGCAAUGUAUGAAAUGGGUUUGGCUCACUUCAAUUUCCAUAAUCUUUAAAAAAAAAAUCAUUAAAAUCAUUUGGCAUGAGCAAAAAACAAUCAAAAUCUACAAUAUAAUAGGUCCCACAUACACUACCCCCAAUGUACAAAGACCAAUUUAACCACAUGAUUUUAACCAUACAAUUUUUCACAUACUAUUUUCUUUCUAAAUAUCAUUAACAUUUUCCAUCUGUUCAAAUUUUUUUAUAUAAAUCAAUGAAAAUCCAAGGGACAAAAUGAUCAAAUCAAGGUAUCUCAUACAUAGGGUACUAAAUCGUGCUCAUUAGAUCGUGAUUUCAAUUUUUUAUUGUUGAUGACAUUGCUCGAGUAUAAAAGUUGAGGAAACUUCAGAAUAGCUCAUAAGGUGCUGGGCAGUAUGGCAAUCCCAAAUUUGGUUAUGAAGCUAUAUUUAUAGUCAUUUUAAAUUUGGAGGAUGGAACCAAUUGAUUGAUACAAUCUAUCUAAUUCUAUUUAAUCUAUAUGUCACCAGUAGGACUAAUCGUCCUCAAAAGAGAAUUAAUAGAAAAUAUCUACUAAACAAAGAAGAAUCUCUUGGAGGCAACUAACAUAGAAACCUCAAAACAAAAUGAAAAACAAAAGAUGUUGAAGCCUCAAACACAUUUCCAUAAAAAAUUGCCUACAAGACAAGGAAAUUUUUUUAACGAGAUUGUCCUUUCAGAUGAGGCGCACACUUGAAAUCUUAAAAUGGUAUUGUCCUUGUUUCCUAAAUAUUCUACUUAAAUGACUGGAUAGACGAGGAAUAGGAAAAAUCAAAGAAUAGAAUAUUCUCAAAGUAGAUCAAAUAAUAGGUAACAUACACACUAAAUAUUCAACUUAAAUGACUGGAUGGACAAGGAAUAGGAAAAAUCAAAGGAUAGAAUAUUAAAUGAUUAGAUCAAAUAAUAUGUAACACACACACACACAUAUAUAUGUAUAUAUGUAUAUCACAUGUUUCAUCAUUUCAUUUUUUAUAGAAUUAUUCAGGGUGAUGCAACAAAAAUAUAUGAAACUUAGUGCUUUGAAGUAAAUUCCAAAAUAGCAGAAAUAUACUUCUGCUUUUCUGCUGCAUUUCAGGUAAAAUCAUUGUGUGCUUCAUAGUUUCAUUUUUUUGCAGAAUUAUUCAGUGCAAUGGAGCAAAAAUAUGUCAAACUUUGUGCUUUGAUGUAAAUUCGAAGAAAAUAUUUUUUCCAGAAAUGGAGUAGAAAAACAAGUAUCUGAAAUAUGGCAUCAACAAAACAUUCAAAUAGAAUCAUACUGCUCAAAUAACUGCACAGAUAACUGCUUUGCCAAAAUGAGUUUACCUCCUUUGCAGCAUCAAUACUUUUACAAACAAAGGUUCAACCAAACACAUAUUCCAUUGCACUCUGCGACAUUUAUACCAACUUUUGGUAAAGCUAUUAUCCAACAGAAUUUGGUUAAAAGUGCAAGAGAGGUCAAUGCUCAAUUCCCACUACAUAUGCUAUGCAAUAAGAUAAAUAAGGCUUGCCCAUUUUCACAACAAAUAUGUGAUGGAAUCAUAGUUGUGAAAGGCACGCCUAAGGCGCGCCUAGGCUCGGGGCUGUGUGACGCCACCCUCUGGCGCCUAGCCUGAAGGGAGGCGCCGCUUCGGCGCGCAAGGCACGACGCGGUCGCCCGAGUCGCCUCCGAUGAUCCAACCAAGUACGCACUCCUUCUCCUUCUCCUUCUGCUUCUUCUUAUUUCUUCUACCGUCGAGUUGCAGAGAGCCCUAAAUUUUUUUUAAAUUUGGUAGGUCCAAAACGACGUCGUUUUAGAGCCUGUUCCUUUUAAAAAAAAAACAGGCCAAAACGACGCCGUUUUGGCCUGUUCCUCCCUUCCAGCCCCUUUUUCUGUUCUUUCUCAACCCAAGACCACUCCCAUUCGUGCCCUAGCCUCUUCCGUGCUGGAGAAGUGAAGAAGAAGAAGAAGAAGAAAAAUAGGGGGGAAAUAAGAGAAAAAUAAAGGGAAAAUAGUCACGUACCUUCCGCACCUCGGUAUUUUUCUUUUUUCUUCACUUUUCUGCAUUUUUUUCCAUUCUUAUCUCAUAACUCUCAUUGGUAAUUUUUUUUUUAAAUAUAAAUAUUAUAUUUUGAGUUUUUGACAUGAAAAUUUUACAAAAUAAAAAUAAAUAAACAAAAAACACUCAUAUGCAUGUUUGUUGUUAAUGUGAUAACGUGAUAUGCAUUUUUUUUUUUAAUUUUUUUCUUAAUUUAAUUAUAAUUAUUUUAUUGUAGAGUAUAGAUAAUUUGUUUUCAAGAUGGAUAAUGAGAGUGAAACUCAAGUGGACUCUAGUGCAAGUGGACUCUAGUGCAAGUGGAAGAAGAGAUCCCGGGUGGAAAUAUGUUCGUUUGGUUAAUGAAAAAGAUUUGAACACCAUCAUAUGCAUUUUUUGUGAUGAAGUAACCAAAGGAGGCAUAUAUAGACACAAACAACAUCUUGUUGGUGGAUAUAGAAAUGCUAAAAAGUGUAGAAAAUGUCUGGAACAUGUUAGACAAGAAAUGGAAGAGUAUAUGAGUUCCAAGAAAAAUCAAAAAGAGCAAAUGAAUAUGAGGAGCGAAGAUGUUAAUGAAGAUUUGUUUGGUUUGAAAGAUGAAGAUUUUGGUAAGGAGAUUAAUGGUAGAACGAAUGUCACCAACAUUUCUAGUGGAGGUAGUAACCGAGGAGGAAGUGGUGGUAGGACGUUUUCUUCAAAAAAACCAAGACAAAAAGGUCCUAUGGAUCAUUUUUUCACUCCUAAUGCAGAGAUGGUUGUUCAAAAUCGAAUGAGUGGAAAGAUGAAUCAAACUACCAUCAAUGAUGCCUACAAAAAGGAAGCAAGAGAAAGAACUUGUAUGCUUAUCACAAGAUGGAUGUAUGAGGCUGCUAUUCCAUUUAAUGUCGUCACAAAUCCGAGUUUCCAACCAAUAAUUGAGGCUAUUGGCCAAUAUGGUGUGGGUAUGAAGGGACCAACUUUUCAUGAGGUAAGAGUUACUAACCUUAAGAAAGAAUUGGCUCUCACAAAAGAUUUGAUGAAAGAUCACAUGAUGGAAUGGGGGAAAAAUGGAUGUUCAAUUAUGUCAGAUGGAUGGACCGAUAGGAAAGAGAGAACUUUGGUGAACUUUUUGGUUAAUUGUUCAAAGGGAACCAUGUUCAUGCAAUCCAUUGAUGCUUCUUCAAUGAUUAAGACGGGAGAAAAGAUGUUUGAGUUACUUGACAAAUGGGUAGAGCAAGUUGGUGAGGAGAAUGUUAUUCAAGUUAUAACAGAUAAUCACUCAAGUUAUGUGAUGGUAGGUAAUAAAUACUAUUUCUUGAAUUUUUAUUUACUUUUAAAAUUUGAAUUAUUUAUCUUGAGAACUUAUAUAAAUUUAUUAUCUACAAUGUCAUAUAGGGAGGUUGUUAGAAUUAAAGCGCCCACAUUUGUAUUGGACACCAUGUGCUGCACAUUGCCUUGACUUGAUGUUGGAAGAUAUUGGAAAGCUACCAAACAUCAAGAGGACAUUGGAGAGGGUUAUAUCACUAAAUGGGUAUAUUUAUAAUCGCUCAGGACUAUUCAACAUGAUGAGGCGGUUUAUUGGACAAAGGAAACUGCUUAGGCCUGCUAAGACUCGGUUUGCAACUGCUUUCAUCACAUUAUUGCGAUUGCAUGAACAAAAAAACAAUUUGAGGAAGAUGUUUACAAGCUCGGAUUGGUCAAAUAGUAAAUGGGCAAAAGAGCGGAAGGGGAAAACUAUAGCCAACAUAGUUCUAAUGCCUUCAUUUUGGAACACUAUUGUGUUUUGCUUAAAGGUUUUGGGUCCCCUAGUUCAUGUGCUUCGUUUGGUUGAUGGUGAAAAAAAAAAUCCUAUGGGAUACAUCUAUGAGGCCAUGAAUAGAGCUAAGGAUACAAUUGUGAGAAGUUUUAAUGGAAAUAAAGAGAAGUACAAAGAAAUCUUCAACAUCAUUGAUAAGAGGUGGGAGAUUCAGCUUCAUCGGCCUUUGCAUGCGGCAGGGUACUUUUUGAACCCGGAAUUCUUCUAUGAUAAACCAGAAAUAGAGCAUGAUGCCGAGAUUAUGAGUGAUUUGUAUAAAUGCAUCUUAAGGCUAACAAGAGACCCUGCUAAGCAAGAAAAAGUUGUGGCCGAAGUGAGUUUGUUCACAAAUGCCCAAGGACUAUUCAGGAAUGAGUUAGCUGUUAGGAUAAGAAAGACUAGAGCACCAGGUUAGUUAUUUAGUUUUGUUUAUUUAAAUGAUUAGAUUGUAUUUUUGCUAAAAUAGGUGAAUUGUCUCACUAAAUUGUUAAUAUCUAUACUACAGCUGAAUGGUGGGUUGCAUAUGGAGCUUCAGCUCCAAAUUUGCAAAAGUUUGCAAUGAAAGUCCUCAACUUAACAUGCAGUGCAUCAGGUUGUGAACGAAAUUGGAGCAUCUUUGAAAAUGUAAGUGACCAAAUCCAAAAUAAUUACAAAUAAUAGUCUAAUAGAGUCUUGAAUGUAACUUAAAAGUUAAAACUUUAAAAUAUAUUUAUGAGCUUAUGAAUUUUUGCAGAUUCAUAGCAAGAGGAGAAAUAGGUUAGAUCAUCAACGCUUGAAUGAUUUGGUGUACAUUAAGUAUAAUCGAGCCUUGAAGAGAAGAUACAAUGAACGUAACACCAUUGACCCAAUUUCCUUGAAAGAUUUAGAUGAUAGCAAUGAAUGGUUGAUAGGAAGAAUGGAAGAUGAGGAUUCUCAUGGAGGUGCACAAGAUGAUUUUGUAUUUGAUGAUGAUAAUUUGACAUGGGGUGAUGUUGCUAGAGCUACUGAGCUGAGGCAACCAGAUUUGAUACUAGAGCUAGAGCUAGAGCAAGCUCAAGCAUAAUACCACCAACAGGGGGAAUAGCUUCAAGUUCUAGAACUUUGCCUUCUCAUUCACUAAUAGAUGAAGAUGAAGAUGGAGAUAUGGUUGAUUCAGCAGAUGAAGAAGAUGGGGAAGGCUACAAAUGUGGUGAUGGAAAUGAUGAUGAUGAUGAUUUUGUUGAUUUAGAGGAGUGAUGAUUGCUUGUUGUGGACAAAUUUGUUAUUUAAGUGUUUUUUAAUGAUGUUUUUGAAUUGUGGACAAAUUUCAUGUUUUGGACCUUUAGGUUUGAAAACUUUGGAUUUGGAUAUGUAUUAGGCUAUUAGCAAUAUGGAUUUGGAUUUGUUUUUAUGCUUGGAGUUCUUUAUUUUUAUGUUUUUUGUUUAUUAAAUUGAAGUUUUGGAUGAUAUUUGAUGAUUUAUGUGUUUAGGACAAAUAAAUGAUUGUUAAAUUUGAUUAUAUUAUAUAAAAAUAUAUAUGUAAAUUAGGGUGCGCCUCACUUCACUCAAACCCACGCCUUAGAUGCGCUUUGCGUCUUGGUGCGCCUUGAGCCUUUUAAAACUAUGGAUGAAAUUAUGUCCAAGCACUAAAAUUUCUAGUAACAUGGCAAUAUACAAACAUUUCAUAAUGCGCAACAUUCAAUGAUGAGGUUCAACAUCAUGCAUACCUUCAGUUCCUCAUCAUAUCCAACCAAAGAAAGAGCCAGUUCUGUAUUCUCCUUACCAACCUGAAGAUGCCAAAUAAUAAUAUUUGAACCAUGGCUGACAGACUGAAACCAUUAAAUUAUGGAGAAAACUAAGUGCAUUGACUAACCAAUCUGGAAGCUGCAUUGACUAAGAAACUUCUGCACCACGUCCAGCUUAAGAGCACAUUCCUAAAAAGCAUUAUGCAAUCUAAAAAGUAAAAGUGUGAUCAAAUUAGGAUUCAUAUAUCAUUUAUGUAGUGUUGGCAGCCAUUUGGGGAAGAGCACACUAACCUUUUGUAAAGCUUCCAUCUGACCUUUGUAUGUAAGAGAUUCCAAUGCCAUUUUGAUAUUUUCCACAUCCUUUCUCCUCACAUUAAGCUCAUUCUCAACAGAAACAGCUUCUUCACGCUUAGAUAUUGACUCAUUUGUUUUCUCUUUCAGCUCUUUCUCACGAUGAGUUAUUUUUGUGUUGAGCUGUUUCAAUUCUGUUUCUGCUCUCCCAACUGCUACUUUUGCAUCAGCUAGUUGAUCUUCAAGGCAUUUUUCCUCACUUCCACUGCUCUUACCGGCUAGAACACCCUAUCAUGGUAUGUACAACAUCUCUUCUAUAUUCAGCUCAGCUUGCCUAUAAAUGAGAGCAAUAACAAAGCCCAUCAAGUUCAAUAGCAGAAUGAGAUAUAUUAGAACUUUUUUUACCUGGUACUCUUUUUCACACUCUUCCAAAUUCUUAGAAAGUCCCUCAACUCUUUGUUUUAGAUCAACUGCCCCAUCUUCAGCCCUUUUGACAACAGAGGCCCUCUCUUCACAGACUGUUUUAAAUCUUCAAUACCUGUAACAAUCUAGUAACAUCAACACAACUAAAUGUGAUAUUCCAUACAACUCACAAUAACAGCAGAAAAAUAUUAGUACAAAACACAAAAAGCAAACUUUCAAAAAACAAAAGCUAGUGGAAAGCAUGCAAUGCUUGCAACCAAGAGAAAACAUAUCUUUAUUUUUUUGGUGCCAGGCUCUAGUUACCUUUUCAGCAUUCUCUUUUUCACUCCUGAGAGUGUCUUCUUGAUUUUUCAGUACUGAUGCUUGCUUCACAAGCUCACGAGAAAGAGCAUCUAUGUUCUCUGAUAAAACUUUUACCUCUCCGCCCAGACUUGCCUUCUUUUCAGCAGUCAAGUUUGACACUUGUGUCUCCAUUUCCUGUAUUUCCACCUGCAUCCUUUUGUGACUCUCUUCGAUAUCAGCAGUCUUUGUCUUUACUUGUUCAACCCCAGAGACUGCACUGUCCCUAAUCUUCUCUGCCUGAACAAAUUCAUAGGCAAUGCAGAACCUUUUAAGUCAAUCUAAUUCUGCAAUGCCAUUAGCCCAUUGCAUAUACUGCAUAUGUUCUUUCCUCAACUUCUCCAAAGCAAGCAAUAUCUCCUAGUCAAGAAGAUUAUCAAUCUCAUCAACUUUGCUCUACUUCUUCUCAAGUGUUUUCAGAGCAGCCUCUUCUUUUUUUCAUACAUUCUUGUCCCAGCAGCCUCUUCAAGCAUAGAUAAAAUCCCUGGAGGUUUCAUGUUUAAGACCUUCGUGAUGCGCCCUUGCAUUAUGAGAAAAUGUGGGUUGUUAACAUUGAGCUGUACAGAGUGGAAAGGGUUUUGAACUCAACUAGGCUGGGCAAGGUGUCUAUUUAUUAGGUAUUUGUUCCUUCCACCAACCACAAUCUACCAAGUAAGCAAACAAUUCUAGACUAAGUUGGAAUAAAAGCAAUGCAUUGACGGUCCAAAAGGACAUUAGCAUAGCACUAGUUGGAGCAAACCGAUUAUAAGGUGUAUUACAUAUGCUACCACAUAAAAGUGACAAUUAACUUUUGGAAAAAUAUGUGACAUGACUUAAUGCUGAUUAAUUUUGGUAAUAUGUGACAUGACUUAAUGCUGAUUAAUUUUGGUACCAAUUUGCCUUGGAAAAUAAAGUCAUGAUCCAAACAGUAAUAGAAUAGAAUUCUUGUUAUUUAGUAAAUCCUGAAAUUAUUAUUUUGUCUUCUUUUUUUCCAAUUUUUAUGUUUUUUACCAUCUAGAAUGAAGCCAUCCACAGAAGAAGCAAAAUAGUUUUAAAAAGUCAUAAGAAUUUGAUCAGUUUUUAACACCCUUAAAGAACAAUGUUUAUACCAGAGUGAAGAGAAAAAACUAGACUAAGUUCUUAUGUUAUUAAAAAAAAUAAAAAUAAAAAGGAAAAAAUAAAAAGGAAAAAAUAAAAAAGAUAAGAUUUGUCCUCCAUUUAGUUGCUGAGAAAGGUAGGAAAACAAAACAUCGGAUAAAAUUUUGAAUCUUCAUGUUCCAUUACUAAGGACCGUGGAUCUGCAAACCUCACCCAACUCAAUGUACCACAACUGUUCAGCUUACUUAGGAUAUUUUUCAGUUGCAGACACAAACACCACAUAAACAGGAUAUUUGCCUCUCGUCUCAGCAAGCAAACAGGAAGUUCUUGAAAUUACCAAAAACUAAAAAGAAAAAUGAGAUAAUUUCAUUUGUUGCGAGUUUAAGCACCACAAAAAAAAAUUGGCUGUGCCCGAAAGAUUGGCCUGUUUCACAUCAUGGGUAACCAAAGAAGAAAGAAAGAAAGAAAGAAAUCCAAAAAGUAAAAAACUAAUUACACUGAAAACAGGCUUAAAUCAUAUCCAAAGGAUCAUGCAAUUUCUAAAUACAAGCAAACAUGCUUCAUAAUUUCACCCAUAUUAAGCUUUCUUCUUUCAAAUUUGAACAAUCUAAAACAUACAUACCAAAAAAAUAACAUAACAUUACAUAAUAGUAUAACAAUACUUCUCAACAGUUCCCCAGCAACCAAACAGGACAUCUUUCUUUUUCAUUUUAAUGCAGUUGUCAAAAUGGCUAUAAAAUACACUAAAAAACUAAAAAUCAGUGCGAACCCCACACACCUGCCGUAUUUUCGUAAUUUCUGGACAAUCCUGGUAGCCGAGCGGACUCCGACUCCUAUCAGAAUUAUCAAACACCACCGACACGGUGGCCUUGGUAAUCCCAGCUUGGCCUUGCUUAUAGACCAGCUUCUGGAGAUUGGAAGCCAGAACCUGCCGCAAAUUGGUAAUGCCCAACACAAAGCAGAUGGAGUCAAGAAUGUUGGACUUGCAGGAACCAUUAAGGCCGGUGAUGGCAUUGAAGUAGGGAUCGAAGCCAGGGACGACCGUGCGAGUGGCGUAGGAUUUGAAGCCCUCCAAGCAGAUGUCCUUUAUGUACAUUAUUGGGAUGAAAUUGAAACCCUAAGGGGGAGAGCUGAAGAGAGUGGUUUCGGAGAUGGAUACCCUAGAGUUCGAGAGAGGGAGUGGGGAUUUUGGAGGGCUUUUGAAAUGAAUGUCUCUUUAUUUCAAAGGCGGGAAAUGACUGGAUUUUUAUUUUUAAUUAAAAUAUUAUAUAAACAAAGUAUAACUGUUAACACGUCAGCGGGGAUAGGUCAGUUGGGAGAGCGUCUUACAUUAUUUAUCCUUUUACUUCUCUAUUUUCUAUGAGGCCCAUCAUUAAAUUCCUUUUUUCCUUUUCUUUUUUUUAUCACACUUGAUAAUAUUUAGGAUUUUUUUUUCAAAUUUGAGUUUUUAAAUAAAAUUUUGUUCUCAAAAAUUAAGUAGGAAUUUUUAAAAAUAAAAUUUUUCUACAACUAUUUUCAAGAAAAUUGUUAAACUACAUGCUCAUUUGAUCAUGUCUUAUGAUGUUUGUUUUUAAAAAUUAUUAAUUUUUAUAUUACAAGUCAGCACUGGUACGUAAUAGUCACAUUGAAUGUUUAUAUAAUAAAAUGUUUCUCUAUUGUCAUUUCGAGUGACAAAAUUCCACAAAUUGAAACAUUCAAUAUACAAAAUAACUACCCGUGCAUAUAGUUAGUUCUCUUAUUUAUUUUUUCAUAAAAUAUAAAAAUAAAAUAAAAUAAAAUGAAAAUUAUUUAAAGUGUCUCCAAUAAUAAAUAGCAAUGUAGUGUUAUUUUUAACAUUGAUAAUUGUUUUUCAUAACAAAUGCCAAAUUUUGAUGGAUACUUCAAUAACAAAUGUUAAAAAGAAUGUUUUGUUUUAGUGUUAAUACCAUAAUUUUUAAAGCUUAAAAAAAACAAAUGAUUGAGUUUGAAUUUAAUUUUCAUUUUCUUUUUGUUCUCAUUUCCCUCUUUAUUGCGUCUCUACUUUUUUUUCUCUAUACUUUCCCUUCUAUUUUUUAUAAUUCAAAGAAAACUUGGAUGUGAUUUUUCUUUUAUAAAAUAAAAGAUGAUUUAUGCUCUAGCGCCAAAAAACAAUCUAAAAGUCUAUUUGAUAUAUAUAUACAUUGCAAUUGAACUUUUAAAUUAAUUUACUACCAUUUAUUACAAAUUUCUCAAGUGCUACUACUUGUAGAAUAAUAUAAAAGUCCAUUAGACCUUGUGAUUUAAUAACAGUUUUCUAUUUUUAAAAAUAAAAAAUUAUUUUUUAAAAUUUAUAAUACGAUUUGACCGUUGUUAUCUGAAAACAAUUUUUAAAAACAAAGUAAAAUAUAGAAUUAUUUUUAAAGAAUAAGUAGGAGUUGUUUUCAUUGGUUUAAAAAAAAAACAUGAGCCCAUUUUGUCAUAUUUUUCAAACUUAUUUUUAAAAAUUGUUUUUAAGUUAUAAAAUAAAAAAUAAAUUUUAAAAAUAAGUUUUAGAAAAUAUAAUUAAAUUUUUAGCCAAAUUCCACUCAAUAUAAAUAUGAGCUUUUCUCAAAAUAAUUAAUUACAAUUCCCGACCCAAGGUGGGCUCAAAGCAUAAGCCAAGUUGGGCUUAGGAUUAAACUUGAUCUAAAAAUUAAAUUUCUAAUUGGAUAUAUGACUUGUUGGGCCUUGUUACGGCCAACUGAGCCCAAGCCAAGGCAAUCACUUAAGGUUGAAGAUGGGACAUUAUAUUAGCCCAUUCCACAUCAGAACUCAUAAGCUGAAGUCCAAGGUUGGUUCAAAAAAUUGGGGCUUGAGAUUGGGUGUUGCAACAUCUUGGACAUGGGCAUCUAUCCCCACCUGGAAAUUAUUGCUCACCAUAUUUAUGUUAUAAAAGUCUAUAAUGGUUUUGGAAAUUCUAUCCUUAUUCCUCCAUUUUUUUUACUAGCAAAUAAAAUAAAAAUUAUAUUUACAUUCGUGUAAGGAUUUAAUAAUAUCAGCAAAUAUACAUGUCGAUUUGAUAGGGUGGUGGGUCAUUGAAUCAAGUUAAGUCAAAUCGGAUUUAGCUAGUCAACAAGUUAUAAUUACAUUUUACAUCAAUUUAAUGAGGAAUUUUGUAUAAAAAUAAAAUCACAUUAAAUCAACUUACUAUCUCUUGUAGUUGAUAUACAUUUAAUAAGGAAUUGAUUGUCAAAUUUAUAAAAGUCAUAUUUUAAUGGGCUAAUAUUUGAAAUUAUAAUAAUUUCAUUAAACAUAUCAACUUUUAAUGUAAGAGAAAAAGGCCUCCAUUAGAAAUAGUAUCAUUAUUCUUGCUCAUACAUAUGAAAACUCUUACUAAGAUUAAAGAGGAGCUUUUAGUUUCAAAGAAGAAAAUCCAAAAUAACAUUUGGCUCUCCUUAGUCUUAUGGAAAAUUUUAUUUCAUAGGAGGAAAAGGAGUUACUAUGUUUUAAAAUUUGGAAAAAAAAAAUUAAAAAGUUACGAUUUAUAAGUUUUAGAGUAUUUUGAAAAGUUAACUUUUCUAACAUAGUAUAUUAGCCGAGUAGUGCCCAAUACUUCUAUUUUCAAAUUAUUUCUUAUCACUCAACACACAAAGUCAACAAACUUCAUUUUCCUACAAAUGAAAUGAACAUCAAAAUUAGAAAAGAAAAGAAAAAACCAGCAUAUUGGUUUUAUAAAAUAAUAAGUGGAAACAAUCUUGCUUUAUUUUUGACAAAAUAAUAACUUGAAUAUUUGAUUUGGUUGUUUUGAUGUAGAUCCAAGAAGUUAAGGAUAUGCCUUUAAAAUGGAGUGAUUAAGGGUUAUAGGUAGUCAUGCUUGAUUCUUCCUCAAAGUUGUUAAACCACCUCUGAAGUUGUGAUGAUUUUGGUCUAACAAGUUAAAAAUUAGCACUUACGAUUAUGUUUGGUUUUGUCAUAUUACUCAAUACAAGUUUAACAUGUGUCAUAUCCUUCAUCAAACUCAUUGAAGAACAUUUUAAGUUGUCUUAGAUUUUGGAGUUUUUUUAGGUCUCUUGUUGUAUUUCCCUGAAGAGACCAAUAUUUAUGGGUGGAGUUUGGAUACCUUAUUUGGCAUCCUAAGAUUUGAUUUUAUUGAUUCUAAAAAUUUAAUUCAUUGAUUGCAUUACUUUGUCUUUUCUUAGAUGACAUUUUACUACUGCCAACAAGAGAAUAAAUCCUCUUAAUUUCCUAUAAUUUGAUUUGAUUUUCUUUUGCAAGGUAAUUUUCUUCCAUGAGGCAUUUUUAUGUAUGGUUUCACAAAAUGAUAUGAAAGUGCUUCUAUAGUCUAGUGAUAGUUAUUGAUUUUAUGGUUUAACAAAAUGAUGAAUAUUGAAAAUUAUGGAUAGCCAAGUGGUAUUCCACCUUAUAAUGUCAAUCUCUUAAUUAUUGUAUGAAUACUUUUGCUUUAGGAUAGUAUUUCAUAAAUUUAAAGAGCUUUUGAUAUAGUAUUGAAGAAAAAUUGCAUUAACAUGGAACACAAUCAUAUAAGGUGAAUUAAAGGGGUUUAAAAGUAAAAUAUGGAAUUCUUUUAUUUAUUAACUUAUUAAAUUUUUAUCUUUUACUAAGAAAGAGAAUAAAUUGGAGAAUGGUUAAGAACAAACGGAGUUCAAAUUUUACUUUUUAUUUUCUAUUUUCUUUUACCUUCUAAAAUUUUCUUUUAUUUUUUAUUUUAAUUUUUUAGUCCAUUCAAUUUGAGAUAGCUAGAUAAAUAUAGUAUCAUCAUAAUCAUAUAUGUAUAUUUAGGUUGUUUGUUAUUGGGACUUUUACUAAAUUUGUAUACUUUACAUUAAGAUCUAGCAUUUCUUUACAAUGGUCUUAUAUAUUAGGUAAAAAAAAUUAUUUUAUAUAAAUAUUUUUCAAAAAGUAUUUGCAAAAUGUCUUACGUGAAAAAAACUCCAAGAACUCAAUACUCUUGUUAAAAGAAUUUAUAAAUACACAAUCUUGUAACUUUAUAGGUUAUAAUAAGACCUAGCAUUUCAUGAGGAGGGAGAAUUUUAAAAAAUUGUCGGUGGUUGGGCAAAAGAACUUAAAAACUUUAUGACUAAUAAGCUUUGUAAAAGUUAAACAAAAAGCAAGUCUUAGUUGAUUGACUUGACUCUAAAUCAUUUAAAAUCUAAUGAUUUUGCCAAAAAAAAAAAAAAGAGAGAAAAAAGAAAAAAGAAAAAAAUGUGACCUUAAAAGCAAAUACAACUAUAGUUCUAAAAUUUUAUUUCCAAAAUAUAUCUUCUUGUGAGGAUACAAAAUUGACUCUAAAGAAUUAAUAUAGUUUCAUAUUAAGUGUAUCUAUGUCCAAGAUUUUUUUUUUUUUUUUUUUUCUAAAUAAUGCAUUGUUUUUUAUAUUAAAAAGAAAAAAAAAACCUUUUAAUGUCAAUCUCUUAUUUUAUAAAUAAUUUUACUUUACAACAUAAUACUAUAAAUUUUAAAAACCUCUAAUUUAAUAUUGAAGAAAAAUUGCAUUUGCAUGUACACAAUCAUAUAAUAUAAAUCAAGAGGGUACAUAAGAAGUAAAUACCAAACACACGAGCAUAAGAAAAGGUGAAGAAGUAUAUAAAUUAAUAAAAUGUUUAAUGAUUAUUAUUAUGUAAUUGUGUCCUUUAAACAUUAUUAAUUUUUUAAUGGAAUCAUACAAAUUUUCUUUUUUGUAUAAAGGUAAACACAAACAUUGAAUUUUGAAAAAAAAAAAAAAAUUCAAGAAGCAUUUGCAAACAUUUUUGCAUGUAAAAAAAAAUCCUAGAUGUUGCAACUUAUAUUAAUUAGAUAAUUACCACGUUGUAUGUUAGACUUGACAAUUUAAGUAAUGAAAAUUUGAUGAAAACUUUAUGCUUGAUAAUACAUUCCCUAACAUUAUUAGUGGUGGUAAUCUUGUAACAUACGAUAAUUAGACUUGAUAAUGCAAAUUAACACCAAGUACCAUGAGAAAAUAAAGGAAAAAUGAGUGUCUCUCGUGUUUGUAGGUGAUAAAAAGUUAUUAAAUGAAGAACAAUAUUUAUAUUUUUUUAAUUUUCAUAAAUUUUCUUUUCAUUAUAGUAGAAUGCAUACCAUCCUACAAGAUAAAAUAAAUGUAAAAUUAGGGAAAGAUUAACAAGCAAAGUUGAAUGGAAGUAAUAUAUAAGUCUUGCUUUACUUGUAGUGGUCUUCUUUUUAAUAUAUUUUGUGCUUUAUAUGCCAUUGACUUCAUGAGAUGUUUCAAUUAAUUAUUUAUGAAUUAAAGUGUGUGGGAAGAGAAAGGCUAAUAUGCUUAUUGAAAACAUAGACUUUGGACAAUUAUCUUAUUUUUUUCUCUCUUUCACACAUGGUAGUGGUGUUUACUCAUAAAUUUUUUGAUGUUCUUUAGUAGGUAGAGAUAUUGUCAAGUCAAGUCAAUUGAUAUUGAAAACAUAGACCUUGGUUAAUUAUCCAUUUUAUUCUCUUUCACACAAGGUAAAGGUGUACAUUGAUAUUUCUGUCUUUUGCAAAGGAUACAUUACCUUUUUCUUUUGUGAGUUUUUUCGAGUCAAGUCAAUAGAUCCAUGGGUGGAGGAGAAAAAACAAACUAACAAACAUGGACCUUAGACCAUUACUUUUUUCUCUUUCACACGUGAUAGUGGUCUUAGUUCACAAUUUUUUCUAUGUCCUUUGAUAAGGGUAGGGACUCUUCAUUAUUAUCUCUCAUGUUGUUAGUUUCCAUCUUUAAUAUCUUACAUGCUAUCUUAUUCCAUCUUUAACUUGUAGUUUGGUGGCAAGUCUAUUUAUUGUGACUUGUAAGUCAAGUAUUUGGAAAAUUUGAGAUUCUUUUUAGCAAGACUAUUAAGUCUUGAAUUUAUUCUUUCAUAAAAAUUCUCUAUAGAAUUUAAGUAAAAAAUUUAUGUAAAAUAUAAAAAAAAAUUUAAAGAAAUGAAAUAUUUUGAAUACACAUAACAACAUAUUUGUGGGAAAAAGGAAAAGAGUGAUAAAUAGUGAUUAAAUGAAAAUAAAUAAAUAUAAAAAUGGGGGGAAAAACAAUAAGAAAAGUUGAACAAAAAGUAAUAUACAAGUCUUGCUUUUUUAGAAAAGUAAAGUUGAAUUGUGGAUGUCCCAAUUCACUAGCUUGACUUCAAAAGCUAAGAUGCAAUGAUGCUUUAUGCCCUUGAGAUCAUGAGAUGUUUUAAUUCAUUACUUAUGAAUUAAAGAAUUAGGUAGACCUAGAAGAAGGUAAAGACUAAUAUGGUUAUAUGGUUGUUAAAAAGUUAAAAAAAAAAAAAAAAAAAACCUUUGCUUUGGGGACAUUUCCUAGUUGAUUGACUUGACUUUGAACUAUUAUACAAAAGAACUUCAAAAAUAAAAAUAAAAAUAUAGCAAAAUAAGAAAUGUAGUUGUAUAAUUAAAUACAACUAUAGUUCUAAAAUUUUAUUUCCAAAAUAUAUCUUCUUGUGAGGAUACAAAAUUGACUCUUAAGAAUCAACGGAGUUUCAUGUAAAGCAUAUCUAUGUCGAGGAAUUUUUUUUUUCUCAAAUGAUGCAUUGUUUUUUAUAUCAAAAAAAAAAAAAAAAACCUUUUAAUGUCAAUUUCUUAUUUUAUAAAUAUUUUUUCUAUACAACAUAACACUAUAAAUUUAAAAAGCCUCUAAUUUAAUAUUGAAGAAAAAUUGCAUUUGCAUGUACCCAAUCAUAUAAUAUAAAUUAAGAGGGUAUAUAAGAAGUAAAUACUAAAGACAUGAGCUCAAGAGAAGGUGAAUAUGUACAUAAAUUAACAAAAAAUUUAAUGAAUAUAAUUAUAUGAUUGUGUCAUUUAAACUUUAUUGAUUUUUUUAAUGGAAUCACACAAAUUUUCUUUUCUUGUAAAAAAGUAAACAUUGGAUUUUUAUAACAAGAAAUAUUUGCAAAUAUUUUUGCAUGUAAAAAAAAUCCUAGAAGUUUACACUUUUACCAAAGAAUCUACAAAUACAUCAUCUUGCAACAUAUUAAUUAGAUAAAAUUAUUACUUUGUAUGUUAGACUUUAUACUUUAUACUUGAUAAUACAUGCUUUAACAAUUUGGUAAAUUUUUUUAUUAAUGGUAGUCUUGUAAGAUAUGAUAAUUAGACUUCAUAAUGCAAAUUAACACCAAGUACCAUGAGAAAAUAAAGGAAAAAUGAGUGUCUCUCGUGUUUCUAGGUGAUAAAUGGUGAUUAAAUAAAUAACAAUAUUUAUUUAUUUUUUAAUUUUCAUAAAUUUUGUUUUCAUUAUAGUGGCAUGCAUACCAUCCUAGGAGAUAAAAUAAAUGUAAAAUUGGGGAAAGAUUAACAAGAAAAGUUGAAACAAAGUAAUAUAUAAGUCUUGCUUUACAUGUAAUGGUCUUCUCUUUAAUAUAAUUUAUGCUUUAUAUGUCAUUGAGUUCUUGAGAUGUUUCAAUUAAUUAUUUAUGAAUUAAAGUGUGUGGGAAGAGAAAGACUAAUAUGCUUAUUGGAAACAUAGACUUUAGACAAUUAUCCUAUUUUUUUUUCCUCUUUCACACAUGGUAGUGGUAAACACUCGUAAAUUUUUCCAUGUCGUUCUUUAGUAGGUAGAGAUAUUGUCAAGUCAAGUCAAUUGAUAUUGAAAACAUAGACCUUGGUCAAUUAUCCCUUUUCUUCUCUUUCACACAAGGCAAAGGCAUACAUUGAUAUUUUUUAGUAGGUAGAGAUAUUGUUAAGUCAAGUCAAUUGAUAUUGAAAACAUAGACUUUGGUCAAUUAUCCAUUUUCUUCUCUUUCACACAAGGUAAAGGCAUGAAUUGAUAUUUCUAUGUCUUUUGCAAAGGAUACAUUACCUUUUUCUUUUUUUUGAGUUUUUUCGGGUCAAGUCAAUAGAUCCAUGGGUGGAGGAGAAAAAACAAACAAACAUGGACCUUAGACCAUUACUUUUUUCUCUUUCACACAUGAUAGUGGUCUUAGUUUAUAAAUUUUUCUAUGUCCUUUAGUAAGGGUAGGGACUCUUCAUUAUUAUCUCUCAUGUUGUUAGUUUCCAUCUUUAAUAUCUUACAUGCUAUCUUAUUCCCUCUUUAACUUGUAGUUCGGUGGCAAGUCUAUUUAUUGUGACUUGUAAGUCAAGUAUUUGGAAAUUUUGAGAUUCUUUUUAGCAAGACUAUUAAGUCUUGAAUUUAUUCUUUCAUAAAAAUUCUCUACAAAAUUUAAGUAAAAAAUUUAUGUAACAUAUAACAAAAAUUUAAAGAGAUGAAAUAUUUUGAAUACAUAUAACAACAUAUUUGUGGGAAAAAGGAAAAGCGAGAUAUUCUAAUCUUACUUUCUUAUCCCUUAUUUUUAAGAAUGUUCCAAUUAAUUGCUUUAGAUAAAACAUGUUUUCAAAGCAGAUGGACGUAGAAAAAUUAAAGUUCUGUGAAAUCAUGAAAAAUAGGAAGGAAAGUACAAAGGAAAAAAAAGAAGGAAAAAUAAGGAAGGGAAAAGAAAGAAAAACAAAGAAAGAGUUGAACAAUUUUUUCUCACACACUUUCAAAUUUAUGUUUGUACUUUUCUUUUUAUACAACUAAUAAAGAUUUGAAGAUGCUUAAAUAUUUAUAUAAUUUUUAUUAUAUUUAUUUCUCUUUCUAUCAUACAUCCAACUAGAGAAUUUAGACUUUUUUAACUUUAUUUUUAUUUUUUUAUAAUAGUUUCCAGGAUCUGAGUGGUAUCUAAAAUAUCUUAAUAUUGCACAUACUUCAAAAAAUUGUUUUAAUUUUUUCCCAUCUUCUUUGCUUGUUGAGCACUAACAAAACAUACUGUUGAACACAUGUUGUCCCAAUCUUAGGGUGUAAUUAUUUGAAAGAUGGUAUUCAGGUCCACAAGAAUAGUAGCCACUUUAAAGAUGCAUUGAGGUCCACUAAAAUGAUAGCCACUUUAAAGAUUUAUUUUAGGGGUCUUCAUAAGUCUCUUUUUUAUUGUCAUUUUUCUUUUGGUGAUCUUAGUAGAGUUUUAAAUAAAUAUGUUUUUCCGAACCUAAAGAAAUAGUAAAAUCUUAUAUUAAGAUAAAUAACAAGGAUCCGACCAAAUUUUAUUGAAGUGACAUGUUAUUUUAUUACAUAAUAGUUGGAAUGCCUUAUAAUUGGUAUUCUUAUAAAAUUUUAUAUUUUAUAUUUAAAAUCUUCUAUUUCUUCAAUUUUUUUUAUAUAUUAGACUAAAAAUUUUAAGUACUUACUGAAAAUUUCAUAUGAAAAAAAAAUCUUAAAUGUCUACAAUGUUGCUAAAAUAGUUUCAUAAAAAUCUUAAAUGUUAAGGCCUUGUGUGUUGGAAUCAAAUGAUUUGGUAUUAAUAGUAAUUUACUAGAAAUAUUUUAUUUCAUUCACUACAACAAAAAUAAUUUAUGGUGUCACUUUUAAAAUAAUGACACCAUAUGACUUAAAAUUCAUAAAGGUGACACAUCAUAUAAAAAUUUUUAAUUAGGAUAGGUGAUAUUAAUUUUAAGUUUAGUGUCAGUUUUAAAAAAGUGACACCAUAUAAAAUAAAAUUUUUAAAAUAUUAUAACUAAAUGGGCCCACUUUGAGAAUAAUGAUUGUAUAUAAAAAAAACUCAUUGUUUCCACAUUCCCACAAUCCAAAAAAAUCUCAUUCCAUAACCCAUAACCAUAACUUUCUUCUACCUCUCUUCUCACACCCAUAGUUCACACACAACUGCUCUUCUCUACUUCAUGAACUCUCAGGUAACCCAAAAUCUCUUAGAUCUAUCAUUUUCUUUUUUUUUUCUUUUUUUUUAUUAAUACCAAAAUCUUCAUUAGCACAACUGAUUUACAUUCAUUGAUUUGGUAUAUUUGUAAUGUAGAUUGUGUAAAUAGUGUUUUUUUUAUUGAGUUGUAGGAAAGUAAAAAUUAGGCUUAACAUUCCACUAUAUCUUUUGUUUCAUUGUUAAAUCCAUAAACCCCAAAACGAAUGAAAAUAAGAUAAAUGAAUGAUUUUUUAAUAUCUUUCAUACUCAAAAUGAGGGAUAAACAUUUUACAGUAUGAAAUUUUCUUUUGAUCUUACAAGAAAUUUCUUUUGAUGAGAUUUUAUGUUUGUUUUCUAGGAAUAUUAUAGUAUAUUGUGAUGAGGAUAUGUAUCGGUGAUAUUUGACAAAUAAUUUUUUAGAAAAUUAUUCUCAAUAUUGUCAUCUCCCACAAAAGGAAAAAUGAAAUAGUUUCCAUAUCAUGUUGGAGUUGGUUUAGAAUGUUGGAAUUAACAAUGAGAAAUUAAUUUUAUUUUCUAUUUAUUAAUGUAAAUGAAUUGUUCUUUAAAAUUUAAAUAGGAAUGAAAAUUUUUAUAAUUAUAAAAAUGAUCAAAUCUCAUAUUUUGAUUUUUUUUUUUUAAUUCUUUUACAUGGUAUUAUGGUUAAUAUCUCAUCUUGUUCUAUUCAUUUAUUUUUUUAAUCCUUAAAAUAUUUUUUUGUUUUUUAUUUUUACCUUCUUUUCUUAUUGUUUUUAUAUGUGUUCACCAAAAUUUAGAGUAAUUUGAGAUUGAUGAUGAAAUUUCUCUUUCAAGGUUAAAAAAUUUCUAUAAAAUCCUUUUAUUACAUAAAUUUUCCUUCCAUAAUUUUUGAGAAAAUUAUUCUCAAUAUUGUCAUCUCCCUCAAAAGGAUUCUAAAAAUUUGUUUUUUUUUUGUCUUCUUUUCUUAUUGUUUUUAUAUGCAUUGACCAAAUUUUGGAGUAAUUUGAAAUUGAUGAUGAAAUUUUCCUUUCAAGGUUAGGAAAUUUCUAUAAAAUCCUUUUAUUACAAAAAUUUUUCCAAUCCCUUCCAUAAAACUCUUCAUUUUCUUCAUUUUUCUUUUUUCUAAAAAGAUAUUUGAUAAUUUAUUGAUCUAAAGAUUAUCAAAAUUAAAAUCUAAAAUAUUGAAUAUCUUUUCCUUUGAUGUUUUUAAUCUUUUAUUAUUUUUAUUUGAACAUAUUUUUCAUAUCCAGAUUUUUUAUUAAUUAUUUUAAUUAGAAAAAAUAAAUAUUAAUUGGAGUUAUGACUGAAAAAUUAAUAAUUUUUAUGAAAGGUUCUUUAAUUCUUUCUCAUACUAAUUUUUUUCUUAAUAUUUUUUAAUAAUGAAUUAGGUUUUUUGUCUUAUAUACACAAUCUUCAAGCUUGUUAUAAUAUCAUGUCCUCUCAUAUUAAUAGUUGAAAACAUUUUUAUAUUUUGUUACUAAAAUUUUAUUUUAUAUAAUUGAGAUGAAAUUUAAUGGACAUUGUUAUUUCACAAAAUGAACAUUAAAAAAAUAUUGAAAUUAAAAAAAAUCCUUCCAAGAAAUAAAAAAAUAUAUAAAAAGAAUUAAAUGUUAAAAAUGAUUUUUAAAAGCACAAUGAAUUAUAAAAAAUAAAUUUAAAAAGUGCAGAUUUUAAGUGGAAGAUUACUAUUUUCUAAAAUUUUAGAUUUAUUUUGUGAUUUUCUAGUUUUUCUUUAUUUUUUAUUUUCUUGAAUUGUUUUUAUUUGAGUUCAAAUGUGACUGCUUUGUUAUGAGAUUCAUUAAAGAGAUAAUUGUUGAUUCUACAAUUAUUGUAUUAAAUGUUUUACUCAUUUAAUGAAUUGUACUUAGUUUCAUACUUCCAAUUAUUAUAAUAUUAAUGUUAUUCUCAUUUUAUUUCAGUUUUAUGAUAAAAAAAAAAAAACCAUAUUCUCAGGUAGAAUUUGAUGAAAUUAGAGGAGAAUUAACUUCUUUUGUGUUAUAACUAAUCAUGAAUCAUAUUGAUAAAUCAUGAUCAUGCAUGGUGAGUCCCUUAGUUGUUAUAUGAAUUUUCCAUUGGUAUUGUAUAACAUUACUUAUUCUUUACAAAUUAUUUUUAUAUCAAAAUGGGAAAAAGAAAAAAGAAAACAUUAGUACUUAGAUUUGUUUAUUUUUUAUAACAUCAAUUAAUUUUUAUUUUCAAUAAAACUCAAAAUCUCAUUAAACUAUGAAAUGCAGGUAUACACUCUUGGGAAGACAUUAUGAAGAAUAAAAAGAAAGGAGAAAGAAACAACAACAUUUUGGGUUUUUAGAUAUGACUCUUAUGUCAUAUAUUAUAGGACAUCAAUGUUACUUUAUUUGGUAUUGAGAAUUUUGGGUUUUUGGAUGCAACUCUUGUGUCAUUUUAUGAUUAGCCGGUUUUAUGCAUAUGAAAUGCAGGUAUACAUGAAUGUUGGAAUGCUUAACAUUUCUAAAUCAUAUUUUAAUAUGUAUUCACUUUUCUUUUUUAGUUUCGGUGGGUUUGAUGUACUAUCAUUUUGUAAACAUUUGAUAUACAAAUAUCACUGCAUGAUGUAAUGUAUUACAGGUUAAUCCAUAAGCAUUACGAAAAUAUAAGUUAAAUAUGAUAUGAUUAUUAUAUUUAUGGACAAAAUAUACAUAAGUUGAUCUUAUUUGUUAAUAAACAUUACAAAAAUCAAUAGGCUAAUUAAUAAAAAAUAACCACAUCUUCCAUAAUCAUUUACAAUGAUGUAACACCAUAACUCAAAGGUGAUGCAUUUAAUGUGACACCAUAACUAAAAGGUGAUGCAUUUAAUAUGACACCUUAUAUAUCUCAUGCAACUCUAUAUCAAAUUAAGUAUAACUAAAAAUAUAUGGUGUCGCUUCUGAAUCCUUUUAUGGUUAGAAAAUUGAUUGAAACUCUUCUAAAUUCCUAGAAAGAUUAUUAAGACAACAUGAAGCACAAAAAGAAAUAAAUGUCCUUGAAAAAUGUUAUUAUCCAUAUUUUAGGACCGAUCAUAAAAAAGAAUCAAGUGGUUGUUGAUCAUCCCACUUAAGAACUUGUUUGGAUAUGUAGUGAUCUACAUUAUAUUUUUGUUUUGACAAUUUAAGAGGUUUGUUCUUGGUUUUCUAUUUUCUUUCCAAUUCCUUCUUAAAAGAAAUUAGAAUCCUUUUAGGCUUACUUCACAUUAUGGAGUUAUAGGUAGAUUUUUUAAUUUCUUUGUCCUACCUCAAUUGUACUCCAAUAAUGUAUGUGAUUAAUUGGUACCCUAUUUGAAUUUGCAAGGCUAGCAUUAGCGGCUGGGAUGACUCUUGUUAAUUCAGGUUUGUGUUGAAAAUAUGCUUAAUCCAUCUAUGAACUAUUUAAUAGUUAUAGUAGAAUACCUUGAUACUUACACCACCCAUUUACUAAAUAAAUAACAAGACAUAACAUGUUUAAUAAAUAGGUUGGAUUGAAAUAUUAAUUAUGAAUUGAUACUUUUUACCCAUAACUUGAUAGCAUGAUUCUAAGUCGUUAAAUCGGUUAACAUGAUUACAAUCCAUUUAACCUCUUUAUGAUUUUGAAUUAAUAAAAUGUAUUUUUCAAAUAUUUUUCAAUUACUUUCAAGUUUUAAUUUCAAAAUUUUUCUAAAUCAUAAUUAAUUUAAUUAAUUGUAAUAUGCAAUAUGCUUAUAAGAUAAGAGAAAAAUCAAACUUUAAUUUUCACUUGUAUAGAGUUUUAUUUUAAUUUUUCAAUUAUAAAAUAUUUUUAAUCUUUAUAAUUUUUUAAAUAUAUAAAGUUUUACUCUAUUAGUUAUUUAAUUUGUUAAUUAAUUAAAAACUAUCAUUUUUUGAAUUUUAAUAUAUAUAAAAAUUAAUAAAUUUAAUGGUUAAACGAAUUAGUAUAUAAACAGGUUAUUUCUUGAACGUGUGAAAUUAGUCAAAAAUAAUUAUGGCACAAACACAAGAAUAUCCUAUCCAAACCUACUAAAAUUAACAUCAUCUUUUAGUUGCAUUGUGAAAUAAUGCCAAAAUUUUCACCCCCCAUUUUGCAUCUAACCAAGAUUCAAGAAUCAAUCUUGCUGAAAUCUUUUAAAAAUUUAUGAAAGAAAAGAGUAGUUGGUCUUACUUAACCAAUAUAUCCAACCCAAACCAACUAAAACUCCUAUAGUUUAUUAAUUCUCAUCCUCGUCCCAUUAAAAAAAUUAAAUAAGACGGGGCGAGACAGAACAAGUAUGUGAAUUUCCUAUACUUGUCCCACCCCGUUUAACUUUUUUAUUUUUAUUUUUUUUUUGAAAAAUUUUAAUUUUUUUAAAAAAUUAAUUUUGAUUUUUUAAUUACAUUAAAAUAAAUGUAUUUUAUAAAUAAUUAAAAUAUUAUAAUUUUGUAUAACUUAUUUUAUUGAAAAUAUUUGUUGUGGGUAGGUAUCGGAAAAACUAGCCCAAUUAUCAUUCCUAAUCAAAACCGAUGAGUCAACCUUGUCAAAAGUCUUCAAAAAUUUAAGGAAAAAAAAAAUAGUGGGGCCUUACUAGUUAUGAUUUUAGAACCAAUACUGUGUGAGAAGGGCUAAGCUUAAUGUUUGGAUUGGACAUAGCACUACGAAGUCAAUAAAAGUCGACAGUUGUCACAUCCUUAUUCACAACUUUGAUGACUUAUCGAUUCAACAAACCAUUUUUUCUUUCUCAUUUGUCAUUACUAAAUUUGAUUUGUCUUUAUCAAUGUACUAUGCAAGUUGAAUUAAAAGCCAUCUUAUGUAGAAAUGUCAAAUGUUUAUAAUUCAUAAAAUUGGAAAUUUGCUAGAAUUUCAAAUAUAAAUAUUUGAAAAUUUUAAGUUCUAUUUUCCAUCAAAACCUGAGAUAAAGUAGAAGGAAACUACGAGAAAAUUUCUAAGACAAAAUGCAUUCAAAUGGUGGGGUUAGAAAAAAAAACGACGGCUCAAGAAAUUUGAAUCAGUCAAACCUACCAUUCAGCUGAACCAAGUUGCUAAAAUGGUUUCAUAAAUUAAAAUAUAUAUAUGUGUAUAUAAUUGGAGAAAUUAAUUUGUGGAGAGCAUGUGGAUAAAUUAAACAUAUCCAAAUAUAUUAUAUAAAAUCUCAAGUCGAUAUAUAUGUAAUUUUUUUCAUGAGUUUCCUUUUUAAUCAAAUUCUGGUAAAAGAAAUAUUAAUAUUGCUUUGAAGUAUAAAAAAUUUUUGAUAAUUUACCUUCAGUAUUUAAAGCACCAAUAUAUGUUGGCUUACGAGAACAUUUAUUGGAGUUGGAUUCACUUGGCACUUUCAACGUGAGAGAAGUUUCUAGGAAAUUUGCUACAGUAUAAGAGAAAAAAAAACUGUACAAUUUUCCACAGAAGACCAUGAAAUUGAAUGAGUUUCCAUAGACUAUUUAACAAGAAAAUGUACUAACAAAAUUUUCCACACGAUGAAUAGAUAACAAUGAACUUGAAUGAGUUUCCAUGGACUAUUUAACAAUAAAUGAACAGAUAUUUUCCAUUGACUUGGAUGUUAUAUAAGACUUCCAUGUGGAAUUUUCAAGUGCCGUGUGAUUUCGGGAGGAAUGAAUGGAAAUUUUUUGACGAGUUAACAUUGUCUUAUUUAACAUGGGCCUUCCUACACAUAUGAUCUUUCAUUGGCUUUGAUGUUGUAUAAGACUUCCAUGUGGAAUUUUCAAGUGCCGUGUGGUUUUGGGAGGAAUGAAUGGAAAUUUUUGACGAGUUAACAUUGUCUUAUUUAACAUGGGCCUUCCUACACGUAUGAUCUUCCAUUGGCUUUGAUGUUGUAUAAGACUUCCAUGUGGAAUUUUCAAGUGCCGUGUGGUUUUGGGAGGAAUGAAUGGAAAUUUUUGACGAGUUAACAUUGUCUUAUUUAACAUGGGCCUUCCUACACGUAUGAUCUUCCAUUGACUUGGAUGUUAUACAAGACUUCCAUAUGGAAUUUUCAAGUGCCGCAUGAUUUCGGGAGGAAUGAAUGGAAAUUUUUGAUGAGUUAACAUUGUCUUAUUUAACAUGGGCCUUUCUACACGUAUGAUCUUCCAUUGGCUUUGAUGUUGUAUAACACUUCCAUGUGGAAUUUUCAAGUGCCGUGUGGUUUUGGGAGGAAUGGAUGGAAAUUUUUGACGAGUUAACAUUAUCUUAUUUAACAUGGGCCUUCCUACACGUAUGAUCUUCCAUUGACUUGGAUGUUAUAUAAGACUUCCAUAUGAAAUUUUCAAGUGCCGCGUGAUUUCGGGAGGAAUGAAUGGAAAUUUUUUGACAAGUUAACAUUGUCUUAUUUAACAUGGGCCUUUCUACACAUAUGAUCUUCCAUUGGCUUUGAUGUUGUAUAAGACUUUCAUGUGGAAUUUUCAAGUGCCGUGUGGUUUUGGGAGGAAUGAAUGGAAAUUUUUGAUGAGUUAACAUUGUUGUAUUUAACGUGGGCCUUCCUACACAUGUGAUCUUCCAUUGACUUGGAUGUUAUAUAAGACUUUCAUGUGGAAUUUUCAAGUGCCGUGUGGUUUCGGGAGGAAUGAAUGGAAAUUUUUGACGAGUUAACAUUGUCUAUUUAACGUGGGCCUUCCUACAUGUAUGAUCUUCCAUUGACUUGGAUGUUAUAUAAGACUUCCAUGUGGAAUUUUCAAGUGUCGUGUGGUUUCGGGAGGAAUGAAUGGAAAUUUUUGACGAGUUAAUAUUGUCGUACUUAAUGUGGGCCUGCCUACACGUAUGAUCUUCCAUUAACUUGGAUGUUAUAUAAGACUUCCAUGUGGAAUUUUCUAGUGCUGCGUGGUUUCGGGAAGAAUGAAUGGAAAUUUUUGACGAGUUAACAUUGUCAUAUUUAACGUGGGCCUUCCUACAUGUAUGAUAUUUAGAGUUAUAACAUUAUUGAUCUUGCAAAACAAUCUAGUAAAAAUUAUAAUAAUGAUAUAAGACAUAAUUAAAUGGGUGGGACAAGCGUGAGAAAUAGAGCGGUUGGCUUAGUAGAGAGAGAGAGAGAGAGAGAGAGGUCCAUAUGGGAAACAGUUGCUAAGGAAAUUACUUGGUCCUUUCUGUAUGUUCAGUCGUUGAAUCUAUCAACCUUCUAAUUCCAAAGUGUCAAAUGGUGAGAUAUUGUCCGCACAACAAAACUCUCACAUGCUGAAACACAGAGAAAUUAAGAGGGCAGUAGGCUUUUGUGUGUUGUUACCACAUGAUUUGGUAUUACCGGUAAUUUAUUAAAAAUAUUUUAUUUCAUUUUGCUUUAUUUGCAUCAACAUAAUUACAAACUUAUAUUUAUAAUAAACAAAUCAUCGUUGUAUAUGACUAAUUCAUAAUUACACUAAGAGUUUCAAUUAACAUAAUGAUCCUAAACAAAUAAAAAAUUUUAAUAUUUUUCGAACUCCUAAAAUACUUUUAAUUUGAAUUGAAGUCAGAUAAUUAUGACUUGUGGGUUAUGAUGAUUAUACUUGAGUGGUAACCUUGUAAGUUAUGAUGAUUAAAUUUAAUAAUACAAUGACCAGAUAUGGUAUGCAAAAAAUAAAUAAAAAUAAAAAUAGGAGUCUUUAAUGUUACCAAGUGAUAAAUAUUAAAUAAAAAUAAAUAAAUAUAAUAAUAGGAGAAACACAACAAGAAAAGUUGAACAAAAAGUGAUAUACAAGUCUUGCUCUUUCAGAAAAGUAAAGUUGAAUUGUGGAUGUCUCAAUCCACUAACUUGACUUCAAAAGCUAAGAUGCAAGGGUGCUUUAUGCCCUUGAGAUCAUGAGAUAUUUUAAUUUAUUACUUAUGAAUUAAAGAAUUAGGUAGAUUUACAAGAAGGUAAAAAACUAAUAUGGUUAUAUGACUGUUAUAAAAAUAAAUAAAAAAAUAAAAAAAUAUUGUAACAUCUCUUUCUUAUUCUUUGCUCGGGGGACAUGUCCUAGUUGUUUCACUUGACUUUGAACCAUUAUACAAUCAAAUUUCAUAAGUUAGUUGGAAACUAAAGUAAUGAUGCAAUCAACUUUUUUUUUUUUUUUUUUUUCCCUAGUUUGUGAAGAUGUCUUGAUUAAUGUGUUUUUCUUUGUAAUGGAGUUUCAAUAUGUUGAUAUAACUUAAAAUAAGAGAUUAAAGAUUUGUAAUUAUUUUUGGUCAAUAAAAGUAGAAAACUAAAAUAAGAAAAUCUUUCUUCCUCAUUUGUCAUUAAUUAUUAAUUAAAUUUGAUUUUGGAUCAAGAUAUGUUAAUGAAUUUACAUAAGUUGAGCUUUAAGGAAUCAUAUCAAAUAUUGGAGAGUUGUCAUUAAUUAUUAAUUAAUAAAAUUAGAGAUUUGCUAGAAUCUUAAUUAAUUUAAACAAAAGUGAUUCGAAAAAACAGUUUUUAUAAGAAUUUAUAACAUUCAAAAAUUGUUAUGUAACUUUUAAUAGUGCUGAAAAGAACUCCCGAAUAUUCAAAAAUUGGGUUCUAAAGAAAUCAAGGGUAGUGAAAACUGAAAAGCUACUAGCUCAGCUGUUGGAGGCCUUCCAACUGUGCAAAACCCAAAGGUUAAAACGACGUCGUUUUCUCAAACUGGGACGACGCCGUUUUGGGUUAGGACGCAGUGAAAUAAGAUUGAAUUCACAAUCGUUUCAUUAUUUGCCGCUUUUUCCAGUUGCCGGAAACGACAAAGCUUCACGGACUGAGUGGUAUAAGAAUUUCAAUUUACUUAAACAAAAGUGAUUUCAAAAAACAGUUUUUAAUACAAAAAUUAUGAAUUUCACUCUUCAAUAAAUAAAAGUGGAAGGAAUCUUGGUAUUGCGUUCAUAUGGUAGACUCAAACAGAUACUAUAUAUAUGUGAGUGCUUGGUCUCCUCGGAAUUCAUAAGAGAAAAACAGCAGUUGCAAAGCCUCUCUUCUAUUACUUGCAGACCAUGGCAGGACGGUCCUUUCAACACCUUCUUAGCUUUCUUGUGCUUUUGCUGCUAUGUGCCAAACCUGGCCUCGGGAAUGUUACUGGGUGCAUAGAGAGGGAGAGACAAGCUCUCCUUCACUUCAAACGUGGCCUUGUCGAUGACUAUGGCCUUCUUUCUUCUUGGGGAGAUGAACAUGACAACAGAAAUUGUUGCAACUGGAGAGGAGUCCAGUGUAGUAACCAGUCAGGUCACGUCAUCAUGCUUCAUCUUCAAGCCCCUCCUUCUGAAUAUGCUUAUGAGUACCAGUCUCUAAGAGGUGAGAUAAGUCCUUCGCUGCUUGAAUUGGAGCAUUUGACUCAUUUGGAUCUCAGCUGUAUUGAUUUUGAAUGGAGGCAUAUAC